AGAAUAAUUGACCAAGCACUACUCUUGAUCAGCUGAGGAUCAAUGACAUGAAUUAUAUAUAGUGUUUACGGUGUGGUUUUCAGUUUAUGCAUGGAUGAUGUACUGCUGCCAUGCAUACGUCUCCCUACGGUGGUACUAGUACAUUGAAGGUGCAGUUGUUCCAAUAAAAAUGCACCAUUAAAUAAAUAAAAACCACCGUUUAUGUUUGAGUUUGUAUUCCUGUAUGAUAAAGGUGCACUGAUACCAAUAAAAAGGCACCAUUAAAUAUGAUGGCUUCGUCACUUUCUUUUUGUUCUUUUGUCGGUUUGUCAGUUGUCCAAGGUAUUCAAGCUCAUAUUCUUUGAUGCGAUGUGGCAAUUGUACAAUGUGAUGGUUAAAACUGGAAGUUCAAGAAAGUCAUAUUCUCAAGAGUAAAAUACACUUUGCCUUCCUAUGAUUUGAUAAUUUUUCACAUAAUCUACAUAUGAUUUCAAAAUUUAUAUAAAAUCUCUUUAUGAUGUGGAUUAAAAUAUCAAAUUGAUGAAAAUAAUCUUCUAUAACAGGAUCUAUAAAAAUGUUCAGAUUACUUUUGCUCCCUCCAUCCCACUUUGAUAGUCCCAUUUCUUUUUUCACACAGUUUAAGAAAAAGUAAUUAACUUUGUUGGAAAAGUAAAUUUAGAUUGCUAUUUUCCUAAAAUACCCUUACAUUAAAUAUGGUACAACUUUAUGGGAACUUGAAUUGAUGGUAAAAAAAGAAUCAACUCUCAUUAAAUGGGGUAGUUUUAUAGUAACAACAACUUACAUUGAAUAAGGGUAUUUUAGGAAAAUUAAAAUACAACUACAUUCUUCAAUUGGAAAGUGGACAACAAUUUGGGACAGACGAAAAAGGAAAACGGGACUAUCAAAGUGGGACGAAGGGAGUAUUUAAAAACUAAAAUGACUAAGAUGAUCAAAACAUAUAAAUAUAAUGUGUAUGAUAUAUUAAUUUCUUAUGAUUUUAUAUUUUAUCAUAUAACUCCAAUAUAUAAAUAUAAUAUAUAUAUAUAUAUAUAUAUGAUAUUUCCAACUAUAACCUGACAAUAUGGAUUUUGAAUUCUAAAGGUAAACACUACUAUCAGGAAGAGGGAAAACCUUUAAGUUACCAUCUCAGUGGAUAUUUCCCUGAAAAAUUACCAUUCUUUUCCUCUGUAAAACGAUGUUGUCCAGCUGAUUCUUGCAUGAAUUAAUGGACACUACAGUGCAGUUAGCAAGAAUGCGGCACAAAAAGAAUCCGGUCAGAUUCUGACUCUAAAAGGAUAGGACAAAGUUUGAAGUCAACUAAAAAUUGGCAUAUAUCAAAAUCCAAAAGCCGCCUAGCGUAACCGCUUGACCUCUCUCUCGUCAUGGUAUCAAUGUUUAAAAACUCAAACCAGAGGGUGAACUGGUUAAGUGUUUGGUUCAUGGUUCAACCCUUUUUUUUAUUUUACUAUCAAUGAUAUUCUUGUCUAGCAAUUAUAUCUUUCACUUAUCUCUUUACUAAAAAUUGUUGUAAUCCUUUUGAAAUACAUUGCCACUAGAUUUAGAUUCCAAAUGCAAACUAAUUAUCACUUAUUAUCUUCUAUUAUAUUUAAAGAAAUUAGUUAACGUAAAAAAGUUCAAAAGUUUGAUCAACUUGAGGAAAAAUAAUUUUAAUUUCGACAAAAAGAAUUACAAAUUCUACGAACUAAAUCAAACCACAUAUUUUGUUUGGAAGCAACAUCUUCAUAUGGGCCUCAAAUCUUCAUAAACAGCUACAACGCACGGCACAUCUUCAAAAAAUCUGCAUAUCACAAUUCAUAAUCAUCAUCCAUAAGUGUCCAUCACCGUCUUCAGCAAACCCUAUUUAUCAUAAAAAAAAAUAAAAGAAAUUAGACAAAAUGACGUUAAACAUCAAAAUAGCAAAAAAGAUGGGGGAAACGUAAGAAAAACUACAGAUAAUUAAUUAGCAAUACAAGGUCAAAAAAGAAACCCAAACCAUAAAAAAGGAAAACUAUAAGAACAUAAGGAAAAACAAAGUUGCAGAAAAUUAAUUACCAAUACCAAAAAACAUAAAAUAAAAUCAUAAAGAACAAGGAAAAAACUUGCAUUUGUUACAAGGAAAAGUCCAAUUAUUGAAAAAGCAAAAAAAAAAAAUUUUAAUCAUACAAAACAAGGAAAAUAAUUAAAAUUUUACAAAAAAAAAUUUACAAAUUCUACAAACUAAGUCAAACCACAUUUUUUUUCUUCGUAUGAGCCUCAAAUCUUCACAAACAGUUACAACACAUGGUGCAUCUCCAAAAAAUUCUCUAUAUCUCAAUUCAUCCUCAUCAACACACGGCGCAUCUCCAAAAAAAAAGCUCUAUAUCACAAUUCAUCAUCAUCAUCCUCAUCCAUAAGUGUUCCUCAUAGACAUCAGCGCACCUUCUUUAUCAUUAAAACUAAAUAAAAUUAAUUAGACAAAAAGGUGUUAAACAGCAAAAAAGAAGGAAAAAAAACUAUAGGAAAUUAAUUAGCACUACAAGUUCAAAAAUGAAAACCGAAACCAUAAAAAUUGAUAACGGUAAAAACAUAAGGAAAAAGGAAACAUGCAUACACAAAACUAAUUACCACUGCAACAAAAAACAUAAAAUCAAAAUUGUAAAGGAAAAUGAAAAAUAAAACUAGCACCACAAAACAUAAAUUAACUAGCUCUAAAAAAUGAAAACCAUAAAACAAGCAAAAGGGACGCAAACAAAAAGAAAAACUACAAGGAGUCAAUCAAUACUACAAAAUAUCAAAAAUCAUAGCGAAAAAGACAGAAACAUGCAACUAGCCCGGUUCUUGUGUUUGGUAAGAAAUGAAUGGGAUUUGUGUAAAAGCUUUUGUCAUUCUAUGGUUAUUAAAUCAUCUACAUGUUUGUCUAUACAAGGACAUGAUUGUGCUUUACAAGGAAUGCAUACACGAUAGGAAAAUGAAAUAUUUAGAUAUAUAUACAUCAGCAGAUUAAGAUAUUGAAAAUCAUAAUAAAUUGUGCCAUCAAUUAGUAUAUAUGAUUGAACCAAUUUGUCCUAGAGUUUCCAGUGUGGACGAAUCUGGACUAAUAAUUUGCACUAUGCAAAAUAGAUAUGAGAAUGGAGAUUAUAAGGUUAUGGAGCUAUAGAUAUUGUAAAAUUUUGGAAAAAUAGAAUAGAUUGGAGAUAAAUAGAGAAAAGGAGAGAAGAUGAGGAGAGGAAUAGAUUGGAGAAAGAGAAUUGUUGAUGGCUAGUUGCUUGAGAAGAGUAAAUUUAGAGCUUGAUUUUUUAAGUUUGAUUUUUUCAGUUAGUUGGAUUUAUGUGAACAAAUUUUACAAAUCGGCAGGUUACAGUUCAAUUGGUUAUAUACUGGUUUGUCGAUUUUGAUCGGUUUUUAGUUAUUUAACUUAUUUCCAGCUUUGAUAUCCAAUUUGAUUGGUGUCAUGAUCUGUUCAUGGUUUAACCAGUCAAGCCGGUCAGUCUGACUCGAUUUAAAAACAAUGCAUGAUAGCCUUCUUUUAUGUCUCUGGUAAGAUGUCAAAAUCCUUUAAUUUUGGCUUGAGAAAAAUUAAUGUUGUUACUGCUUGUUUACCCAAAAGCCAAAUCAAGUCACAAUACACCGGGAAGACAGAAUUUUAUCCCGUCUAGAAAAUGCCAUUUAUUAAUGCCAAGGUAAAUUUAUCAGGAAGAAACCAACAAAUACAUAGUGCUAUAGAUUAAACACUGGUUUCCUAAACUAUAAAUAGAAUGCUGAUGGAUUGAUUCAUAAAACAAUCACUUCUAGUUCAACGUGUCAAUGAUGAAAGGCGCAUUAGUCAUAUUUCUUACCCUCAUAAGCCAAGUUUCAUUUGUAAAAUGUUACGAGGGAGAAAAAUACGAGACCCUUCGAAAAUUCCUCCUCCCUGAGAGCUUAAACAGAUCAAACAAUUACAUUACUGAUGAGGAUUCAGCUCAUCAGUAUUCGCCAGUAUAUAUUGGUCCUCAAGAGGGGUUUAAAGCAGCCAACAAAAUCAUCGCAUUGCCAGGGAACCAAAAGGAGUAAAGUUUGAUCAAUAUUCAGGGUAUGUCACUGUUGGUCCUACGGCUGGUCGAGCUCUCUUUUACUAUAUUUCCGAGUCCGAAAACCCUUCUAGCAAGCCUCUUGUGCUGUGGUUAAACCAAGGUAUAUGUCCUAAUUAUUUUCCCUAACCUAUUAAGCAUUCUGGAUGUGCGUAACUUGGAAAAAAUCUCUUAAUGGGUGAUGGCAGGGCGUGGCUGCUCUUCUCUGGGUGUUGGAGCAAUGAGUGGACAAGGUCCAUUUCGAGUCAGUAAAGAUAACAAAACACUAUGGCACAAUGAAUAUGCCUGGAAUAAAGGUAGAAGCGAAUCCAUACAAUUUUAUAACACUAAAAUUCUUUUGCAAAUAUUUUAAUGAGCUCUCGAGAGUUAUCAUGUUUGAAUUCAGUGGCAAACAUACUUUACUCGGAAUCACCGGCAGGUGCUGGAUUUUCUUACUCAAACACGUCAUCUGAUUACACUAUUGGAGAUAAACAAACGGCAAAAGAUUCUUACACAUUCCUAAAAAAUUGGUUGGAAAGAUUCGCUAACUACAAAAGCAGAGACUUUUACAUAGCUGAAGAAGAUUAUGCUGGCUUUUUCGUACCUGAACUUGCUUAGCUUAUCCUCCAUAACAACAAAAUAACUAACCAAACGGUAAUUAACUUGAAAGGAAUUGCAGUAAGUUUUGUUUCUUUUUUUUCCUUUAUUGGUUACAUUAUAUGUGCUGUUCAAACAUCAAUAUGUUUUACAUCUAAUGAUGAUGCUGUCUUGUUAUUUUCAGAUGGGAAAUGCUAUUGUGGAUACAGAAAACCAAAGCAAGGGACCAUAUGAUUUUUUGUGGUCACGUAGCCUAAUAUCUGAUGAAAUAUAUCAAGGUUUAGUCUCAAAUUGCACUUGUAAUAAGUACGCCGAACAAGCGGUGAAGGCAAUGGGAAACAUCAAUCGCUACAACAUCUAUGCUCCAGUGUGCUCUUCUACUUCCAAUGCUCCUUGGGUACAAUUCUACUCUUCAUAUAUGAUAUGUUACCUUUCUAUUCUCAUCUGAAUGAAAAGCCAAAUUACUUACAGCAAUUUGCAAUGUUUCCGUUGAUUGAAAUAGAUAUACGGUGAAGAUCCAUGCGCGGAUGAUUAUGCGUUAUCCUACCUAAACAAUCCUGAAGUGCAAAAGUCGCUUCAUGCGAAUGCAACUGGAAUUGGACUUAUGGGUUACUGCAGGUACGUAUGCUAUCGUGCCAUUGCUAUUACAUUAUUUCAUAUCAAUAUUUGAAGUAUAUUUUUUGUGACGUACAUAACUAUCAUCGUUCUAUGGCUUGGAUAUCCAUAUAUAGCAGAUUCAUUAAUUGGACCGAUAGUCCAGAUACAGUUUUAUCUACCAUUAGGGAGCUAAUGGCAGGUGGCAUUAACGUAUGGAUGCAUAGGUAACUAAGUGAUGAAUUUGUGGUUGUGGAAAAGCUAGCAUUUACGACAAUCUGCCUUUGUCCAUCUAUUGUGUUAACUAAGACAUUGCAACAAUUUUGAUGAAUUCCAGUGGAGAUACAAAUAGCUUUAUACCCGUGACGGCAACUAGGUAUGCCAUAAAGAAGCUAGGGGUAGCCGUGAAAGCCCCUUGGCAACCGUGGUACUCCCAAGGCGAGGUAAAACAAAAGUGAGGUUCAAAUAUAUUGUAUUUAUUCAAGUCAUUCACUUCCUCUUGAUACUAGUAUUAAUUGAAUCUGUUCUAAAUUGAAAAUGAUUAGGUUGCAGGAUUUGUGGUGGAAUAUGAGAACUCAACAUUUGUGACUCUUAAAGGAGCUGGAUUGUUCGCUCCCAGCUAUAAGCCUGCCCGCUCACUCGCUAUGUUCUCAUCAUUCUUGGAAGGAAAUUUUCCUUCAUCAAGCUAGGACAAGAUGAAAGGGCCAAAGAGGAAAGGAGUUUGAUUAGUGCCAUGGAGCAAAUUGUUCAUGAUUGUUCAGCUCAUUUGGUUUGUUGUUUCACUCAUGGUUCAACUUUGUUAAACCAAAAUAGGUUUCUGUACGUUGCUUCAAGUUUAUAAUUAUGGAGGGCCUCUGUAAGUUUUAUGUUUUAAUAAAGAACUCUGAAAUUGUCUUAAGAUCAAUUUGUGGCUUGGUCACUGUACAACUAUCCUUGACUUGGAAGUUAACCAUAAAUUAAUUUAAUUCAUACCCCAAGUCUGCCCUUAAUUCAGAAGCAUAGAUGUACGUGAAAGCAAAUAUUGGGUGGACCACAGGAGAAACUGUGAAUUUCUAAUUGGAAGAUUGAAGUCAUUGGCACAUUAAAUUUCUCAUUAGAAAUUUCAAAGUUGAUGGAUAUAAUCUCUCUAGGUUUAACUGUUUAAGUACUCAUUCUUCUUUAAGUACACAUCGAAUCACUCCGAGUCAUCCCGAAUUAACUCGAAUUUUUAUUAAUUUUACUAAUUUUUUAAUUAUUUUUUUAUCAUAUUUUUUACAAUUUUUAAAUACAGAUGGAUGCUCAAGGGGCAACCUUGGGAGGAGUGGAGGGGGAGGUCUGAUUAGGGAUAGGAAUGGGCAAGUCAUAUUAGCAUUUUCCUGUUAUUUUGGGGAGAUGACUAGUUUGCAAGCGGAAGUGAAAGCGCUAUUACACGGGGUGCGGUUGGGUAUAGCUCGAGGACUGUCCAAUGUACACUUGGAGUCUGACUCGUUGGUCCUUGUCCAAAUCAUUCAGGGAAGAGUCAAGUGUCCGUGGGUUGUGUAGCGGGACGUACAAGAAUUGCUGCGGUAUAGCCGUCAUUACAAAGAGAUUUCACAUUGCUUGCGAGAAGCGAAUAAACCUGUGGAUAGACUAUCGAAGCUUGGAGCUGAUUCGGGGGAGUCGGUAGUUUACGACUCCUUUGUUGAUCUUCCCCGCUUGGUUAGAGGAGACAUUACUUUGGAUAGGUGGGGUUGCCUUAGUUUCCGUAGGGGUAGAUAUAAAGGAUAGGUUGGGUUACUUGUUCAGGCAUGCUGGGGGUGCUGUCUCCCUCUAUGUACUUUCGAUUCUUUAUAAUAAUAAAAUAAAUUGAUAAAAAAAAAUAUUUUAAAAAUUCGUGUCUCGUUGAGACCGCGAUCGAUAUGUCGAGACCGAUGUAGAACGAUUCAAACCGCGAUCGCGACUUUGAACCAUGACUUGAAGAUGGCAUCGGUUCAUGUGUCAACUUGCUAAAAUAACUAAAUCAACUCCAUAUUCGAAUUCUGAAGUUGAUAGUGAGAGGAGAUCUUAGUCACUGGACCAACCCGGCCUUGUGAUAUGAAGUCAAAGGUUUGAAUGAUGAUAAAACAAUAACAGAAAAAUAUAGGCCUAGCUAUAGUAAUUAGGUGAUGUUGGUGUAUAUUUUCACACUGACCUCAUCACGGACGUGUAAAAACAUGUUCCAUGCUAGUGGACCCUGAUUUUGGUGAUAAGGUCCAACAUUACCACAAAUUAAUUUAUGGGGUGCAUUACCACAUUUUUACGCCUAUAAAUACAACGAGUCUGGUUCUCUGCUAUACCAAGUUUUCGACAGUAACCAGUUACAAAUAUCUAUUUUCAUCCUUAUUAAUUAGCAAGCUAGCUCUUUAAGGAAAAAAUGGCUGCAGCCAAAUCUGCUAUUGGCACUGGAAAGGUAAAUAGCGAUUGUACGCCUAGCUAGACUUAGAUUUCUUUCUUUUACAAGUUUGUGUGUGGUUUUGAGAAUCAACUCAUAAACAACUUGUACAGAAACGUUUGCAAGAGUAUAAGGAGUUGCAAAUUAAAGUAACAUUAACAUUCUUGAAUUUUCUUAAGCAAUAUUUUAUGUAUUCUAGUUGUCUACAUGCAUAUGUGUAGGCGGUCUCUUGAAUUGUCUGAUUAAGCUUCUUCUGAGUGAUACAGUUUCUUAUUAAUUGGUCGGAUUUAGUUUUCUGGUCGUUUGUUUAUUUGAAAGGAUUCUAAUUGAUUUUGGGAAACUCAAUUAUUUUGGGUUUUGAUACUGAAAAAUAUGUUUGGGGUUUACAGAACGACAUCAGUGAACUAGAACCAGUGAAGCCGGCUGACCCUCACGUGGUCCAGAUCGGAGAAUUUGUAGUGGAACAAUGCCACCACGGCCAGCUGCUUUUCGUCGCCGUGGUUGGAGGAUUCACGUGGAGCGGUGAUGGAGGUUAUUACUACGCACUUAUCAUUGAAAAUCAGGAUAGCGACGGUGCCACAUAUCUCCAUAAAGCACUUGUUCUUCAGACCCCAAGUGAAACGAAACUCAUCUGGCACAAGAAGUAAGCAAGCACUGCUGUUGAUCAACUGAGGAUCAACGACAUUAAGUACUCUAAUUAUAUAGUGUCUUUGGUGUGGUUUUCAGUUUCUGCAUGGAUGAUGUAUUGCUGGCAUGCAUACAUCUCCCUGCUGUUGUACUAGUAUGUAAGGUGCAGUUCUACGAACAAAAAUGCACCGUUAAAUAAAAAAUCCGCUGUGUGUUUGAGUGUGUGUCAUUUUACUAGUAUGUCAAAGGUGCACUUAUACGAACAAAAAUGCACCAUUAAAUAAAUAAAAACAGCCUUCUGUGUUUGAAUUUAUAUCAAUGUAUUUUGUUUCUCUGUUGCUUGCAAGCAGGUUCCAAUCACUAAGUUUUGUAUGUCAACUAAAUACUAUAUUCGUGACUAGUUAUAAAAGCUUACUAGCUAAAUAUUACUUAAAAUGAAUCCAAACCUUAAAAAGAAAUGAAAGAUUAACUGAUAUAUCGAGGAAAAGACAUAUAACUCAAAAACUACAGUUCAAAGAUCAGAGUUUCUGCUUUCUGCAACCAUUCUUUUGGUCAUCUCUAAACAAUGUGUAUCUUACCAUGUGCUAAAUAAGUUCAGAAUGCAUAGGUAUGAGCAAAGAAUGAUAUUCUCUCUUUAAAAUGUGACAACAAAAUUAAUAGAUCUACAUACUUAUCCCCAUUUUUUGUUUGAAAUUCAAUGAAUUAGAGAUCAUGAAAUUCAACACAAAAUCAUUCAAGCAAUCAAGAAGAAAAUAACAUCUUACCGUUAAUAUUAAGGAAAAAAAUUAGACUUUCCUCCCCCUUCAGUUUUAGAACUAUGUUUAGUUUUCCUUUUAGUCCAAAACUCUCACUUGAUUUCACUGUAGCUAAAUGCUCAGGCACUUGACAUAUGGUAGGAUACGCACAUAUUUAUAUGUACGUACGUACACACACAUAUAUAUAUAUACAUAACAUAUAUAUACACACACAUAUAUGCACACUAGUAACAGAGAAGGUGCUUUCCACGUGAAUAUGAUGCUUUUCGAUUUUCCUUUUCUUCUCAAAAAUUAAAAAAAAAAUCAAUGAAAUUGAGAUAAAAAUAAUGUGAUAUUAAACGUUUAUAUUUUUUUAUAUUUUUUGAAACUUGAUUUAUCCUAACCAACACAAAUGCGCAAGCAGCAAAGUAUCCUUUAUCCCAAGAGCACUUUUGUUUUGUAAUAGUAUCAAUGUUUUCGUGUUUUGGUUGAAUUUAAAUGACUUGAAUAUUGUUCUCUUUUAUGUCAUUUGAGUUAAAGUUUUUAUCUUCCUAAAUAAUUUAUUGUUCCCCUUUGCGUCAUUCUAUGAAUUUUUUAUUAGUUUUAGUGAGUUUUUUCCUUUAUUAUUUCUAUUAAUGGUGGAAUGUAAAAUGAUUCAUAGUGCUAUUGUAAUUAUAAAAUAAAUUCAAUGCAUUUAAGGUAAUGACCAUGACAGAACUAUACGUUUUGUUGAAAAAUGAGGAUAUUUAAUUUAUAGGCCAAGCUAAUUUGGUGAUCUUUGAGGAUAUUUCCACACUGACCUAGUCACCGAUGUGUCAAAACGUGUUCCACAUUGGUCCUUGUCAAAUUUUCACACGUAUUAAAUUAAUUAUAAGACGGCGCAAAAUUCAAGUUCAUCAUAGUAGCAGCUCCGACCAUGACACUGGAUGACUCCAAUUGCACUGUAUGACUUAAUACUUAGAUUUCUGAGUUACUUCUAUAUGAUUACCUGAUCUUCCAUGUAUUUAUGACUAUACUAAACUGCAACCAUGACCAUGUCACAAUAGUCUUCCCUCUUCUGUAACUUUUUGAGUAUCAAUAAAAGUAAUAUUUGCAUAAAAUAUUGGUUUAAAAACGGAAUAACAUAUUUUUGCUUCCUUUUAAGAGCAUGGAUAAGACUUGUUUUAAGUGAUGACUUAAAUGCACCUUCCUCAAUUGCACUUAAUGAGUGGAUAAGUAUAUGCAAUCACAAUAAUUGCACUCCUUGCAUUUCGAUAUGUUCCAUAAUUAACUAUACAUUUCAAAAAAAGACUAACACCUAGUUAUAUUUUCUAAAAAAUAAAGUAACACCUAGCCAAACUGAAAUUUUAACAUUAAAAAAUUGUAUAUUGAAUAGAAAAAAUAACUGUGAGGUGUGAGACAUAAGUUGGUGAAAGGACAGAUUUCAUUUCAAUGCUGCGUCAUUAGAGUCUAACUUUGACCUAAAGUUCUUCUUCUUCUUUUUUUGUCCUUUUUUUUUUUUGUCUACACAGGGGUGUCCGGGUCAAUCCUUACGGGACCCGACUAAUCCCCUGCGGCCCGGCCAGGCGCCCCAGCCCAGCCCAAGCACGAUAUGUGCGCGGAGGAAUCCAGCAAAGCAGAGACUCGAACUUGGGACCUCUCGGUCACCGGUGGGAGGUGCUACCGCUGGACCAUUCACGCGGGGGUUUCUUCUUUUUUUUUUUGUCCUUGGAACAUGUUUAAUUGAUCAAUGUUUUCUCCUUAUUCUAUAAUCUUGGAUAAUCUUUGUUUAAAAGAUUUUUUUUUGUGAAAACAGUUUGUUGCCUAUUGGGAGGCAACCCAAUAUUUUAGUAUUUUAUUUCAAUUAAGUGCGAUUUUUGGGUUUAGUUAAGUGUUGAUAUUUUGUUAUGUUUGUUUUGUAGCAAUGGGAAAAAGAAGCAAAAGAAGCCAAUUGAGGUGAAAAUGGCGAAUUUCGAUCAAGAAACUUAAUUCCUUGAUCUGAGUAAUUGUUGUUCUUGAUUUGUUAAAGAGGGUUAGAAUGCAUGUUUUGAUCAUUUUACAUAUGCGCGCAUUGAUUAUUUUGACAAAAGAAUGAUCUAGAAUGCAUUUUGAGAAAUUGGGAUAAAGUGUGUAAUUUUUAAAAGGUAAAAAUUUUCUGCAGAAAAUUAUAGCUCGGAAAACGUGGCAUGAGCUUAGGUUCAAAAUAGUCCUCAUAUACUAAAAUGAACUUAUAGUUAAUUUCAAAAUCAUGAAAGUUGGUAUGAUUUGGUUAUAAGUAUAGUUGAAUCACUACGAGAGUAGGCUUCACAAAAUGCAGUUAUAAAUAGCAGGUAUAUUUGUCUGGUCUUUUACUUUUUUUGGUUUGUAUAGAUCUUUCAAGAGUCUAUGUAUAUCUGUUCGAGUAAUUGUCAAUCGUCUUCUUUUACAUCAACUCGUUAAGAAAUACAUCAAAUCUUGAAAGAAAUACCAAAAAUAUAACUUAUUAUGUAACUGGAAUUAUCAGAUUUAAGCCUAAGGUUUUUUUUUUUUUAACCCUCCAUCUCCUCUCCACACCCCUUUCCACCCCCAACUGUCAGUCUUGUGAUUCAAACUUUGAACUUGACGGAGGAGGAAGCUCUUAGCCUUGGACCAACCCAGCCCAGGGGCAUGAAGCCAAAAGUUCGAGUGAUGAUAAAACAGUAACAUAAAAUUAUAGGCCUAGCAACAGAUAUUAGUAUAAUUUCACACUGACCUCAUCACGGACGUGCAAAAACGUGUUCCAUGCUGGUGGACCAUGAUUUUGGUGAUUAGGUCCAACAUUAAAUUUCUCAUUAGCAAUUUCAAAGUUGAUGGAUAUAAUUUCUCUAGGUUUAACUGUUUAAGUACUCAUUCUUCUUUUUCUAAUACUAGGUAUGGCCAAGCUCAUAAAUAUGCCAAAUAGAAAUUUCUAUACGACCUCUUAAAUAAAGUUUGGAUUUUUCUUUGGUAAGUCACAUUCAUCUCUACCAUAUUCCAACUUAAUUUCAACGAGAAUAUGUACAAGAAAUCAUAUUUAAUUCAUCAUCAUUGAAAGUAACACAUCAAUGUGCGAACCAUUCAUUCCCAAACUAAGUAAUUGUCUUUCUUCAUAGCUACCUACUAAGCAUUCUUGUGAUGUUAGUCAUGCUUCUCUAAUCUAAAUUAUUUGGCUAUUGCUUUUCUAAAUCUUUCACUAAAAUUGACAAUCAACUGGACUAAACAUUCUAUAAUAGUGUUUUAUAUGUCUUCGUGAGGGAGAAUUUUGAUAGUAAUAAAACACUUGAAAUAGUCAAACUAAGAAGCUGUCUUUCUUUAUAAAUGCUUGGUACUUACUAAGCAUACUGGUGAUGUUAGUUAUGUUUCUGGACAUUUCCCGCGGUCCCGCCCCCUCCUUACCUCAAAAAUUCUUUUGCAAUUUCCCCGCUCGCUGCCAUCAUUUUGAAGCGUAGAUGAGUUGUAGAGAGGGGAAUUGACAAGAGAGUGGAGAUGGGGUAUGAUUAUGAUGAGCAGAAUGAAAAACAUCAGCACCAUGAAGCAGUAGAUGGGCUGUUCAAUCUUUUCAAUAAAGCCAACAAUGAUCUCGCCAUGCUCCAUGACAGACUUGACAAGGAGUUCAAGCAAAUCUACCCCGAUAAUGCAAACCCAAUGAAGCUUGUGGCCAGAAUCAAGAAAAUUCAGGAGGAGGUAUCAUCCCUUAAUGAGCAGUGUCGUGAACUUCUUGCAGCCAAGCAGGAUUUAAUUGACAAAGCCAGGGUAAUCUUGGUUGGAAACAGGUCAUUACUGCAGAGGCUUCAAGCGUCAACAGGGGUUCCAGUUACUGAUGAUUCUAAUGACUCUGCAUACACAAACUUCAAUCAGAUAAUUGAGGAGUGGACAGUUCAAGUGAGAUCAAGAACAGUUAUCUUCAAAAAGUAAGUAUGCUAUCUGGAGCUUCAAUGUUUUGUCAAAAGGGCUACCAGCUAGAUAUUGAAGGGCUCUAUGGCUUACUUCAGCUUGUAUGUGAGGAAUAUCAUCAACAAAGAAAAGAUUCUGCCUUGAUGGAUUUGACCUAUAUGAGUCGGGAUAAAAUAUAAACUGCUAUGUGCAAAAACAAUUACCAAGCAAGUUAUAUCUUGCAGGAUAUAGUUUCUUCAUGUGCAGAUUCCCUCUGCAAUGAAUGUGAUGAGAAGCAGGAGUCAGGUCCUGAAGACAUAAACCAUCUGCUCUUCUCAGCAAUCGUUCCAGGCAACUGAAGAUUUUGUUUGUUUGUGCGCAUGCACGCAAGUGUGUGUAUGUGUGUUCUUUUCUUUUCUUUUUUUUUUUGAAUUUUAUUGGUGCAUAAGUAAAGAUUUUGACUAGUCAUUGUUCCCAAGCUAGUCAAAGCCAGUUCAUUAACCUCUGAAGUUGGUAAAGCUUUUGCAGUGAUACUUGUAUUUGUAUGCAUUUUAGUUCCUUGGACAUAUAUGCCUGCACUAUGUAGUGGUGACAUAGUAUUUUCUAGCGCUUAUUCUUUCCCUAGUGUUCUUCUUUUCCUGUAAAGUAAGCAGCAAAAUAUGAUUUUGAAACAUAAUUGUCUCUAUUUCCCACUCUCAACUUGGAAAAAAAAAAAAAAAAAAAGUUAUGUUUCUCUAUUCUAAAUUAUUUGGCUAUUGUUUUUCUGAAUUUUUCACUAAAAAUGACACUUAACAGGGCUAAACAUAGUACGAUAGUGUCUUUUGUCUUCUUGGGGGGGAAGUUUGAUAGUAAUACAACACUUCAAAUAAUCAACUUUUUAAUUUUAUUAAUCUAAGAAAAAAGAAUUUAGUGAGUAGUUGCUACUAAAGUGAUACAUACAACAUGCAAUGUCACCUGCUCCUGUACUAGCCUUCAAAAAAAGAGAAAGAGCCUUUAAUAUGCUUGAAGACAUGGUUCGAAGACUCGGCCGAGACCGAGACGACUCGGCCGAAUAGUCACCGUCUCGGCCCUUGCCGAUACGAUACCGUGACGAAACGAUACCGAGAUACUUAACUCGCCGAAAUGUCACCGUGAAGGGUUGAAAUGGCCGAGUCACACCGAAUCACUCCAAGUCAUCCCGAGUUAAUUCGAAUUUUUAUUAUUUUUACUAAUUUUUUAAUUAUUUUUAUUUAUCAUAUUUUUUACAACUUUUAGAAUAUUAAAUAUUUCAAAAAUUCGCGUCUCGUCGAGACCGCGACCGAUAUGCCGAGACUGAUGUAGAACGGUCCAAGCCGCGACCGCGACUUUGAACCAUGACUUGAAGAUGGCAUCGGUUCAUGUGUCAACUUGCUAAAAUAACUAAAUCAACUCCAAAUUCGAAUUCUGAAGUUGAUAGUGAGAGGAGAUCUUAGUCACUGGACCAACCCGGCCCAGUGAUAUGAAGUCAAAGGUUUGAAUGAUGAUAAAACAAAAACAGAAAAAUAUAGGCCUAGCUAUAGUAAUUAGGUGAUGUUGGUGUAUAUUUUCACACUGACCUCAUCACGGACGUGUAAAAACAUGUUCCAUGCUGCUGGACCCUGAUUUUGGUGAUUAGGUCCAACGUUACCACAAAUUAAUUUAUGGGGUGCAUUACCACAUUUUUAGGCCUAUAAAUAGAAGGAGUCUGGUUCUCUGCUAUACCAAGUUUUCGACAGUAACCACUUACAAAUAUCUAUUUUCAUCCUUAUUAAUUAGCAAGCUAGCUCUUUAAGGAAAAAAUGGCUGCAGCCAAAUCUGCUAUUGGCAGAGGAAAGGUAAAUAGCGUUUGGAAGAGUAUAAGGAGUUGCAAAUUACAGUAACAUUAACAUUCUUGAAUUUUCUUAAGCAAUAUUUUAUGUUUUCUAGUUGUCUACACACAUUAAUUGGUCUCAUGAAUUGUCUGAUUAAGCUUCUUCUGAGUGAUACAGUUUGUUAUUAAUUGGUCGGAUUUAGUUUUCUUAUAAGCAGUUUGUUUAUUUGAAAGGAUUCUGAUUGAUUUUGGGAACUCAAUUGUUUGGGUUUCACAGAACGACAUCAGUUCACUAGAACCAGUGAAGCCAGCUGACCCUCACGUGAUCCAGAUCGGACAAUAUGUAGUGGAACAAUGUCACCACGGCCAGCUGCUUUUCGUCGCCGUGGUUGGCGGAUUCACCUGGAGCGGUGAUGGAGGUUAUUACUACGCACUUAUCAUUGAAAAUCAGGAUAGCGACGGUGCCACAUAUCUCCACAAAGCACUUGUUCUUGAGACCCCAAGUGAAACGAAACUCAUCUGGCACAAGAAAUAAGCAAGCACUGCUGUUGAUCAACUGAGGAUCAACGACAUUAAGUACUCUAAUUAUAUAGUGUCUUUGGUGUGGUUUUCAGUUUCUGCAUGGAUGAUGUACUGCUGGCAUGAAUACAUCUCCCUGCUGUUGUACUAAUAUGUAAUGUGCAGUUCUACCAACAAAAAUGCACCGUUAAAUAAAAAAAAUCCGUCGGUGUUUGAGUUUGUGUCAUUGUACUAGUAUGUCAAAGGUGCACUUAUACGAACAAAAAUGCACCAUUAAAUAAAUAAAAACAGCCGUCUGUGUUUGAAUUUAUAUCAAUGUAUUUUGUUUCUCUGUUACUUGCAAGCAGGUUCCAAUCACUAAGUUUUGUAUGUCAACUAGAUACUAUACUCAUGAUUAUAAAAGCUUACUAGUUAAAUAUUACUUAAAAUGAAUCCAAAUCUUAAAAGGAAAUGAAAGAUUAAAUGAUAUAUUGAGAGAAAGACAUAUAACUCAAAAACUAGAGUUCAAAUAUGAGAUUUUCUGCUUUCUACAACCAUUCUUUUGGUCAUCUCUAAACAAUGUGUAUCUUACCAUGUGCUAAAUAAGUUUAGAAUGCAUAGGUAUGAGCAAAGAAUGAUAUGCUCUCUUUAAAAUGUGACAACAAAAUUAAUAGAUCUACAUACUUAUCCCCAUUUUUUGUUUGAAAUUCAAUGAAUUAGAGAUCAUGAAAUUCAACACAAAAUCAUUCAAGCAAUCAAGAAGAAAAUAACAUCUUACGGUUAAUAUUAAGGAAAAAAAUUAGACUUUCCUCCCCCUUCAGUUUUAGAACUAUGUUUAGUUUUCCUUUUAGUCCAAAACUCCCUCUUGAUUUCACUGUAGCUAAAUGCUUAGGCACUUGACAUAUGGUAAGAUACACACAUAUUUAUAUGUACGUACAUACACACACACACCCACACACACACAGAUAUAUAUAUAUAUACACAUAACACAUAUAUACACACACAUAUGCACACUAGUAACAGAGAAGGUGUUUUCCACGUGAAUAUGAUGCGUUUCGAUUUUCCUUUUCUUCUCAAAAAUUUAAAAAAAAAAUCAAUGAAAUUGAGAUAAAAAUAAUGUGAUAUUAAACGUUUAUAUUUUUUUAUAUUUUUUGAAACAUGAUUUAUCCUAACCAACACAAAUGCGCAAGAAGCAAAGUAUCCUUUAUCACAAGAGCACUUUUGUUUUGUAAUAACAUCAAUAUUUUCGUCUUUUGGUUGAAUUUGAAUGACUUGAAUGUUGUUCUCUUUUAUGCCAUUUGAGUUAAAGUUUUUAUCUUCCUAAAUAGUUUAUUGUUCCCCUUUACGUCAUUCUAUGAAUUUUUUAUUAGUUUUAGUAAGUUUUUUCCUUUAUUAUUUCUAUUAAUGGUGGAAUGUAAAAUGAUUGAAAGUGCUAUUGUAAUUAUAAAAUAAAUUUAAUGCAUUUAAGGUAAUGACUAGUGUUAUAGCUGUAUACCAAUUUGAAUAGAUGUACCUUUGGUGUAGGCAUGGCCACGGUUCCAGAACGAACCGCAAAUAUACAAGUUAAAAAAAUCGAAUUACACCAAUUCACUGCAAACAUACGUACAUGUAAUCCAAGAAGUAGAUAUCGCUCUUGCGGACCUCCGUGUGCCCCGUCUUCUUUGGGAUGACAUUGUGAGCCAUCAUGUAAAUGAUAAGCCGAUGACGAGGUUCGAAGACAUUAGCCAAAAUGGUCUCCUUCCUUGUAGAGCGAAAAGGUUGGUACUCAAGACCAAACCUAGCCAUGGCCAGCGAGGGAUCCCACCUCCUAUUCGGGGGAACAAACUCCUUCUUCAAAUCUACUGGACGGCCGUCAUCCAUACACCCCAAAAUAGCGGCCAAAUCUUGACGUGACAAGGUGAUUCGUCUUCCACGUACCCAGGACUCAACUAUUUCUCCACUAUAGCGCGCCUUACUCUCAAUGUUAGUGUAAAACUCGCGCACCAAGUCUGGGUAGUAAUGGUUUGGAAGGGUGAGAAUCGGAGCCCAUCCUAGCUGAGCAAAAGCAUCUGAGAUGUUGUACAUCAUCUCAACUGGUGGACUGACAUGCAUCUCAAACAAAAACUCCAAAUUAACACGCGCCUCAUGCCACUCCUGAUUCCUCCGAGUGUUGAACCUCGCACUGUCAAAUAAUGAUUUUCCCGCUCCACGGGAAGUGCCCUCACCCGGUUGACGGCUAACUGGUGGAGGAGAAGGUGAAUUCUCCUCCUCAGUCACUUCCAUCUCUUCAUUAACCUCCCUCUCCUCACUACUAGAGGAUGAAAGUACCGCUCUUCUUCCCCUUGGCAUAGUACCUAAAAGAAAAUGUUGCCAUUAACCACAUGUACUUAGACACAAUUCACAAUUUGGCAAUGAAUAUCCUAAAAUGAUCCAAAUAAUCUCCAAUUUGUCCCUUCAAGUGCUAAUUCGUCCAAUAACUAAUGUAAAAGGACCAAACAAGAAGAGCCAUAAUUUUAUGCCAAAAAUUGCUCAAAAUCACCAAUUGAAAUAAGAUAUGGAAUAAUUAUAACCCAAUUAGUGAAAAUAGCAACAAUUAUGAUUAUAACUAUUUAGAAUUAACAAUAAUAAUAUGCUUUUAGCUAUAAUCAUGUUUAGGCAAAAAUUAAAUCCAUUAACUCACCAAAUCAACCAAAUUACUCACUAUACACAAUGCACAUGCUCAAACAUCAUCAACUAACCAUUCUUAACCAUAAUUAAUCAUCACUAAUGGCUCAAAAACAUCCUAACUCCAUUUCCCAAUUUCCUUCAAAUAUAGCAAUUAUCAAUUUAAAAUCACUAGUAAACCAAUAAUUUGCUACAUUUAAACACAUAAACAUGCUUAAACAAUGUUAACAAGCAUGAAUAAAAUAAAAAAUAGUCAAAUACAUCAUCAAAUUUUUGAAAUUAAAAGAUGUCAGAAAACUCAGGAUAAAAAAAUAUGAACUUCUAAAAUCAAAAGAUUUGAUGAAGAAACUUAUCUCAAUCACAUAGAAGGAUGUUUGGUGAUGCUAAAAAUGAAAAAAUCCUUAUGAAAAAACCUCCAAUUGACCUCUAAUUGAAGAAAUUAGAGUUGAAGAACCCUAACCUUCAAUCCUUCAAAAACUGAAUUUGAGGUGUUUUUCUUGGAUUUCAAUCGGUUAAAAAAAAUUGUAUGGAGCUCAAAAGGUGUUGGGUUGAUGUUUUCUAGCAAGAUUAUGGAACAAAAUUGAAGAUUUGUGAGUUGGGUAGAAGAGGAGGAAAAACGCGCCUGGAAAAUGGAUAAGAGAAGAAGAAGAAAUGUUGGAAAUCGCGUUUCUACAACCUAUAUUCAGUCACAGAAAACGCGACUGAAAACGCGCCUUCAACUCUCGUUUUUUAAGUGGCGUUUUAUGCACAAAUCUUGCAGCAAUGAAAACGCGACUAUGUAGGAAAACGCGACUUUGAGUCGCGUUUCUGAAGUCGCGUUUUUGAAUCUUGAUCCAGGCUUGAAAACGUGAUUUAGCAGAAAAACGCGAUUCUAUGUCGCAUUUUGUAGCGCGUUUUCUUCGCGUUUUCUUUGUAAACGCGUUUUCUGCUGCGACUUUUAGCAGAAUUUCAACUUUUCAAAAGUUACACCAAGUACCCCAAUCACUCAAAAUGCAUCAUAGAUCAUUUCUUUGCCAAUUUUAUCGAUGUGCACACAUGUAAAUUGAUAAAAACAUGCAUUUUACCCCUUUUCGACGGAUCAAACACACCUUUAACGCAAAUCAAGGGGUUGAGUGGCUUGAUCAAGGUUCGCCUUUUUUACCUCAAAUGGUCAUUCUUGCUUCCAAUUGCCAACCCUAUAGCACAAAAACAACAAAUCAACUAAAACACUUAUUCAACCCACAAAAUCACACCAAAAUAACAUAAGGUACUAAAAUAUUGGGCUGCCUCCCAACAAGCGCUUUUAUUUAUAGUCGUUGGCUCGACUAUAUCACCUCCUUUUUUCAAGGAGGUUUAGUUAACGAAUAAUCCACCAUUUUUGGACGUGGUGAAUCAUUAAAUGGUGACUUUAUAGCAAAAGUCACAUGAUUUAAUGAUGUGAGAAAUGAAAGUGACUUACCUAUUCCAAGUGUUUCAUAGAUAUUACCUUGAAUAUGCACCACUUGAGAAUUCACCAAAGGAAAUGCCAUGAGAGUAUCUUGGGCAGGAAUACCUUUAAAACAUGUACUUUUUAUACACUCUUCAAGAGGGGUGAAAAAUGAGUCAUUAAAACUCACCUCUUGAGAUUCAAAGUUAGUUCCAAAGAUAUUAUUAUGUGAAAUGGACAUUUCUUUAUCGAAACACACUUGAGAUUCAUCAUUUUCAUCAAAAUGCAACCCAAUUUCACAUACAACAUUCCCACCAUUCAUGCUAGGAUCAUUUUGCAAAUUAUUAGAGGAAAUAACUUCACACAAUGCAUUCAAUUGCUCAUGUAUUUUACUAAAGUGAGAAGCUAAUUCAUCUAUUCUUUCCUCAAUCCUAUCAAAACGGUCGGAAGUUGCAUUUGCUAGCUUUUUUAUUGCUAAAUCAAAUUGAUUAGAAAAAUUUUCUAUAACUAGCUCCCAAGAUACAUUAGAAUCAUUAGCUAAUGAUUCACUUUCUAACUCCCAAGGUAGAGGUGCAUUAGCUAACUUCUCUAUUGCCAACUCCCAAGAUGGUUUUGAUUCAUUUUGGACACUUUCAAGUUAGUAAUCAUAAAAAUACGGAUAAUCACUAUAUGCACAUUGAUUUUCCCAACCAUAAGCAGGAGAAUUAACACUAUAUCGAUCAAAACAAGGAUUGUAAUGCUCUAAUUCAUCAUAAUAAUCCACAUUUUGUACUUGCAUACAUGUAUUAGUAGCAUGAUAACCUCCACACAAGUCACAAAUCACAUGAUAAGAAUUAAAAGCAUUAACAUUCCUCCCUUGCUCAAUUUCAUGCAUAAUUAUAUCCAUUUGAACUUCUAACAUCAUAACAUCAAAUUUAGCUUUUAAACACCUUAAACCAUCUUCAAAAGACAUACAUUCAGUAAAUUCUUGGUUACCUCUAUUGAAAGAGCUUUGCACUUGGUAACCAUCCAUUGUCAAUCUUCCACUUCUCAAGUAUUGUCCUCCAAAUUGAUCUAUCCUCCUUAUCACCUAAAAUUGCUUUUAAACAACUUAAGAGCAAGAUUAGUAAGAAAAAUAGGUGAUAAAAUGCAUACACACAUAAAACACUAAAAUAACAGAAAAUAACCUUCACACAAUAACUAAUAAAAUGUCUAAACUAAUAAAGUUGCUCUUCAAACAGAUAUUACCAAAUCUUCCCCGACAACGGCGCCAAAAACUUGACGGGUAUUUUACAUACGUACAAGUUAAAAAAUCGAAUUACACCCGUUCACUGCAAGUAUAUAGGUCAACUAGUAGUUUAGGGUAUAUAUCGGGUCGAUCCCACAGGAAAGAGUGAACAAUUACCGGUAUUACUAAAGCUUCUCUAUUAUUUAGACUAUCAAUGAAUUAUAACAAAUUUAACCUACUGAAAUUAUACAAAAUAACAAAUAAAAGCUCCUUAGGUUGUGGUAUCCCUAACUACUCAUGCAAGUGUUAUAUUUGGAUCAUUGAGUACUACAUCUAGGCUAGUUAUGGUGUAAUUUCCUUAUGCAUUUGAAUCCUACUUUCGUAGUGAAUCAAUUAUACUUAUAAUUAAUCCAUACAUAUUCUCAUGGUUAUGAAAUUAGCUACAAGUUCAUUUCUUCAGUGAAAUUACAUGAAAUGAAUCACUAAAAACCACAUAGGUGCACCUCUACUUUCAUGAGUGUACUCCCUAUGUUUAGCACUUCUUGAACUAGUGUUAAAUCUCAAUUUUUAUUGCAGAAAUAACAGCUUAGAUAAUCACAAUUAAUGGUACCAGAUUAAUCAUGAUUUAAAGAGCUAAAGUACUAAAUAACUUGCUCAAAUCAUAGCAAUCAAAUAACCAAAUAAUAAACACUAACAAUCAUAGAAAGUUCAACCAAACCCAAGGUAUAAACUUUAAAGACACAUAAUAAACACAAAAUCCAGAACUUGUAUAUUAACUAAACUUGGAAUCAGGUACAAAAGAUAAAGAUUUGGAAGGAAUACAACCCUUGUCACAUGAGCUUUCUUCCUUGCCUUCUUCAUCCUCCAUCUUCUUCUUCAUCUAGCUAAUAACAAGAAUGGAUGAACUAUCUUACUCUACACUAAACUAAACUAACACUAGGAAGAUGAAAAGAGCUACAUUUCUGCAACUUCAAGCUUCUCCCAUAUGUCUUCUCUUCUACAUUUGCUAGCUAGAGAGAAUUUGCUAUCAGAAAUUCUGGCUACGUAAGGAUCUCUUGACCUCUCCCAAUGUCUCUGCAUAAAAACUGCUCAAGAGCUCCCUUUUUCCAAGUCAAAUUCCACCUUUUGAUUCCCAAAUCUCAACUUUGUUAGGAUAGUCAAUAACCAAUGUUUUGACUUGAAAAUAAACCACUUUUCUUGCCCUUUUGUCUUCUGAAGCAUGUGCACCGAAUUCCUUUGCAUCUUAUAGCUGGAAAGUGGUAUGAACACAAGAGAAAUGGCUGAGUCAAAUUGCAGAAUUUCGGCUACAAAACGCGCCUACACAAAACGCGACAUCAACUCGCGUUUUGUCUACUCGCGUUUUCACUCUGGCCUUAUUUCAACUGCAACUUUCUCCAGGAUAAAGGCCGAACUAGCUUUUGUGCAAAACACAAAAGUUGUAGCCCUUUGCGUUAGAUUUCCAAUGCUUCAAGAAUCAUCCAAAUCGGAGCUUUGUAGGCUGAGAUAUGAUGGAAAUACUAUCACCUGGUCAAACCUCUGUUUUAACUUCCGACCACAGAAUGCAGUUUCUGUAUUCCGACUUUUUGUCCAUGAAAAUGGUAGAAUUGGAUUUCGAUGUAUGCAUACGAAUUGUAGAUCUCUUUCUUAGCUUUAAAAUGGUAUAAAGAUCACCUCAAUCCGAUAAGUGUAGCGCCAGAUAUGGUCGAAAUACCGAAAAGUGUCAAAACUGACUUGUAUUGCAUUUCCUCACUUGAACGUUUUUCACUUCAUUCUUCUUGUUACCACUUGAAUUCAUCACCAAUUAUCUACUUUUCACCUCAUUUGACAUCCAUUGGUGAUUGAAUCAUCAUUCCUGCAUAAAAAUGAAGUUUUUACCAUUAAAAUCACUAAAAAUGCAAUAUUAUCCACUUUUACCAAAAAUAUAUAAUUUUACCAAAAACCUCUUUAUUUUAAUUAUAAAACUAAAUAAUCAACUCAAAAUUAACUAAUAAAAUGCACUUAAAAAUACGUAAAAUAAACUCUUAUCAGCACCAUCUAAGAUGGUUCUGGUUCUGGCUCCAGAACCGCCGGUUCUGGUUCUUCAAAGAGGUAGAACCAGAACCGCACCAUCUAAGAUGGUUCUGGUUCCAGAACCGCCGGUUCUGCUUCUUCAAAGAGAUAGAACUAGAACCGCACCAUCUGGUUCUGGUUCCGGUUCUGGUUCCUUAUAGUUUUGAUUUCGAUUCCUUGUUUUUCUGGUUCUAAUUCCGUAUAGUUGUAUACAAUUUUAUUUAAUUUUUAUCUUUACCAAUUUAAAUACGAAUAUAACAAUAUAUUUAAAAUUUUAAAUAGAAUGUAAAAAAUAAAUACAAAAUAAAGAUCAUAUUUUAAUUUUAUUAUUAUUCAACAAAGUACGAAGUAAUAAAUAGAUAAUACAAAUUUUAUGAAAAAUACAUUACAUUGUCAAAUUAAAAAAUACAUAACACUAUCAAAUGGUAAUCAUUUUAAAUGGAAAAGAAAAUACUUGAUUUUUUCAUUGAAAUUGAGAUGAAAUAUCAAAACAAACAUUAAUUAUUUAAUCAUUUUCAUUGCUUGCGACGGCACUAGAAUCAGUUGUAUAAUUGAAAUCUUCUUCUUCAUCUUUUUCCAUUUCUUGUUGUCUAUAUUCUGCUCUAGUCCAAUCAUCCACGUAUGCUUGAAUUUCUAGUGAUUCUGGGCUUAAUCUCGAUCUUGUCUCAUCCAAAAUACUUGCACCGGCACUAAAAGCUUGUUCCACUGCUACUGUUGAUGCUGGAGUUGCUAAUAUUUGCUUAGCAAUAAGGGAGAGGAUAGGAUAAUUCUUUGAUUUUCGCUUCCACCAGUCAAGGACUUUAAACUGUUUCGUUAAGCUACUAUCAUCAUGCUCAAACUUGGUAGUUAGAUAUGAUUCAAGUUCCGUAUUAGUAUUGAGUGAACCCUUUAUUUAUAUUAAUUUUUUUUAACAGUUCUAGAACCGGCAGUUCUGGUUCUAGUUCUAUUUUUUAGAGAACCAGAACCAGAACGUUUAUCCAAGGUUCUACCACGGUUAUGGUUCCACGGUUUUGGUUCCGGUUCUGGUCCGGUUCCAAACAGUCCGGUUUCGAUCCGGUUCCCGGUUCCAAGUGGAACCAUGGCCAUGCCUACUUUGGAGUGUUGGCAGAACUAUGCGUUUUGUUGAAAAAUGAGGAUUGAUGGUUCAGGAAAUGGAUAUUUAAUUUAUAGGCCAAGCUAAUUUGGUGAUCUUUGAGGAUAUUUCCACACUGACCUAGUCACCGAUGUGUCAAAACGUGUUCUACAUUGGUCCUUGUCAAAUUUUCACACGUAUUAAAUUAAUUAUAAGACGGCGCAAAAUUCAAGUUCAUCAUAGUAGCAGCUCCGACCAUGACACUGGAUGACUCCAAUUGCACUGUAUGACUUAAUACUUAGAUUUCUGAGUUACUUCUAUAUGAUUACCUGAUCUUUCAUGUAUUUAUGACUGAUAAGAGUUUAUUUUACGUAUUUUUAAGUGCAUUUUAUUAGUUAAUUUUGAGUUGAUUAUUUAGUUUUAUAAUUAAAAUAAGGAGGUUUUUGGUAAAAUUAUAUAUUUUUGGUAAAAGUGGAUAAUAUUGCAUUUCUAUUGAUUUUAAUGGUAAAAACUUCAUUUUUAUGCAGGAAUGAUGAUUCAAUCACCAAAGGAUGUCAAAUGAGGUAAAAAAUAGAGAUUUGGUGAUGAAUUCAAGUGGCAACAAGAAGAAUGAAGUGAAAAACGAUCAAGUGAGGAAAUGCAAUACAAGUCAGUUUUGACACUCUUCAGUAUUUUGACCAUAUCUGGAGCUACCCUUAUCGGAUUGAGGUGAUCUUUAUACCAUUUUAAAGAUAAGAAAGAGACCUACAAUUCGUAUGAAGACAUCGAAAUCCAUUUCUGCCAUCUUCAUGGGCAAAACGUUGGAAUACAGAAGCUGCAUUCUGUGGUCGGAAGUUAAAACAGAGGUUUGAACAGGUGACAGUAUUUCGAUCAUAUCUCAGGCUACAAAACUCCGAUUUGGAUGAUUCUUAAAGCAUUGGAAAGCUAACUCAAAGGGCUACAACUUUUGUGUUUUGUACAAAAUCUAGUUCGGCCUUUAUGAUAGAUAAAAUCGCAGAUGAAGUAAGGCCAAAGUGAAUACGCGAGUACACAAAACGUGACUUGUAACCGCGUUUUGUGUAGGCGCGUUUUAUAGCCGAAAUUCUGCAAUUUGACUCAGCCAAUUCUCUUGUGUUCAUACCACUUUCCAGCUAUAAGAUGCAAGGGAAUUCGGUGCACAUGCUUCAGAAGACAAAAGGGCAAGAAAAGUGGCUUAUUUUCAAGUCAAAAAUAUUGGUUUUUGACUAUGCUAACAAAGUGGAGAUUUGGGAAUCAAAGGAUAGAAUUUGACUUGGAAAAAUGGAGCUUUUGAGUAGUUUUUAUGCAGAGAUAGAGGGAGAGGUCUGAACAUCCAUUCGUAGCUUAGCUUCUUACAGAAAAACAUAGUCUCUCUAGCUAGGUACUUGCAAGGGACAAUUGAGGUUUCAUCUUGUAAUCAUCUAAGUUCAAGACAAGGAGAUUUUUGGAAGGCUUCACCAUAUCUUGGCUAAGACUUUCUUUACUCUUUUUGUAUUUGUAAAUUCAUGAUGAUUUGCAUUAAUGAAGUUAUGAGUGUUUCAUCAUUCAUGAGUAGCUAAUUUCCUUUAUCUAGGGAGUAGAUGAAGCUUAUGGCCAAAUGAUAUGAAGUGAUUGUGAUUUAUGCUUGUUAUGUCUUGUAUUAACUUAUCUACUUGUGUAUGUUGGAUUACUUGUUGCUUGAUCACCAAUAGCAGGUUUAUAGUUGUUUUUACUCAUUGAGAAAUGGUAAAAAUAAUGGAAUGACAUAAGUAGAGCUUGAGUAGUAUAUUCAUGAGAAUAGAAAUACAUUCAAGUGGAUGAAAUCUGCAUUUCAUGUGUGAAUAAGAACAGAUUUAGUAUUUACCAAGAGAUUAGGAAAAACUAAUCUGUUUUAACCCAUUAUUAUCAUGAGAAUGUGAUUUUGGUAUUUCUGAAAAUGAAUCCUUGGUUAAACAAGAGCAGUAACAAGUGUUGAAUUAAUUCAUUUUAGAUCUUUUGUGUUAUAAGUGGAAUCUACAUCCCUAGAUCUUAAUAUUUAGUGAAUUCUACUCCUAUUGUGAAAUUGCAUUUAUCUAUUUAAGAAUUUUUGUAGUUGAAUUAAAAUCUGAAGUUUCUGCUUAAAUUAAUUGUAAGUCUAAAUAAUAGAGUAAAUUAGUAUCUAAUAAUUGUUUUAAUUGCUCCUCGUGGGAUCGACCCGAUACACAUCUUGUACUACAAUUGCGACCUGUAUACUUGCAGUCCAACGGGUGUAAAAUCGGAAUUAAACUUGCAUUGAUACAAAAAUCCCGUCAAUGACUAUACUAAACUGCAACCAUGACCAUGUCACAAUAGUCUUCCCUCUUCUGUAACUUUUUGAGUAUCAAUAAAAGUGAUAUUUGCAUAAAAUAUUGGUUUAAAAACGGAAUAACAUAUGUUUGCUUCCUUUUAAGAGCAUGGAUAAGACUUGUUUUAAGUGAUGACUUAAAUGCACCUUCCUCAAUUGCACUUAAUGAGUGGAUAAAUAUAUGCAAUCACAAUAAUUGCACACCUUGCAUUUCGAUAUGUUCCAUAAUUAACUAUACAUUUCAAAAAAAGACUAACACCUAGUUAUAUUUUCUAAAAAAUAAAGUAACACCUAGCCAAACUGAAAUUUUAACAUUAAAACAAUGUAUAUUGAAUAGAAAAAAUAACUGUAAGGUGUGAGACAUAAGUUGGUGAAAGGACAGAUUUCAUUUCAAUGCUGCGUCAUUAGAGUCUAACUUUGACCUAAAGUUCUUCUUCUUCUUUUUUUAUCCUUGGAACAUGUUUAAUUGAUCAAUAUUUUCUCCUUAUUCUAUAAUCUUGGAUAAUCUUUGUUUAAAACAUUUUUUUUGUGAAAAACAGUUUGUUGCCUAUUGGGAGGCAACCCAAUAUUUUAGUAUUUUAUUUCAAUUUAGUGUGAUUUUUGGGUUUAGUUAAGUAUUGAUAUUUUGUUAUGUUUGUUUUGUAGCAAUGGGAAAAAGAAGCAAAAGAAGCCAAUUGAGGUGAAAAUGGCGAAUUUCGAUCAUGAAACUUAAUUCCUUGAUUUGAGUAAUUGUUGUUCUUGAUUUGUUAAAGAGGGUUAGAAUGCAUGUUUUGAUCAUUUUACAUAUGCGCGCAUUGAUUAUUUUGACAAAAGAAUGAUCUAGAAUGCAUUUUGAGAAAUUGGGAUAAAGUGUGUAAUUUUUAAAAGGUAAAAAUUUUCUGCAAAAAAUUAUAGCUCGGAAAACGUGGCAUGACCUCACGUUCUCUUCCAAACGUGGCAUGAGCUCACGUUCAAAAUAGUCUUCAUAUACUAAAAUGAACUUAUAGUUAAUUUCAUAACCAUGAAAGUUGGUAUGGUUUGGUUAUAAGUAUAGUUGAUUCACUACGAGAGUAGGCUUUACAAAAUACAGUUAUAAAUAGCAGGUAUAUUUGUCUGGUCUUUUACUUUUUUUGGUUCGUAUAGUUCUUUCAAGAGUCUAUGUAUAUCUGUUCGAGUAAUUGUCAAUCGUCUUCUUUUACAUCAACUCGUUAAUAAAUACAUCAAAUCUUGAAAGAAAUACCAAAAAUAUAACUUAUUAUGUAACUGGAAUAUCAUAUUUAAGCCUAAGGUUUUUUUUUUUAACCCUUCAUCUCCUUUCCACACCCCUUUCCACCCCCAACUGUCAGUCUUGUGAUUCAAACUUUGAACUUGACGGAGGAGGAAGCUCUUAGCCUUGGACCAACCCGGCCCAGGGGCAUGAAGCCAAAAGUUCGAGUGAUGACAAAACAGUAACAUAAAAUUAUAGGCCUAGCAACAGUAAUUAGGUGGCGUUGGUGUAUAUUUCCACACUGACUUCAUCACGGACGUGUAAAAACGUGUUCCAUGCUGGUGGACCAUGAUUUUGGUGAUUAGAUCCAACAAGAAAAAUUAAUUUAUGGACCACAUUUUUAGGCCUAUAAAUACAAGGUGUCUGGUUUGUUAUUUCAAUGUUCUAAACUCAGCUACCAAGUCUUCUCGAGUCACAACCAGUUACACAUCUAUUUUCAUUCUUAUUAAUUAGCUAGCCGGUUCUUUUAAGGAAAAAAUGGCUGCAGCCAAAUCUGCGAUUGGCACUGGACAGGUGAAUAGCGAUUGUAUGCCAAGCUAGACAUAUAUUUCUUUCUUUUUCAAGUUUCUGCAUGGUUUUGGGAAUCAACUCGUAAACAACUUGUAUAGAAACGUUUGAAAAAGUGUAAGGAGUUGCAAAUUAAAGCAAUUUCAACAUUCUUGAAUUGUCUUAAGCAAUAUUUUAUAUUUAUAGCUGUCUACAUGCAUAUGUCAGGAGGCGAUCUCUUGCAUUGUUUCAUUUCCGAGUGAUAUAGUUUCUUUUUAAUUGGUUGGAUUUAGUUUUCUGGUUGUUUGUUUAUUUGAAAGGAUUCUAAUUGAUAUUGGGAACGCAAUUUUUUUGCUUUUUCUUACUGGAAAAUAUGUUUGGGAUUUACAGACCGACAUCAGUUCACUGGAACCAGUGAAGCCGGCUGACCCUCACGUGAUCCAGAUCGGAAAAUUUGUAGAGCAACAACAUCACCACGGCAAGCUGCUUUCUGUCGCCGUGGUUGGCGGAUUCACGUGGAGCGGUGAUGGAGGCAAUUACUACGCACUUAUCAUUGAAAAUCAGGAUAGUGACGGUGCCACAUGUCUGCAUAAGCAUAAAGUACUUGUUCUUGAGACCCCGAGUGAAACAAAACUCAUAUGGCACAAGAAAUAAUCAAGCACUACUGUUGAUCAGCUGAGGAUCAACGACUUUAAGUACUUAAAUUAUCUAGUGUCUUUGGUGUGGUUUUUCAGUUCAUGCAUGGAUGAUGUACUGCUGGCAUGCAUACAUCUCCUCCUGUUGUACUACUAUGUGAGGUGCACUCGUACCAACAAAAAUGCACCAUUAAAUAAAAAAAGGCGUAUGUGUUUGAGUUUGUAUCCUUGAACUAGUAUGUCAAAGGUGUAUUUAUAUGAACAAAAAUGCACCAUUAAAUAAUAAAAACAGCUGUCUGUGUUUGAGUUUGUAUUUGCACAUUUUAUUUCUCUAUUACUUGCAAACAAUUUCCAAUCCUUGAGUUUUGUAUGUCAAUUAGGUACUAUAUUCAUGACUAGUUAUGAAGUCUGAUGACUAGUUAAGUCUUAUGAUAAGUGCAUAUUUUAUAUAAUUUUCAGCGAGUUUUAUUAGUUAGUUUUGGUGUGUUUUAUUUACUUUUAUAGCUAAUUAACUAAGUUUCUAGUGAGAAUAUGCAUUUUGUGGUUUAACCGGUAAAAAUUGCAUUUCUAUGAAUUUUAAUGGUAAAAACUUCAUGUUUUGUAGAUUUUAAUAAUUCAAACAUCAAAUGGCAUGAAUUGAGAAAAUAAUUGGAUGAUUGAUGAUGAUUUGAAGUGAUUUUAAAGAAGACAUGAAGUGCAAAAUACUCAAAGGAUGAAAUGCAAGUUUUCUAGCUUUGAAACCUUUUAGUAUUUCAGCUAUAUGUUGAGCUAAAAAUAUCGGAUGAAGGUGAUUCUUGAACUAUUUUGAAUCUAAGAGGUAGAUCACCAUUUGAAAUGAAGACAUAAAAAUCCAGUUUAGUCAUAUUUCCAGUCAAAAAGUCGAAAUACAGAAAUGCAAUUUCAUUUUCAAAAGUUGAAACAAAGUUUCUGACUAGUUGAGGGUAUUUUGGUCAUUUAUUGAUCCACAGAGCUCCAAAUUGGAUGAUUCUUACUGCAUUGGAGAGCUAACUCAAAGGGCUAUAAGUUUCAUGUUUCACACAAGAGUUAGUUCAACCUCUAUCAUCAAGAAAAUAUCAGUUGACGUUAGAUCAAAAACAGAGCAAGGAUGAAAUCUAUCCAGAAUUGAGCAAACCUACAAAAAGCAAUGCGUGGGAUACAAUACUCGACCUAAGGUCGGGUAUUCAUCAUUUUCAGCUGCAACUUGUUCCUUAUUCACACAACUUUCCAACUCAAUUCCAGCAAGGAAUUUUGACUAUAUCUGACCAAGAAGAGUGUAGAAACUUGGAGAACAACUCUUGGUGAGUUCAAAAGCCAAUUUUGCUAAUGAAGAAAGAACUCAACUUGAGCUUAAAUUCUCUAUAAAUAGUAGCCUUUGGAGACCAUUUUAAAAAUUUUGGAAGGCUAGAAAAACUCCACAAAAAUGUAGUCUUCACUAGAAUUUCCUUAGUUCAUUGGCUAGGUUAGUAUAGUAUAGCAUAGUUUAGGUAGUUAUGUGUGUUAUCCACUCUUGUAUAUUAAUUAGAUUAGGAUGAAAAUGGAGAUGAAGAAGUAGGGGUUGAAACUCAUGUGGUGAGGGUUAUCUCUUCUCCAACUCUUUAUCUGUUGUAUCGAAUUCUUAAGUAUGGUUAAUAUGCAAGUUUUGGAUUUAUGUUUCAAUAUGUGCGUCUAAAGUUUAUGCCUAGAGUUGUGGAUGAACUUUCUACAUCUUGUUAGUAAUAUUUACUUGGUUAUUUGAUGAUAUUAUUUUGAGUAAGUUAUUUAUAAUUUUUUAUUUUCUAAUCAUGAUUAACUGUUGAUUAAUUGUGAUAAUGUUAAGGUAUUAAGUUUGCAAUGAAAAUUGAAAUUUAGCACUAGUUCAAGGAAGUAAUAAACCUAGGAAGUUCACUCACGGGAGUAGAGGUGCACCUUUGCAGCUUUAGUGACUUGUUUCAUAGAAUUUCAUAAAAGAAAUGAACUUGUAGUUAAUUCAUAACCAUGAGAGUAAUUAUGGCUUAGUUACAAGUAUAGUUGAUUUACUACGAGAGUAGGUUUCACAUACAUGAGGAAAUUACGCCAUAACUAGUCAAGAUAAUAGCAUUCACUUAACCGGUAACUUCACUUGCAAGAAUAGUAAGGAAUUCCAUAUCUCUAGGAGUUUUCUAUUGUAUUUUUGUUACUUUUAUAGUGUAGAUUUAAUUUCUUGCACUAGUGAUAGUCUAAAUAAUAAAAAAGUUCGAAAACCACCGGUAAUUGAAACUCUUCCCUGUGGGUUUGACCUUUAAUACCCUAUACUCUCUCUCAACUCACAUACUAGCGAAAAAUCGCAUGUAAGGUAUUUAGAAUGUUAUAAAUAUAAAAUUUGACUGUGGAUAAGCUAAUUGUUAUAUGUAUAUCCUGUGCUCGUCAAGUUUUUAGCGCCGUUAUUGGGGAAGAUUUGGUCAAUAUCGGUGCUAAAAACAACCUUAUUAAUUUAGACAUUUUUUCUUGCUUUUCUUGUUUUUGUUGUGUUUAGUGUCCUUUUGUUAUGUUUAGUGUCUUGUUGAGUCUUUUAUUUUGUGUUUAGUAUUUUAUUUUUAUAUGUGUCAAGUCAUCUAUUCUUUUUUACUGAACUUGUUUUUAAGUUACUUUUAAAGCAUGUUUAGGGAUUCAAGAAGAGUAGGAAACAUGAGCGAACAAUGUGUGAGAAAUGGAAGAUCGACAAUAGAUGGUUAUUACAUCCAAAACUCCAUGGAUAGAGGUAAUCAAGAAAUUACCUCUUGUUCAUGGUUUAACCAGUCAAACCGGUCAAUCUGGCUCGAUUUAAAAACAAUGCACGAUGGCAUUCUUUUAUGUCUCUGGUAAGAUGUCAAAAUCCUUUAAUUUUGGCUUGAGAAAAAUUAAUGUUGUUACUGCUUGUUUACGCAAAAGCCAAAUCAAGUCACAAUACACCGGGAAGACAGAAUUUUAUCCCGUCUCAGAAUAUGCCAUUUAUUAAUGCCAAAGUAAAUUUAUAAGGAAGAAACCAACAAAUACAUAGUUCUAUAGAUUAAACAUUGGUUUCCCAAACUAUAAAUAGAAUGCUAAUGGAUUGAUUCAUAAAACAAUCACUUUCUAGUUCAACGUGUCAAUGAUGAAAGGCGCAUUAGUCAUAUUUCUUACCCUCAUAAGCCAAGUUUCAUUUAUAAAAUGUUACGAGGGAGAAAAUACGAGACCCUUCGAAAAUUCCUCCUCCCUGAGAGCUUAAACAGAUCAAACAAUUACAUAACUGAUGAGGAUUCAGCUCAUCAGUAUUCGCCAGUUUAUAUUGGUCCUCAAGAGGGGUUUAAAGCAGCCAACAAAAUCAUCGCAUUGCCAGGGGAACCAAAAGGAGUAAAGUUUGAUCAAUAUUCAGGGUAUGUCACUGUUGAUCCUACGGUUGGUCGAGCUCUCUUUUACUAUUUUUCCGAGUCCGAAAAUCCUGCCCGCUCACUCGCUAUGUUCUCAUCAUUCUUGGAAGGAAAGCUUCCAUCAUCAAGCUAGGACAAGAUGAAAGGGCCAAAGAGGAAAGGAGUUUGAUUAGUGCCAUGGAGCAAAUUGUUCAUGAUUGUUCAGCUCAUUGGGUUUGUUGUUUCACUCAUGGUUCAACUUUGUUAAACCAAAAUAGGUCUCUGCACGUUGCUUCAAGUUUAUAAUUAUGGAGGGCCUCUGUAAGUUUUAUGUUUUAAUAAAGAACUCUGAAUUGUCUUAAGAUCAAUUUGUGGCUUGGUCACCAUACAACUAUCCUUGACUUGGAAGUUAACCAUAAAUUAAUUUAAUUCAUACCCCAAGUCUGCGCUUAAUUCAGAAGCAUAGAUGUACGUGAAAGCAAAUAUUGGGUGGACCACAGGAGAAACUGUGAAUUUCCAAUUGGAAGAUUGAAGUCAUUGGCACAUUAAAUUUCUCAUUAGAAAUUUCAAAGUUGAUGGAUAUAAUUUCUCUAGGUUUAACUGUUUAAGUACUCAUUCUUCUUUUUCUAAUACUAGGUAUGGCCAAGCUCAUAAAUAUGCCAAAUAGAAAUUUCUAUACGACCUCUUAAAUAAAGUUUGGAUUUUUCUUUGGUAAGUCACAUUCAUCUCUACCAUAUUCCAACUUAAUUUCAACGAGAAUAUGUACAAGAAAUCAUAUUUAAUUCAUCAUCAUUGAAAGUAACACAUCAAUGUGCGAACCAUUUAUUCCCAAACUAAGUAAUUGUCUUUCUUUAUAGCUACCUACUAAGCAUACUUGUGAUGUUAGUCAUGUUUCUCUAAUCUAAAUUAUUUGGCUUUGGCUAUUGCUUUUCUCAAUCUUUCACUAAAAUUGACAAUCAACUGGACUAAAUAUUCUAUAAUAGUGUUUUAUAUGUCUUCGUGAGGGAGAAUUUUGAUAGUAAUAAAACACUUGAAAUAGUUAAACUAAGAAGCUGUCUUUCUUUAUAAAUGCUUGGUACUUACUAAGCAUACUCGUGAUGUUAGUUAUGUUUCUCUAUUCUAAAUUAUUUGGCUAUUGUUUUUCUGAAUUUUUCACUAAAAAUGACACUUAACAGGGCUCACAUAGUAUGAUAGUGUCUUUUGUCUUCUUGGGGAGAAGUUUGAUAGUAAUACAACACUUCAAAUAAUCAACUUUUUAAUUUUAUUAAUCUAAGAAAAAAGAAUUUAGUGAGUAGUUGCUACUAAAGUGAUAUAUACAACAUGCAAUGUCACCUGCUCCUGUACUAGCCUUCAAAAAAAGAGAAAGAGCCUUUAAUAUGCUUGGAGAUGGCAUCGGUUCAUGUGUCAACUUGCUAAAAUAACUAAAUCAACUCAAUUCUGAAGUUGACAGUGAGAGGAGAUCUUAGUCACUGGACCAACCCGGCCUAGUGGUAUGAAGUCAAAGGUUUGAAUGAUGAUAAAACAAUAACAGAAAAAUAUAGGCCUAGCUGUACCAAGUUUUCGACAGUAACCAGUUACAAAUAUCUAUUUUCAUCCUUAUUAAUUAGCAAGCUAGCUCUUUAAGGAAAAAAUGGCUGCAGCCAAAUCUGCUAUUGGCACAGGAAAGGUAAAUAACGUUUGGAAGAGUAUAAGGAGUUGCAAAUUACAGUAACAAUAACAUUCUUGAAUUUUCUUAAGCAAUAUUUUAUGUUUUCUAGUUGUCUACACACAUUAAUUGGUCUCAUGAAUUGUCUAUUAAGCUUCUUCUGAGUGAUACAGUUUGUUAUUAAUUGGUCGGAUUUAGUUUUCUUAUAAGCAGUUUGUUUAUUUGAAAGGAUUCUGAUUGAUUUUGGGAACUCAAUUGUUUGGGUUUCACAGAACGACAUCAGUUCACUAGAACCAGUGAAGCCAGCUGACCCUCACGUGAUCCAGAUCGGACAACAUGUAGUGGAACAAUGUCACCACGGCCAGCUACUUUUCGUCGCCGUGGUUGGCGUAUUCACCUGGAGCGGUGAUGGAGGUUAUUACUACGCACUUAUCAUUGAAAAUCAGGAUAGCGACGGUGCCACAUAUCUCCACAAAGCACUUGUUCUUGAGACCCCAAGUGAAACGAAACUCAUCUGGCACAAGAAAUAAGCAAGCACUGCUGUUGAUCAACUGAGGAUCAACGACAUUAAGUACUCUAAUUAUAUAGUGUCUUUGGUGUGGUUUUCAGUUUCUGCAUGGAUGAUGUACUGCUGGCAUGAAUACAUCUCCCUGCUAUUGUACUAGUAUGUAAGGUGCAGUUCUACCAACAAAAAUGCACCGUUAAAUAAAAAAAAUCCGUCGGUGUUUGAGUUUGUGUCAUUGUACUAGUAUGUCAAAGCACUACAACAAAAAUGACCUUUAAUGGCAUUUAAAGGUGUCAGUAUGGAUUAUCUAAACUGACAUUUUACCUUUCCUCACACCUCGGAUGAGUGUUGUCCCUUCCAAUGUGGGGAUAGGCUUGAAACAUUCAAAUGUGUCAGGAAAAUUAUGCUAUUAUACAUCCCAUCUACCAACAAAAUUCCCUUUUCUUGACAAUCGAAAGUGUCAGGAUAUUGUCGAAAUUGCUGAGCUAUGCUGACACUUUUAACUGCCACGAGUUUUUUUAAAAAAAAUAAAGAAGCAACCUGGUUGUGCUUCCUGCUAUACAUUCCGUCAAUCAGAUACCCAAAGGACUUGUAAAAUUAUUCCAAAGAACAGAAUGCAUGUAAUAAUUUAAAAGCAAAAGUCAAAGCUCAAAUAUCAUUUGUUGAACUAAAAGUCAGCAACAAGUACUAACAUAGCUAAUCGAAAAAGUUGUUUAAAGUAGAAUAGCAAUGUUAAACAAUGCCACUAGCUAAAAUAAAAAUAAAAGACUCUUCUAAUGUAAAAAGUUGAAAGAACUUGUAGUAGCUUCCAAACUUUCCAACCAAAUGAGAGCCUUCAGUCAUAACCACAAAGACACCAUCAAUCUUUAGUUGGUACCACCUGUGCACAAAGUACUUUGGUAUAAGAAAUAGACCUAACCAUAAAUAUUUUAGUUUGAGCAACAAGCAGAAACGAAGCUUCAAAAAUAGGAAUCAAAGAUCCAACAAGUACAAGAAUCAAAGUCAUGCUAAAGUUGCAAGCAACUCUAAAGUUAUAGCUAGAAAGCCAAAUAAUUAUUUGUUACAAACAUUCCUAGAUUCCACUUGAUGAGAAUAAUCUAAUGUCCUGAGCUCCACUUCCCUUUUUUUUGUUUAAUUAUCAGACAGUUUUAUUGGAAAUGAAAGUAAACAUCUAAUGAAGUAAAAGCCAAGAAGCAAAAUUCUGUACACAAGUAUGAAGCAAAUUUAGAUAGAUAGAAAAUGAAUGCCUAAUCCUUUUGUCAUCUCCCAUUUUGUCAUCAAGAAUGAAUGUAUCCUUGUCAAAAACUUGCUGCAUCGCACACCAUUAAGAGCGAGGCUAAGUAUCUAUGCUGACUGAAUUAGCUUUAACAUGGUAAGAAAAUUAAGUAAAUAAUGCAUCAGCAUAAAUUUGGACCUUGACCACCCAGAUGACAGGAACCCAAUUAUCUAACUGGAGCUAUGCAUCCGGGGAUAGAAUCAAUCAAUGAUCAAUAUGCCUUAAUCCUUUGCAGAACAUAAUGUAGAUUUUAUUUUUCAGCCUUCGCAACAAGAAACUAAACUUUUCAAGGACCGCAAACACUAAUCCAACAUAAGUUAUUUUCAAACAGAAGACUUUGUUCCUACUUGAGCAUCAGUGGUGCAACAACUCUCAUCUUACAAUUCAUUUUGUAUUGAGAACGAACCUAAUGUUUCUCAAUUUCCAAAAAGGCAAAAAACUUUACAGUUCAUAACUGCACCUUAUUCAAAAAGCACCACUAUAAUAUACUUAAAAAAAAGUAUGAUACUUACUAGCUUGAUUGGGAUGCUUGGAUCUGCAAUUGACAGUGUAAGGUCUUCAUUCCACUCAGGAUUUACAUUUUUCCUCACCACACGCGUCUUCAAUUUCUGCUUCACAUAUACAGUUAAGAAAAAAUUAGUAGAAAGUUCGACCUACGUGUAAGUUGAAAUAAUAAUCUAUUAUAUAAACUGAAAGUCAUAUCCAGAAAUUUAGUCCUCGUAUACAGUUGGUCUGCUUCCUUUUGUCAAGAAAUUAAACACCUUCAGUGCUCAAACAGGACCAAAAGUAGUAGUACACUCUAGAAUGGAAUUAAUGACACCAUGCACAUUGCAUGAGAUUACCAUCAUCACAAAAUGCAAGGACAAUAUCCACAAUGCAAAAGGAAUUGCAAGCUUUCACUGUGCAGAGUCCAGGAGCCUGUCAUACAACCAAAAAUUACAACAUAGCAUGUAAUGCUAAAGAAAAAGUGUAAGGGGAAAGAUUGAUAAAAUUCUAAAGUACAGAGAAUAGUAUACCACUGACAGUAGAAAAUCAGUAACAAGACUUAUUUCUAACUUCCGACUCAUUGGUGCACAUAGAAAUUAGAAAUCAAGAAUCUUUGAUGAUAUUUUCACCUAAAUAUCACUUCUCGUGACAACCUUCAGACCUUCAAUUUCCUCUCCAAAUUCUUUAGCAGAAUCCUCUGCAGAUUUGCUACAGUAGUGCUCCUCAAGUAGUGAAAGGGUAGGAAGUUCCCCAAUACCAUAAGGGAUCUCCUCUAAGGAUUUGCAAGACCUCAGAAGCAGGUGUUCAAGGCAUGGAAAAUUAUCAGUGCUUGUGGCCUCCUAGUGUACUAGAUCUGUACUUUCUAUUAGCAACGACUUUAGACAACCAAAUACCCCUUCAUUUAGGUCCCAUCUAGGUCCUUGAAAAGCAAAGUUUUUCAGUUUGAGUACUGUAAGGUGGCCUAAAUUGGCAAAAAUGGCCAUAUCCCCCCAUGGAAGAUAGCUCCAACUCAAAGUCAAUUUUUUGAGCUUGUAGGGUAAAAUUUUUUAAGUUCAAAAUAGAAGUCAUCUCUAAGAAAUCCCCACAAGCAGCUUGAUAUGAUAAAAGGGAAACAAUCCAAGAAAACGAUUAAGAAAUGUAGGCCACUAACUCUCCUCAGUCCUCCUCGGCUAUUCGCCCCUUCUCACUGACAUAGAUACCAUCAAGGAACUUCCGGAUAUCUUUGUUCUUCACAUGGCAUUUUUGGUUUCAAAUUGGAGGCUCACAAGCAUCUGACGAUAAACCCAGAAAUGAACAAACACAAAGCACUGGUAGUCCAGCCCAAAAACUCUACUCAAAUACACACUCAAAAGGGAGGGGGAAGAGGAAGAAUUCUUCCGCACAAGCCAAGUUCUCUCACAGUAUUACUAAAUCAAAUCAACAAUUCGGAUGCAUGAAAAUGUAAAAGAAAUCAGAAAAAUGACAAAUCUAAAGAGAAAAGAAAAGGCCCAAAUGUUUCAUCAUGCGAGCAGAUACCUUCUUCUCACCAAGGAAGUUUCGGAUCUCAAUAGAACGAUUGGAGUUGGUGAUGGAGGCGUUGAUUGGGAAGUGAGCGUAGACGAAUCUCAUCUUGUAGCGGUAACCCUUGGUAACGCCAGUGAUGAGGUUCUUAAUGUGGCUGAGGGUAGUGCGAAUGGCGGCGGUAGUCUUGCGGGAGCCGAACCAAGCGUCAACCUUGAGCUUCCUCUUUCCGGUGGCCUCAUCGGUGAUGAGCUGGAAUUCGUGGUUGAGAUGCUUGAAGUUGCGAGUAAGCUUCCCGCGGGGUCCUUCCACCUAGAGUUGCUUGGCUUUCACCUUAAUCUUAACACUGCUGGGAAUAACCAUAGUCUCCGAUGACAGAAUCGUCUUUAUCUUGGACAAUCGCUCACAGUAAUUUUGCCUCCUCUUCUUUUCUAGAGAAGUGCAAAAGAUUGGCAGCCAAAAAACCCUUACAAAUCCAUAAAGUUGAACAGGGAAAUCUAGCAAAAAAAUAUGAUAUUAGAUUCAGCAAAAAACGUUAUAUCAGAUUCAAGUAGACAACCGAGAGAAAUCAAUUUUAGGGCAAAAAUUUAUCAUGCAAUUACAUACCUUCGAUAAGAAAGCAAGGGUAGUUUGAUUGUGGAGAGAUUCAAUAGCAAAACUCUUGGGGAAAGCAAAAUUUUGGCCAAGAGUUUUGAGAGAUAGUUUGCAGAGAGAGAGUUUGUGAGAGAGAUAAGAAGAAGCAAAAUUUCACUGGCAAGCAAAAUGAAGUUUUGAGAUUUCACAGGUGUUUUGGCAAAGAAUCUUCCGCCAAAAUCAAAGUACGUCGUUUUGUGUUUUAAUUUUUUUUUUUUUGUAUCUCACAUUUUUUCAAGUGUCAUAAUAGGGAGUCUAAAGGUACAUUAUUGUUUUUAUAUCAAAUAAAAUAAAAAAAAUUAGAGUAUAUAUUAUUGAGUUGAUAACAAGUGUAAUGAUAGAAGUGCUAUAAUGACACAAACCAGUAAGUGUCCUUAUAGACAUGUCAGAAAAGACCAUUUUUGUUGUAGUGAAGGUGCACUUAUACGAACAAAAAUGCACCAUUAAAUAAAUAAAAACAGCCGUCUGUGUUUGAAUUUAUAUCAAUGUAUUUUGUUUCUCUGUUACUUGCAAGCAGGUUCCAAUCACUAAGUUUUAUAUGUCAACUAGAUACUAUAUUCAUGACUUGUUAUAAAAGCUUACUAGUUAAAUAUUACUUAAAAUGAAUCCAAACCUUAAAAGGAAAUGAAAGAUUAACUGAUAUAUUGAGAGAAAAACAUAUAACUCAAAAACUAGAGUUCAAAUAUGAGAUUUUCUGCUUUCUACAACCAUUCUUUUGGUCAUCUCUAAACAAUGUGCAUCUUACCAUGUGCUAAAUAGGUUUAGAAUGCAUAGGUAUGAGCAAAGAACGAUAUGCUCUCUUUAAAAUGUGACAACAAAAUUAAUAGAUCUACAUACUUAUCCCCAUUUUUUGUUUGAAAUUCAAUGAAUUAGAGAUCAUGAAAUUCAACACAAAAUCAUUCAAGCAAUCAAGAAGAAAAUAACAUCUUACGGUUAAUAUUAAGGAAAAAAAAAUAGACUUUCCUCCCCCUUCAGUUUUAGAACUAUGUUUAGUUUUCCUUUUAGUCCAAAACUCUCUCUUGAUUUCACUGUAGCUAAAUGCUUAGGCACUUGACAUAUGGUAAGAUACACACAUAUUUAUAUGUACGUACACACACACACACCCACACACACAGAUAUAUAUAUAUACAUAACACAUAGACACACACACACAUAUGCACACUAAUAACAGAGAAGGUGUUUUCCACGUGAAUAUGAUGCGUUUCGAUUUUCCUUUUCUUCUCAAAAAUUUAAAAAAAAUCAAUGAAAUUGAGAUAAAAUUAAUGUGAUAUUAAACGUUUAUAUUUUUUAUAUUUUUUGAAACUUGAUUUAUCCUAACCAACACAAAUGCGCAAGAAGCAAAGUAUCCUUUAUCCCAAGAGCACUUUUGUUUUGUAAUAAUAUCAAUAUUUUCGUCUUUUGGUUGAAUUUGAAUGACUUGAAUGUUGUUCUCUUUUAUGCCAUUUGGGUUAAAGUUUUUAUCUUCCUAAAUAAUUUAUUGUUCCCCUUUACGUCAUUCUAUGAAUUUUUUAUUAGUUUUAGUGAGUUUUUCCUUUAUUAUUUCUAUUAAUGGUGGAAUGUAAAAUGAUUGAAAGUGCUAUUGUAAUUAUAAAAUAAAUUUAAUGCAUUUAAGGUAAUGACUAGUGUUAUAGCUGUAUACCAAUUUGAAUAGAUGUACCUUUGGAGUAAGCAUGGCCACGGUUCCAGAACCGCCGGUUCUGGUUUUUUAAAGAGGUAGAACCAGAACCGCACCAUCUAAGAUGGUUCUGGUUCUGGUUCCACAACCGCCGAUUCUGGUUCUUCUGGUUCUUCAAAGAGGUAGAAAGAUGGUUCUGGUUCUGGUUCUAGAAUCGCCGGUUGUGGUUCUUCAAAGAGAUAGAACCAGAACCGCACUAUCUGGUUCUGGUUCCGGUUCCGAUUUUGGUUCUGGUUCUGGUUCCUUAUAGUUUUGAUUUCGAUUCCUUGUGGUUCUGGUUCUGAUUCUGUAUAGUUGUAUACAAUUUUAUUUAAUUUUUUAUCCUUACCAAUUUUAAUACGAAUAUAACAAUAUAUUUAAAAUUUUAAAUAGAAUGUAAAAAAUAAAUACAAAAUAAAGAUCAUAUUUUAAUUUUAUUAUUAUUCAACAAAGUACGAAGUAAUAAAUGGAUAAUACAAAUUUUAUGAAAAAUACGUUACAUUGUCAAAUUAAAAAAUACAUAACACUAUCAAAUGGUAAUCAUUUUAAAUGGAAAAGAAAAUACUUGAUUUUUUCAUUGAAAUUGAGAUGAAAUAUCAAAACAAACAUUAAUUAUUUAAUCAUCUUCAUUGCUUGCGACGGCACUAGAAUCAGUUGUAUAAUUGAAAUCUUCUUCUUCAUCUUUUUCCAUUUCUUCUUGUCUAUAUUUUGCUCUAGUCCAAUCAUCCACGUAUGCUUGAAUUUCUAGUGAUUCUGGGCUUAAUCUCGAUCUUGUCUCAUCCAAAAUGCUUGCACCGGCACUAAAAGCUUGUUCCACUGCUACUGUUGAUGCUGGAGUUGCUAAUAUUUGCUUAGCAAUAAGGGAGAGGAUAGGAUAAUUCUCUGAUUUUCGCUUCCACCAGUCAAGGACUUUAAACUGUUUUGUUAAGCUACUAUUAUCAUGCUCAAACUUGGUAGUUAGAUAUGAUUCAAGUUCCGUAUUAGUAUUAAGUGAACCAUUUAUUUAUAUUAAUUUUUUUUAACAGUUCUGGAACUGGCGGUUUUGGUUCUGGUUCUAUUUUUUAGAGAACCAGAACCAGAACGUUUAUCCAAGGUUCUACCACGGUUAUGGUUCCACGGUUUUGGUUCCGAUUCUGGUCCGGUUCCAAACGGUCCGAUUUCGGUCCGAUUCCCGGUUCCAAGUGGAACCAUGGCCAUGCCUACUUUGGAGUGUUGGCAGAACUAUACGUUUUGUUGAAAAAUGAGGAUUGAAGGUUCAGGAAAUGGAUAUUUAAUUUAUAGGCCUCGCUAAUUUGGUGAUCUUUGAGGAUAUUUCCAUACUGAUCUAGACAACGAUGUGUGAAAACGUGUUCCACAUUGGUCCUUGUCAAAUUUUCACACGUAUUAAAUUAAUUAUAAGCAUUGUUUUCAAGAGCGGAUCGGACUGGCUGGUUUGACCGGUUGGACCGCGAACCGGUCUUGGCUUCGGUCCGGUUCAUGCUUUGGGUUGAUUAUACUUAAAAAUCGGAUUGAACCGUGCGAACUGGAUUGAACUGUUGAAUCGGCAAUUUUUUUUGUUUUUGUCUAUUAAAUUGAAAUUUUUUUAAAAAAGAAUAUGUUUUCCUUAACCCUAAAAUCUAAUUAUUAAAUGCUACAUUCACUCACUUUCUUCUCAUUUUUUGUCUCUUAUCAAGUUUGUAUUUUUAUUUUCUGUUUUCUUGACUUUCUCCAAACUUAAAACUUCUUUUUUUUUUUAAGUUGCAAUAUCUAAAUAUCAAAAACUUGAAUUAAAAUUUAAACUCACAAUGUCUAAUUCUCAUAGACGUGAAUUUUGUGUAAUUUCAAAAUAUUGUGGUAUUUUUUAGUUCGAUUUAAUAUUACUUUUGGUAAAUUCAAUUAAGAUUAAGAUGAAAUUUAUUUAUUUCAACUUAUAAUUUUAAAAAUUUAUUUGUGAAAAUCCAACUUCUUUGAAAAUAUUAAAAUUUUCAUCAUGUAAAGCCUUAAAUUAGUCCAAUUAUUUUGUGCAUAUAUAUUUAUAUAAAUUAUUUUUAAAAAAAUUCAUUGAACCAGGAUUGAACCGGUCCGACCGGUGCAUUAAUUGAAGUGGUGCAUUAAUUGGCCCUUUUCAACAAGUGGAAGAAUUCGAACACUUCAAGUUGGAACAAAUUGGCCCUUUUUAAAUAAACUUGCAAAAAUUUGAAGAAUUAUUUUGGGCCAUAGUGAAAUAUUGGAAAAGAUUUUGAUAAAAAUUUGACAGAGUUUCCCAUUAUAACUGGACGAAACUCCCUGCCAACAAACCAAUUUUUCAAGAAAAAGUUCAACAUGGCAAUAUUUCCAAGCACAAUUCCAACAUUUCUAAUACGUUUAAAUCCACAAAAUAUCAUUGAAUGGCAUAAAAUAGCAAGCCAAUUAUUCCCCUUCCCCACACUUAAAUUCCACAUUGUCCUCAAUGUGAGAAAGGAAAAUUAACGAAAGUAAGGGUCUGUUUGGUUCGACAGAAAAUAUUUUCCCUAGUGAAAAUAUUUUCAAUCGAAGUCAUUUUCCUGAAAAAUCACUUCCUUCUCCAUAAUUUUCCGGUGUUUGGUUAUUUAGUGAAAAUAUUUUCCAAAUUCCUUUUUUCAUAAUUUUUCGGUGUUUGGUUUGUCAGUGAAAAUAUUUUUUGACUUCCUUUUUUAAUGUUUGUUGAUAUGUUGCAAAUGUUUUUCUAUUCUCAAAACAUUCAUCUUGUUUUUUAGCUUCUAUCCAUUAUAAUCAUAUUAUCAUUUUUAUAAAAUAUUUAUUCAAAUUACACCAUGAAUUCUUAAAUGAAAUUAUUAAUGACACUAAUGAAUUGGUUUUUGAUCUUCCUUUAAAAAAAAAAUCAUUAAGGGGGUGAAGUGGAUUCACUACAAUUCAUUGUGUAAGAAAAUGGACGAUUUUGAUUGGACAUGGGAAAAGGACGCUUGCUUGUCCUAUUCAUACCGCUAGAAAGUAACCAUCGAGACCCAGAUUGUAGCUGUCUAGUAUCAAUUAACAUGCCCCUACCAUUUGGCUCAACAUUAAACUGUUUUGCUAUUGACACUGAUAAGCAGACACUUUGUUAACUCGUCUGAGCAUCAAGCAACCAUACUAGCAGUCAAGAUGCUACGGUAUUGAGUUCACAACACAGAAAGGCAAGGAUCAUAGCGUACAAUACUGCAGCAAGUAUCAAUCAGUUUUAUAUGUAGAUCACAACAUGAAGACCUAUAAGAAGGAUAUAGAAUGGGUAGAAAAGCUCUGUUCUGUUCACUAUGUGACGAGGUAGCCAAAUUAACCGGGAUUGUGUAAGGAAAAGAGAAUUGGGACGUUAUAAACCAGCAAAGAGGAAGAAAGGGCCAAAAACUAUGUAUUAGAAAGGAGCCUUUCUGCAGUUUCAAGCACAAUGAAAUACCAUAAACAACCAGAAGGCGUUAGCUAAUAUGGACAAGAACUAACAAGGCAGCAAUAGUUCCAACCACCAAACAUAUAUUUACAACAAUCAUGUAUACAGGAUUUGUUUUUGCAAAUAUAAGCAAGGUUGUGCUUUGAAUUCCCUAAGCAAAGGUUACAAAUCUGUGGAGCCUUUUCUGGAAAGGGCAAGACUUGCUUGGGCAAGCUGACUGAAGCAUGAGAACUACCAAGAUGUAGGUGCACUGACACCCUCCCUGAAGAUGAUGUUUGCCACUUGGGGUGGGGUGGAAGCCAGCCCGUGUUGCCAGCAGUGUGGCCUUCCAAAGAUUGAGCUUCACCUGGUAUGACAUUAGUCCGUCCCUUCCUUAUCUUUGACCUGCUAAUCUUUUUGCCAACAAAAAGGCCCAGCUUCAUAGCAGUAAAUAGACCCAAAGCAAUCAGAAGUGGCCGGACUGCCCAGUGAAAAUCCUCAGGGUGCUGAUACUUUUUCACCACUCCAGGAGAAGUACUAAAAGAAACACACUGAACUUCAGAAGGAUCAGCUAAAAAGCUGCUAUUUUCAUUACCAAAUGUCAACCUACCAGGAAACCUAACAACAAGGCACCCAUUUGGUAAGACUUGACAAAUUCUCCCAGUUGCCCACUCGCCACCUCUUUUUCGGGGCCAUUCAAAUCGAGGAUUAAAUGUAUCAGACUUCAGCCUAACAAAUUGCCCAACACAGUAAGUUUCUGCCAUCUGGAGCUCUGAAUAUCUUCCCUUCCAAAGUGUCUCCAUUCCUAUAAAUCCAGCAGCUACACUUCCAUCACGGUUGAUUAGAUGAAGGAUACCUACUGGUGAAUGUUUCUUUCCUUCAGCCUUCAAUCACACCCAAUCUCCAGCAGCAAAUCCAUAACUAACACGUUCUAGUGGGCAUCUGCUGACGAGUCUUCAAUCGAUGGUCUUCAAUCGUUGAGAAUGGGCGUCUGCCGUGGUGGAAGAAUGCCUUUAGCCCGUGCUUUCAAGAAAGGAAAAUAACUUCAGAGUAACAGGUAAGGAAGUUAUUUUCCUUCCCUCGGCGUAAGUUAUUUUCCAUCAGAAAUCAUUUUCCCAAAUUAAAUUGUGUCCAAACAGUGGAAAAUUAGGAAAACAUUUUCGGGAAAAUAUUUUCCAUCCAACCAAACAGACCCUAAGAGAAAGUAGUACUUCCCUAUUGAACUUACGCAAUCCAAAUCCAUGGUCAUGCGAUGACUUUCCAACCUUAUUUGCAAAGAAAGGAGAAUUCAAUUAAUGCACCACUUCAAAUGACAAAAUCAAAAUAAAACAAUUGAGUAAAGCUUGCAACGAUCAAGAAGUAAACAUGCAAAUCAAGGAAAAAGGGGAAAGUGAUCAAGCAUGUGGAACCAUACAAGCAUAUGCAUUAGUAUCCAAGGCAAAAGGAAGCUAAUUUCACAAAUAAGCCCAUCAUCAUGAACAAAGUAAGUUCCAUUUAUACAUUUUGUCAUCAAUGAUCAAGUUCUCUCAAGUACAAAAAUAAUCUCAAAAUGGAGGCAAACUGUGUGGAGUUGAAGGAGGAAGAGAGGGAAGAAUGAGCAAAAGUGAAUCGAACCUUCGUUUUUGAAUUAUUUUUGAAUGGAUUCGAGGUCCGAUCGUGAUGAUUGAAUUCAGAUCAAAAAGCUCGAACUAUUUUCUGAUUGCAGAAGUAGAGACAGAUCCGAGCUCGGAUCCAUUGAAUAUGCACUUAUUGCACAAUUUUCUGCAAUAAUGUAGUUAGAGUAGUGUACUAGUAUGUAAGGUGCAGUUCUAACAAUAAAAAUGCACCGUUUAAUAAAAAAUCCGCUGUGUGUUUGAGUUUGUGUCAUUGUACUAGUAUGUCAAAGAUGCACUUAUACGAACGAAAAUACACCAUUAAAUAAAUAAAAACAGCCGUCUGUGUUUUUCUCGAUUGCUUGGAAGCAGGUUCCAAUCACUGAGUUUUGUAUGUCAAUUAGGUGCUAUAUUCAUGACUAGUUAUAAAAUCUUAUUAGUUAAGUAUUACUUAAAAUGAAUCCAAAUCUGGAAAGGAAAUGAAAGAUGAGUUGAUAAAUUGAGAGAAAGGCAUGUAACUGAGUUCAAAGAUGAGAGUUUCUGCUUUCUACAACCAUUCAUUUGGACAUCUCUAAACAACGUGUAUCCUACCCUGUGUCAAAUAAGUUUAAAAUGCAUAGAUAUGAGCAAAGAAUCAUCUGCUCUUUAAAAUGUGACAACAAAACUAAUAGAUCUACAUGCUGUUGGAUAUUAAUACUUAUCCCCAUAUUUUGUUUAACAUUCAAUGAAUUAGAGAUUGUGAAAUUCAACAGAAAAUCAUUCAAGAAAUUAAGAAGAAAAUAACAUCUUAUGGUUAAUAUUAAGGAAAAAAAGACUUUCCUCCCUUUUUAGUUUUAAAACUAUGCUUUUUUUUCCUUUUGGUCCAGCACUCUCUCUUGAUUCACUGUAGCUAAAUGCUUUAGGCACUUGACAUAUAGUAGGAUACACACACAUUUACGUACAUACAUACAUGCACACAAUAUAUAUAUAUAUAUAUAUGUAUAACAAAUAUAUACACACACAAACACAUACUGGUAACAGAGUAGGUGCCUUCCACAUGAAUAUGACGCUUUUCGAUUUUCCUUUUCUUCUCAAGAAUUUUAAAAAGCUAAUGAAAUUGAGAUAAAAACAAAGUGAUAUUAAACAUUUAUAUUUUUAUAUUUUUUGAAACUUUAUUUAUCCUAACCAACACAAAUGUGAAAGUAACAAAUUAUCCUUUAUCACAAAAGUACUUUUGUUUCGUAACAAAUUAUCCUUUUGUUUCGUCUUUUGGUUGAAUUUGGAUGACUUGAAUGUUGUUCUCUUUUAUGCCACUUGAACUAAAAUUUUUAUCUUCCUGAAUAAUUUAUUGUUCCCCUUUGCAUCAUUCUAUGAAUUUUUUAUUAGUUUUAGUGAGUUUUUUCCUUUAUUAUUUCUAUUAAUGGUGGAAUGUAAAAUGCUCCAUAGUGCUAUUGCAAUUAUUAAUAAAAAUUUUAAUGCAUUUAAGGUGACAGGUGUUAUAGCUAUAUACCAAUAUGAAUAGCUGUAGCUUUGUAGUGUUGGUAGAACUGUACGUUUUGUUUAAAAACGGGGAUUGAAGAUUGAGUAUAUGAAUAUUUAAUUUAUAGGCCAAGCUAAUUAAUAUUUAAUUUGAGGAUUGACCCACUACAAGAAAUUUGACCUUUUGUGACAACAUUCUCUGCGACAAGAGAGAAAGUUGUCACAAUUGAAAACUUUAGUGACGACUUUUAAUAUCGUCAUACUUGAUCGUGGGUUCACCCGUCAACAGUGACAACACAAGAUAAGUCGUCACAAUAUGGAUGACGCGCAACUAUCUAGUGUGGCGGGAGAUCACCGUUGUGACGACUAGAAAAUAUGUUGUCACUGAAACUCGUCCUACAGUGACAACUUAAAAUAUCAUCACAAUAUGGUUGUCAGUUCUAAAUUAGUGACAACAACUAGUCGUCACUGUCCAAAUCAUUUAUUCCCAUCUCACUUUCGCUAAUUCUACUAUGUCACCCUAAUAUUUUCAAUAUGGCCCAUAUGUUGUAAAUAAGUUUUAUUAAUUCUACCAUGCCACCCUAACUUUUACAUUUUGACCCCAUAUACCACCUUAAUUUUUUUAAUAUGGCCCAUGUGUUGUAAAUAAAUUUUAUUAAUUUUGCUAUGACACCCUAACUUUUACAUUUUAACCCCAUAUACCAUCUUAAUUUUUUGAAUAUGGCCCAUGUGUUGUAAAUAAAUUUUAUUAAUUCAACUAUGACACCCUAACUUUUACAUUUUGACCCCAUAUACCACCUUAAUUUUUUCAAUAUGACCCAUGUGUUGUAAACAAAUUUUAUUAAUUUUACUAUGACACCCUAACUUUUAUAUUUUAACCCCAUAUACCACCUUAAUUUUUUCUAUAUGGCCCAUACGCUGCAAGUAAAUUUAAUUAAUUAUAUUAUGACACUCGAACUUUUACAUUUUAGCCCCGUAUUUGGUAAACUAAUCUCAUUAACUCUAACAUGACACCUUAUCUUUUGCAAUUUAGUCUCGUAUGUGAUAAAGAAAAUUUUUAUUAAUUUUAUUAUGCCACCCUAUGCUUUUACACUUUAAGUUGUGUUUAUCAUUAGCAAAAUGAGGUAUAUAUUGUAAAAAACAAUGUUUACCUAUUUUUCAAUUAUUCCAAACAUAACUAAUACCUUGUUAUAAAGUUAAAAAAUAUCUUGAAUUCUUUAUUUAGUUCUCUAGACAAAUGGGAAAUUACUGAUUAACAUAGUGUGAAAAUAAUGGAACAGAAUAUUAAAAUUUAAUAUGAAAUUAAGUAAAAAUCUUGACAAUUCCAUAACUGGAGUUUGUUAUGUAUUACAAUUUACAAUAAUCAAAUUGUUUAUGGUUUAUGAAUCAGUACAUGUAUCAAAUAGAUUUAGUGUUUCAUGCAUGUAUUAGUAAACCAUUUUGGUUAUUUGAUCAACUAGUUUAUUAUUAACUAGUAAACCAAUUGGAUGACUGGAGUUUAUUAUUAAUUACAAUAGUCACAUUGUUUAUGGUUUAUGAAUCGAUACUUGUACCAAAAACAUUUAGUGUGUCAUGCAUGUAUUAGCAAACUAUUUUGGUUAUUUGAUCAACUAAAUAGUAUUGUUAGGUCUUGUCAAACCAUAAUUCGUACAUAAUUCAUAAAAUUAUUAAAAUAAUACCAAAAAUAUUUACAUCAAAAGAUUUUUUUUGAAUCAUAAACAUAUUUUUAAUAAGCUUUUUAGUUUUUGGACAUUAAUUUUUUGUAGAGAUAAAAAAAACCUGUGUUAGUAGACAACAUUAUCAAAAAACACUAAAUUUUCAUAUUCUAAAGUUUUAAUGCAACAAAUAAAGUUUUAAUACAACUUAUGAGCUAAAAACUCAAAAUAAUAAACAACUUUAAUUACACAAAGAUAGAGAAAAGAAAAAGAGAUAUACUAGAGAAGGCGUUGUUUUUGUAAAGAAAGGUCCAAAUAGUUAGUACAAAAGUCACUUGAAAGCGUUAUUUUUUGGCUGAAGCAAAUAGUUAGUACAAAAGUCACUUGAAAGCGUUAUUUUUUGGCUGAAGCUAAAAUGGAAGGGGGAAGCUCAAAAUUGGAGUAGAGGCGGGGGAAGCUGAAAUUUGGUGUACAGGCGGGGGAAACUAAAAAUUGAACAAAAUUGAACGAGUAGAGACGGGUUAACAAAAGAAGCAGAAACGACGUCAUUUUAGCGAGAGUUAAACAAAAACACUCAUAACACUUAGCUAGUUUGGGAGUUCAGAUUUCAAAGGAAUAGAAAAGAAAGGAAGGGAAAGGUGGACUUUUCUACGUUUGGGACAUAUAAGUCGGACGGAAAAGAAAAGAAACGAACGGAUCUUGAAGAGAAGCCAAGCGUUGCUACAGUGCAAAAUUUUUUCUGACCAAAACGGGCGGAAAGCGAAGGAAAACUGAUGAAAGCUUACCAAAUUUUUUUUUAGGGUUAAUCACAUUUUAUCCCCUUAAAAAAUAUCUCAUUUCUCAAUUUACCCACUAACAUUUAAUUUUGCUCACUUAACCCCCUUUAGGACAAAAUUGUCCUUGCAUUAUUUUGACUUUUCAUUUACCUUGUUUUCCUUUCUUUUAUUUCUUUUUCUCUUUCUUCUUUAUUUAAUUCUUCCUCUUUCCCACAAAAAUCUUCACCUUAAUGAUUGAAAUUAAAAAGAGGAAUUGCAGAGAUCUAUCUUCUCCUUAAAUGAUUAAAAAAAAUAUUCAAAUCACUUUCCUAAAAUACAAUUUUUUUAGCCUUUCAAUUCUUUUAAUUUUGGAUUUUCCUCUUUCCUUUCUAGUUUCUCAUUUUAUUCCCAAGAAAAUAUCUUAAGAUGAAAUUGUGACCUGAUUAAUAAUCAUUAAUUGAAAUUUGUGACACGUGGCAUCAUACAAAAAAUCAAAAUUAGUUUUUUAUGUCUUUUAAACCUUCACCCAGAAAUAUGCAAUUACAAACUCAAAACAAAAAUUUUCGUUGAAAUGGAAUUUCUAUUGGGAAGGAUGAAAGAGAGAAGAAAUAGAAAAAGAAAUAAAAGAAAGGAAAAUAAUUUCAUCUUAUGAUAUUUUCUUGAAAAUAAAAUGAGAAACUAGAAAACAAAGAGGAAAAACCAAAAUUAAAAGAAUUGAAAGGCUAAAAAAUUGUAUUUUAGGAAAGUGAUUUGAAUAUUUUUUUAAUCAUUUAAGGAGAAGAUAGAUGUCUGCAAUUUCUUUUUUUUAAUUUCAAUCAUUAAGGUGAAAAUUUUUGUGAGAAAGAGAAAGAAUUAAAAGAAGAAAGAGAAAAAGAAAUAAAAGAAAGGAAGACAAGGUAAAUCAAAAGUCAAACUAAUGCAAGGGCAAUUUUGUCCUAAAGGGGAUUAACUGAGCAAAAUUAAAGGUUAGGGGGUAAACUGAAAAAUGGGAUAUUCUUUAAGGGGAUAAAAUGUGAUUAAUCCUAUUUUUUUUUUAUCCUUUCUUGUCUCUCAUGAGUUAUCCUUUCUGUUCUUUUCUUUUCUAUCCUCAACUCACAAACUAGCUUCUAGAAAAAUUUCGGACAUCAUUUUAGCAAGACAUUCAUCGCGACAUCUCAAGAACUCUCGCCAACCCUACGCUGUCUCUAGGUCCGCCGGCCACCAAACCUCCGCCGAGUCUUGGGGUGCUGGUCUCGCUGUUUCCCGUAUCUCUCGUGUUCCUGGCGGUGGCACUCACCGUGCCGGCCAGAGUGUCUAUGGCAACAUGUGCUGCGGCGGCCGCAUGUUUGCUCCGACCAAGAUCUGGCACCGUUGGCACCGCAGGUCCCAGUUAACAAGAAAUGGUAUGCCGUGGUUUCUGCCAUCGCCGCCUCUGCAGUGCCUUCCCUUGUCAUGGCCCGCAGCCACCGGAUCGAGUCUGUCCUGCAAAUCCCCUGUGUGAUCUCCGAUUCUGCUGAGGCCAUGGAGAAAACCUCCAAUGCUAUCAGUCUUCUCAAGAAAAUUGGGGCUUGCCUUGAUGCUGAGAAGGCUAAGGACAGCCAGGGUUGUCUGAUUUUGCGGAGGAGCCGGAGAGGGCUGUUUCUGCGGUGGCGGAGCUGGUGGAGUUUGGGAGGAAAAGGGUACCUCGGGAGUAUUGGAGGGAGACUGAAAUUAGGCUAAUGGCAACUGCUGGUUUGAGGAUGUUGGAGAAAGGAGUUCAAGAUAGGAUUUUGGAGGCUUGCCGAACCGUGUUGAGGGGCUCGGGUUUCAGGUUUUACGAUGAUUGGGCUUCCGUUAUUUCCGGUAUGAUGCCAUUUGGCUUGUGGAUUUCUUUUAAUUUUGGUUCUCUGAUCUGCAUUUUGAAGCAUGUUUUGUAUAAUCAAUGGUAAGAGUGUUGGAAAUUCUAGUGUUUUGCUCUAGUUAGUAUGCUAGUGACGUAUCUGGACAUUGAGAAUGUGAACUUUUACAACCCUGUCUGAGUGGAUAUAACUUCUUUGUUAGGUGUUUGUUAUUGCUUAUCUUUUUGGUUUAUUCAACUUCAAGUGACAAUGUGCUUGCUAAGGAGUCAAAAUUUGAACUUUAAGUAAGUAAGGCUAGAUUAUAGGUAGAUUCAGAUUUUUGAAUUCUGGGUAAAAUGUACUUGGAUGUUGGUCUCAUGCUAACUGCUGCAUUUCCUAUCUAAUAGCUUGGCAAUGCUAUAUGGGCUUUUAUUUAGUCAUAUUAAUUCUUAUAAACUGGUUUUGUUAGCAUUUAAUUCUUGUUAUAUUUUGAAAGUCUAAAGUUGGAUGAUCCAUUGUUUAGGUUCUGAUGAAGGUGUAUAUGCCUGGGUCGUUGCUAAUUAUGCCCUUGGCACUCUAGGAGGUGAUCCUAAGCAAACAACUGGUAUUAUUGAACUUGGAGGUGCUUCAGCUCAGGUUGUGAAUUUAUUUUCAAUUGUUAGGUUCUUCUAUAGUUAAGACAUGCUCAUAUUCACUGACUUAUGUGGAACUCAUGUCUGAAUUUUUUCUAGUUAGUUGAGUAUUUCUUCUACUCAUAGGUGAAGCUUUUAGUGUAAUGAAUGGUGACUUCUUAUACAUUUGUAAUGCCAACUGAAACUGCAAACUAAGUAUUGUUAUUUUGGUUCUAAAUAUGAUGGGGCUCAAAUCUUUCCUUGUCGAAACUGCUAUAGUUAUUAUGAUUUUCUUCUAUAUUUGUUCAAGGAGUUGACAUGUAAAAUUUUUUUAAAAAAGGUGUUGACAUGUAUGAUGAAUCUUGUUAACAGAUGCUGAGGAAGUUAAGUAAACAGCUGAAUGGUGAGGAUUGGAUGUGGAACAACCUAAAUACCUUGCUGGGCAAUAGGAUCUAUAUCAGGAUCAAUGAUGGAGGAACAAGUGUACUGCUUUAUGCUGUAUAUUUUUCCUGUUUUUUAGUCUUUCUUCGCUGAGUGACUAUUUUCUAGCUUCUUUCUACUCAGAAUGAGACCUUGUGUUUGGAUAACUUUCAGUUUUGUGGUUCUUUUUCUUUUUCACCAUUUUCUUACUUUUAUUUUUUGCAUCAACUGUGGCAGGAAAACAAGUUUCUUGUGAUGGUGAUACGUGAUUUGUUAAACCUUUGUGAGAUUACAAAAGGCAAAGACAACAAAGUAGUUAUUGCAAGUAAUAUAAUGUGAGAUGUUAAACUGCAUUUUCAUUCUGAUAGGGUAGGUAGCAGUAACUAGGCAUUCUUAUGUGAUAACUUUAUCUCAGUUAACUAUUUGCAAAUGAAAUGUAUUCAGGCAAAUGACCGUGAACUCCAGUUUUCGAUGGUUGAUGGUGAUUUCAAGAAGUUUGAAGGAAAAUGGUCUGUCAAAUCUGGUGAAAGGUAAAUUCUGGUGUAACAUAUUUUGCAUCUCCUUCCUGGUGAUGUGUGUUUCUGAGGAUGAUUAUAGAUUCAAGUAUCAUUUGGUUGUUAACAUUUUUGGCAAUCCAUGCUGGUUAUCCAUCUCAACUGUUGCAUGAAAAUGUAGCCUCUUUAGUUUUGGAGUCUUUAUUCAACUAAAAUGAUAUUGUUUACCUUUACAUAGCACUGGUAAACAUCUUUAGUAUGCUUAUAGAAGGAAUCAGCUACAACCUAAACGGCUAAGUAAUGAGUACUAAUAUUCUCUUUCAUUUAGCAAUUGUGUUUAGACAUCAUUUAACAUGUGCAGUUAAUUGUUCAUGUCUGAUCUGCUACAAGAUAAGUUAAUGGCUAAGUCAGAGGAGUUGGUCUAAAAUUUAGUUCUUGUAUCUCUUGCCAUUGAUAUUUCUUGAGACAAAUUGGAGCACUAUAUUGAGAAAAUUGAGUUGUGACUACAUCUAAUAACCUUGCCUCAAGGGAUUCUCUCCAAGUUUGGAAAAUUCUUUAUGCCGCCUCAGUUAUAUCUGAUGUUGCAUCUCCCACAUAGAGAUGAAACAAUUGAAUGUACAAACAAUGGUUAUGGACUGUAAUCCUAUUUAGAUGUAUUCCUCUGGUUUCUAUGGACAAGUUUUGGUUAGUUUCCGAACUGGUAUCUUUUGCAGUAGCCUUCCUUUUAUUUGGCUUUGUAAGCACUGUAAGCAUAGUUUUAGAAGACUAUCCUGUUAGAUCAAAUAUUUGUCUGAUUUUUUUUUUUUUUUAUCGAUACACUAAGGAAGAAGUAUUUUUUUUAAUCUUUAGUGAUUUUAGUGAAGCUUAAUUGAAAUUUUCACUUUACUUUUUCAUUUAUCCUUAUUUGUGCACUCUUAACUUGUCGAUGACUUAGAUGGUAAUAGCUUACUAAUAUAUGAUACUACACAAAAAGUGCUGCUAAAGUGUAUCUAAAAAGGAGAGAGGAUUUUCAGAAUUUGUCAAACUUUGACUUAUGAAUAUCUGAAAAAUGAAAAGUUACACAACGAAGCCUUUAAUUCUACCAAAUCUUGUGCUCUGAUUGUUAUCUUCACAAAAAGUGUAUAGCUGUUUAAUCAACUACCAAAAACAAAAAAAGAAAAAGAAAAGUGAUGGACCUUGUCUCCGUUUCUAAGAAACAAAAAACAGAUAAAUCCAAAGAUUGAAGUUGGAGCUUCAAUCCAAGUUUAUAACAAAGUCCAAAUUCCACCUUCAUACAUCAACAGAUAAACCAGAUGCAAAGUAGAUGAAGAUCAAAGGCAAUAGUUAAGUAGAACAAUUUCUAAGAUACAAAGUCUCAAACUGUAUGCGGGCCGGUUAUCAUGAAGCACCUAACUUAGUAGGAAAGAAGAGUCAGCCAAAGCUGCCAAAGGAUCACUUGUACUGUUUCUUCUAAAUCAGCAAUAUGGCCCUUGUCUCAAGUAUCUUGUAAACUUUGUGCUAGUGGUUAUGCUUGUUCAGUUCAUUUCUUCCUGCUUAACAGGCAUGCACUGCUGCCUAGUUUCUGCUCAUUAAAUAGUUUUGUCUCAAGAAGGUCUUCAUUCAUUUUGUAAUUGCUGUCUAUUUUCUAGAUUGCGGAUGUAUGGUCCUAUGGUGUGACAUUGUACGUGAUGUUGGUGGGAGCUUAUCAUAUUUGACUUAAUUGGAUUUUUGUUCAGUAUGACUAUUCAUUCAAAUUCAAUAGUGUAUGCUUGUAAUGGCAUUUUUUUGACUGAAAUCGAUUCUAAUGCAUAUGAUACUUUUCUUUCAAUGCAGUACAAUGCUAUUAAAUGCUCUUGAGGAGAUGAAAAAGGUUGGCUUUUGGAUAUGCUCAUGAAGAUGACUUCAGUUUGACACAAAUUGCUGCUUUAGUCUAUGUUUUUGUUUGGAAAGAGUACUUUGUUUUUUUGGAUGCGUAAUGGCUGUUACUAGUUGAACUGAUGUGAAUUUAGUACUCUAUUGUUUGGAUGGAUAAUGGCUGUUAGUACUUGAACUAAUGUGGGCUUUGGAACCCAUUUUGGUUAAUGUGUGUUUUGAUGAAUUUAGAGAUGUUUAUAACCAUAUAUAUAUAUAUAUAUAUAUAUAUAUAUAUAUUUGAGGGUUCAUUGUACAUUAAUUACUAUCGUUUUUUGCAUUAGUCGAGCCACAAUUUUCUGCUAUGGUUGUUGAAAAUGCAAUAGAAAUGCAGCUCUUGUACACAAAGUUGUAAGUUCACUAAGUGACGACUAUUCUUGUCACAGAAUACUAGGAAUGAGAGUGACAAGUUCAAGUCGUCACUGUGCACGUUCAAAUUUGUGAUGACUUCUGCUAUUUUUUAUGACAAAAAAAUUUUGGAAACAGUGAUAAGAUACUUCGUCACAGAAUACUAUUUUUUAGUGACGACUUAGUCUUCGUCAUUAAAUAAUAAUAUUUAGUGACGACUUUGUAAAGGUUGUCACACAUAUUCAUUUGUGACAUAGAAUUGGUGACAAUAAUGUGACAAUGGAAAAAGUCGUCAUUAUAUUCAUAUAAUGAUGACUUUCUAAUUUUUAGUGAUAACUUUCUAUUGUCACAAAAGGUCGAAUUUCUUGUAGUGACCAAAUCACCGAUGUGUAAAAACGUGUUCCACAUUGGUCCUUGUCAAAUUUUCACACGUAUUAAAAUAAUUAUAAGAUGGCGCAAAAUUCAAGUUCAUCAUGGUAGUAGCUCCGACCAUGACACUGGAUAACACCAAAUGCACUGUAUGAUUUAAUACUCAGAUUUCUGAAUUACUACUAUAAGAUUACCUGAUCUUCCAUGUAUUUAUGACUAUACUAAACUGCAACCAUGAUCAUGUCACAAUAGUCUUGCCUCUUCCAUAACUUUUUGAGCAUCAAUAAAAGUGAUAUUUGCAUAAAAUAUUGGAUUAGAAACAGAAUAGCUAUUUUUGUCCUUUUUUGAGUUUUGUUUUGUUAGAUGUAUUGUUAUAAUGUUAUAUAAUAUAAAUUUUAUAUAAUGUAUAUUAUAAAAAAAUAAUAUAUUAUAUAUAAAUAUUAUAAAACAAAUUUGAAAUUGAAUACCGAUUUCGAUUCCUGAUUUCGAAUUGUGAAUUUGAAAUCGAAAAUUUUGAUUUCAAAAAUUUCAUUAUCGAAUUUGAACUGAUUUCGCAUAAUUUGAAAUAGGAAAAACCGAUUUCCAUUCCAAAUUUCGAAUUACCGAUUUUGAAAAUUUCGAAUUAAAUUCGAAUUCGGUCGAUAAAUCAUUAUUUUUCGAUUUUGCACAAUCCUAAUUCUUCAACUCAGAAUUUCGGCUGCAGCCGUAAAGAAAAGUGUAGAGGCUUCAAGAAACAACUUUUGUUGAUUUUAAGAGAUAAAAUUGCCAACUAAAAACAACUCACGUGGACUUUUAAUUCCUUUAUAAAUAAGGACUUUGUUGAGCUUGUUUCAUAACUUUGGAAAGCUAGAAACAGUACUAAAAUAUAGUCUUCGGUAGUUUUUUUUUUUUUAGUUUAUUAGUAUGGUAUAGUUAGUAUAAUUUAUCCGUCUUGUACUUGUAGCUAGAUUUGCAUGAAGAAUUGAGGAGUAAAGAUGGAGAGUUGGAGCUCAUGUGACAAGCAGUGUUUUCAGAACCGGACCGGACCGGCAGGUUCGACCGGUUGGACCGCGAACCGGCCAUGUCACCGGUCCGGUCUAAUGCUAAAGCCGGAAGUUCAUGGAGAACCGUUGAAACCCGGACGAACCGUGUGAACCGUUAAGAACCAUGAACCGGCGGUUUUUUAAAUUUUUCAACAAAAUACCAAGAAUGGUGUAGCCAUGAUUCGAAUCUGGGUCUCCCAGUUUGCAUAUGACAAUCUUACUGCUAGACUGUAGUUAAGUUUGUUGAGAAUUCUACUUGACUAAAAAAUAUAUUAAAACAUCAAGUUCUUCUCUUAUUUUUUUUUUCAAUUUUUUCUUCUUAACCAUUUUUAACCCAAAUAUCCACAACAAGAUUUUCUCAAGUCUUCACCAUUAUUAUCAGGUCAUUAUCUUUAACAGAUUGUAAACAAGUUGAAAAUUUCAACUUUUCUUGUUUUCCAACAUCUUGGUAAGUUUAAUUUUUUUCUUUUCAAGGCUUUUUUUUUCUAUAUUAUUAUCUUUAGUUGAUUUUUUUGCAUUUUCUUCUUUUUCCCCUCAAUUUUCAUAUGUUUCCCUCAUUUUUUGUUUUAUUUUUAUUUGAUUAAUUAAGGAUGAAAUUUUUGCAAAAGUAGUGCACAUCCAUGUAGGAAUUGGGUAGGAAUUACAAAUAAUAACAUUGGGUUGGUAAAAAAUAUGGUAGUUGGCACAUAAUCGAAGCUAUUGAUAAUUGAAUUUAAAAUAAUUAAUGGUAUAGGAUCAUUGAAUUUAAUAUAACAUGUUAAUUAGUAAUGUUUAGUAGCAAUUAAUUUUUUAUGUGUUUAACUGUAUAUUUGUUUUUCAAAAAUUUUUAGUUUUUUUUUUAGUUUGAGCAAUUAGAUUUAUAUUUUUAUAAUAAAAUUUUAACUUUUUCAGCUUAAGUUGAUUAAAUUGUGAAGGUGGUGUGGUUGCUUAUCAUGCCACUCAUAAAAGUUUGCUAUUCAAAUGGUUUGUCUUAACUUGAACUCUUUUAUGGAUUUUUUUAAGGGUUGUAAAAGAAUUUCAAUAUUUAAUUUAUUUAUUUUUUUUGUUUUUAUUUGUGAUAAUUGGUGAACAUUUGGAUUGUAUCUAUUUAUGUUUAUAAUGAAUUUAUGAAAACUUGUGGUGAAUUAUGAUAUUUUAAUUAUAUUUAUCAUUCCAUGUUUUAUGUAUAACUUUUACUAAAUUUAUUAUUAUCAUAACUUAAAUUAAGUUAUGUUGGCAAAGUUCAAGUGUAGAAUGAAACCUGCUUAGUACUUAAAAAAAAAAAAAAAAAAAACAGUGAACCUAUGAACCGGCCGGUUGGACCGGUCGGACCGAUCGAACCGCGAACCGGCAACCUCUCCAGUUCACUGACCGGUCCGAGUUUAAAAACAUUGGUAACAAGGGUGACCUCUUUCCUAUCACUUUCUCUUUUGUAUUUGAUUUCAUGUUUAGUUAUAAUACAAGUUUGGAUUUUAUUAGGUUUUACUAAAAUUUAUACCUAAAGUUAUGGAUGAACUUUCUAUAUCUUGUUAGUGAAUUUACUUGGUUAUUUGGUGAUAGUAUUUUGAACAAGUUAUUUAUCACUUUUACUUAUCUAAUCAUGAUUAACUGGUCAUUAAUUGUGAUAAUUUUAAGGUGUUAAGUUUGUGAUGAGAAUUGAGAUUUGACAGUAGUUCAGAAAAGUGUUAAACUUAGGAAGUACACUCACGAUAGUAGAAAUGCACUUUUGUGAUUUUAGUAAUUUGUUUCAUAAAAUAUUAUAGAAAGAAUGAGUUUGUAGUUAAUUUUAUAACCACAAGAGUAGAUAUGGUUUAGUUAUAAGUAUAAUAGAUUCACUACGAGAGUAGGUUUCACAUACAUGAAAAAAUUCCAUUAUAACUAGUCAAGAUAAUAACAUUCAAUUAACCGGUGAUUUCACUUGCAAGACUAGUGAGGAAUUCCAUACCUUUGUUGACUUUCUAUUAUUAUUUGUAUUACUUUUAUUUCAUAUUCGUAAUGUAGAUAUAAUUUUUUACACUUGUGAUAGUCGAAAUAAUAAAGGAGUUCGAAAAUCACAGGUAAUUGACAAUGUUCCUGUGAGAUCGACACCUAAUAUUCUUGUACUCGAUAAACUAUAUGCAUACUCACAGAAAAUGAGAUGUUUAGGUUUUAUUAAAAUUUGAUACAUGGUAGAAUCUCGUCAGCAUCGUCUAUCAUUAGUCAUCCACCCCAAUGACAUUAGAUGCAUUUCCAAGGACUUUCUUGAAUAGUUAAACUAAUUUAGGUCGAGACUCGAAUCUUUGAGAGUUGAAUCGGUUAGUUCAUACAGUGAAUAGGAAAAACUCUAAAACACAAAAUGCAGUUAUAAAUUGCGGGUAUAUUUGUCUGGUCUUUUAUUUUUGCGUUGGUUCCAAUAGUUCUUUCAAGAGUCUAUGUAUCUAUUCGUGUAAUUGUCAAUGUCUUCUUUUACAUCAACUCAUUAAGAAAUACAUCAAAUCUUGAAAGAAAUACCAAAAAUAUAACCUAUUACUCAACUAGAAUUAUCAGAUUUAAGCCUAAGGUUUUUUUUUAACCCUCCAUCUCCUCUCCACAUCUCUUCCCAUCCCCAACCAUCAGUCUUGUGAUUCAAACUUUGAGCCUUACAGAGGAGGAAGCUCUUAGUCAUUGGACCAGUCGAGUGAUGACAAAACGGUAACAUAAAAUUAUAGGCCUAGCAACCGUAAUUAGUAUAUUUCCACACUGACCUCAUCAUGGACGUGUAAAAACGUGUUCCAUGCUGGUGGACCCUGAUUUUGGUGAUUAGGUCCAACAAGACAAACUAAUUUAUGGGGUAAUUACCUCAUUUUUAGGCCUAUAAAUACAAGGAGUCUGGUUUGUUAUUUCAAUGUGCUAAACUCAGCUACCAAGUUUUCGAGAGUCACAACCAAUUACAAUAUCUAAGGAGAAAAUGGCUGCAGCCAAAUCUGCUAUUGGCACUGGACAGGUGAAUAGUGAUUGUAUUCUUUUCCAAGUUUGUGUGUGGUUUUGGCAAUCAACACAUAAACAACUUGUAUAGAAACGUUUGGAAAAGUAUAAGGAGUUGCAAAUUAAAGCAAUUUCCAACAUUCUUGAAUUGUCUUAAGCAAUUUUUUAUAUUUCCAGCUGUCUACAUGCAUCUGUGGGUAGGCGGUCCCUUGCAUUGUUUCAUUAACUGUCUUCCGAGUGAUGUAGUUUCUUAUUAAUUGGUUGGAUUUAAUUUCUGGUCGUUUGUUUAUUUGAAGGAUUCUAAUUGAUUUUGGGAACUCAAUUGUUUUUCGUUUUCUUACUGGAAAAAAUGUUUGGGAUUUACAGACCGACAUCAGUUCACUAGAACCAGUGAAGCCGGCUGACCCUCACGUGAUCCAGAUCGGACAAUUUGUAGUGGAACAAGCUCACCACGGCAAGCUGCUUUUCGUCGCCGUGGUUGGCGGAUUCACGUGGAGCGUCAUUGGAGGCAAUUACUACGCACUUAUCAUUGAAAACCAGGAUUAUGAGGGCGCCACAUAUCUGCACAAAGCACUUGUUUUUGAGACCCCAGAUGGAGUCUUGACACUCAUCUGGCACAAGAAAUAAUCAAACACUGCCGUUGAUCAACUGACUAUCAACGUCUUGAAGUACUUUAAUUAUCUAUCACUGUCUUUGGUGUGGUUUUCAAUUUAUGCAUGGAUGAUGUACUGCUGGCACGCAUACAUCUCCCCACUGUUGUACUAGCAUGUAAGGUGCAGCUGUACCAGCAAAAAUGCACCAUUAAAUAAAAAAUGCCGUCUGCAUUUGUGUUUGUAUCCUUGUUUUAGUAUGUCAAAGGUGCACUUAUGAGAACAAAAAUGCACCAUUAAAUAAAUAAAAACAGCAGUCUGUGUUUGAAUUUGUAUCUGUAUAUUUUGUUUCUCUGUUGCUUGCAAGCGGAUUCCAAUCACUGAGUUUUGUAUGUCAACUAGGUACUAUAUUCAUGACUAGUUAUGAAGUUUGAUAACUAGUCAAGUCUUAUUUAAAAUGAAUCCAAACCUGAAAAGGAAAUGAAAGAUUAGUUGCUAUAUCAAGAGAAAGAUGUGUUGCUCGAAAAGUUCAAAGAUGAGAGCUUCUACUUUCUACGACCAUUCUUUCGGUCAUUUCGGAACAAUGCGUAUCCUACCACAUGCUAAUCAAGUUUAGAAUGCAUAGGUAUGAGCAAAGAACGGUCUGUUAUCUAAAAAAAUGCGACAACAGAUUUCAUCGAUUUACGUACAAUUAAUAUUUAUCCCUACACUUCUGUUAGAAAUUCAAUGAAGUUGAGAUCAUGAGAUUCAACACAAAAUCAUUCAAGCAAUCAAGAAGAGAAUAAUAUCAUAUUGUCAAUGCUAAGGAAAAAAUGUAAAUUGGACUUUCCUCUCCAAUUUCAAUUUUUGAAAAUUUUUUUUCUUUUUUGUGCAACACUGUCUCUGGAUUUCAUUAUAGCUAAAAUGCUUAGGUGCUUGAUAUAUGGUAGGACACGUACCUACAGACAAUAUAAAAGAUAUAUACACAUACUUGUGGUGUUAUAGCUAUAUACCAUUUUGAAUUGAUGUAUCUAUAGAGAGUGUUGGCUGAACUAUACGUUUCAUUGAUUGAUGAUUGAAGAUUGAGGAAAUGGAUAUUUGUAGGCCCAAGCUAAUUAAAUGACCUUUGAGAAUAUUUCCACACUAUCCUAAUCGUGAAUGUGUAAAAUGGUGUUCCACAUCCUUGUCCAUUUUUUCACACGUGUUAAGUUAAUUACAAGACUUGGCAAAAUUCAAAAGGUACGUACCACUAGAUAAUACCAAUUGCUCAAUAUGAGUUAAACCUACUUCUACAUGUGAUUCUAGGUUUGAGUGUUGACCAAGAAGUGAAUGUUCCAAUUAGUUCAAUUAUGAAGGGCUCAUGCGAAGGUCAAAGGUUCGCUUCAAACAUUGGUACGCGCUAUUUAAGACCAAGUUAGGUCUCAAAAACCAAUUGAAGGAAUUGAUGAUACACAAGCGAGCCUCAACAUGCUGAUUCGCGUUCCAUUCAAGAGGAAUUGUAAAUAGUGACUAGAAGACUUGGAAUCAGUAAGAUAUGGACACGCCAGAGUAGCUGUUUGCUAGUUCGCAACUCAAGAAGAAAUGGAUUGUGUCGGACUUUUGAUAUGUGCAUAUUUUAUAUAUUUUUAGUGUGUUUUAUUAUCUAGUUUUGGUGUAUUUUAACUACUUUUAUAGUUAAUCAACUAAGUUUCUAGUGAAAAUAUGCAUUUUAUGGUUUAAAGUGUAAAAAUUGUAUUUUUAUGGAUUUUAAUGGUGAAAACUUCAUGUUUUUAUUGGUUUAAUGAUUCAAUCAUCAAAUGCAGUGAGUUGAGAACAUUUUUGGAUGAUUAUUGAUGAUUUGAAGUAGUUUAAAGAAGACAUGAAGUGUAAAGAUGAAAUGCAAGAGAGAACAAAAGAAAGGAAGUUUUCCAACUUUGACAGCUUGUGAUAUUUCGACUAUAUAUUGAGCUACAAGUAUUGGAUUGAUGUGAUUCUUAAACCAUUUUGAAAUAAGAGAUAGAUCUACAUUUGGUAUGAAACAUCGAAGUCCAGUUCAGUUGUUUUCAUUGUCAAAAAGUCAAAAUACAGAAGUGCAAUUUCAUUGUCGAAAGCUAAAACAGAGUUCUUAAUAGUCGAGGGUAUUUUGGUCAUUUUUUGGUCAUUUUUUGGUCCACAGAGCUCCACGUUAGAUGAUUCUUCAUGCAUUGGAAAGUAACUCAAAGAGCUACAACUUUUAAGUUUUCAUAAGAGCUAGUUCAGCUUCUAUCAUCAACAAAAGAUCAGUUGAAAUAGGAAUAAAAACAGAGCAUGGAUGAAUUCUGCCCAGAAAGUGCAAACCUGCAAAGGAGAAAACGUGGGGUGCAAUAUGCGACCUAAGGUCAUACAUUCGAGGUCGUGUAUUCUAGUUUUUCUGCUGCAACUUGCUCUGCAACUUUUUCUUUGUUCACACAACUUUCCAGCUCAAUUCCAGCAAGCAAAUUCAGCUGUAUCUGACCAAGAAAAGUGUGGAACUUGGAAAACAACUCUUGAUGAGUUCAAAAGCCAACUUUUCCAAUCAAGAAACAGCUCACCUUGAUCUUGAAUCAUCUAUAAAUAGCAGCCUUUGGAGACCAUUUUCAUAACUUUGGAAAGCUAUAGAAACUCCACAAAAAAUGUAAUCUUCAUUAGAAUUUCCUUAUUUCAUUAGUUAGAGUAGAUUAGUAUAGUUAGAGUAGUUUAUUCCUCUUGUAUUUAUAGUUGGAUUUGGAUGAAGAUUAAGGAGCAAGAUGGAGAGAUUGAUCUCAUGUGACAAGGGUGAUAUCUCUUCUACUACUUUCUUUCUUGUAUUUGAUUUCAUGUUUAACUGUAAUACAAGUUUGGAUUUGUGUUUUUAUCAUUUUUAGUUAAAGUUUAUACCUAGAGUUAUGGAUGAACUUGCUAUAUCUCGCUAGUGAUGUUUACUUGGUUAUUUAAUUAUGUUAUUUUGAGUAAGUUAUUUAUCACUUUUGCUUAUCUAAUCAUGAUUAACCAGCCAUUAAUUGUAAUAAUCUUAAAGUGUUAAAUUUGCAAUGAGAAUUGGGAUUUUACACUACUCCAAUAAAGUAAUAAACCUAGGGAGUACACUCAAGAGAGUAGAGGUGCACCUAUGUGAUUUUAGUGACUUGUUUCAUGUAAUUUCAUAGAAGAAAUGAACUUGUAAUUAAUUUCAUAACCACGAGAAUAGGUAUGGCUUAGUUACAAGUAUAGUUGAUUCACUACGAGAGUAGAUUUCACAUACAUUAGGAAAUUAUGCCAUAACUAGCCGGUAACUUCACUUGCAAUAGUAAGGAAUUCCCUACCUCUAGGAGCUCUUUAUUGUUACUUUUAUUACUUUUAUUUCAUAUUUGUAGCAUAGAUUGCAUUUGUAAUAGUCUAAAUAAUAAAUAUGACGGGUUUUUUAUAUCAAUGCAAGUUUAAAUCCGAUUUUACACCCGUUGGACUGCAAGUAUACAGGUCACAAUUGUAGUACAAGGUGUGUAUCGGGUCGAUCCCACGAGGAGCAAAUUAACCAAUUACUAGGUCCUUAUUUUCUCUAUUAUUUAAACUAUUGAAUGAAUUUGAGCAAAGAAAUGUAAUGCAAAUGUCUACAAAUCUGAUCUGCAAUUCUAUUUUAACAAAUGCUAAAUGCAAAUGGAGAAAUUUCACUCAAGAAAGAAUCUAGGGAUGUAGAUUCCACUUAUGGCAUAAACAACACAAAUGAAUGGAUUUACUUCUUGUUAUUAUUCUUGUUUAACCAGAGAUUCAUUUCUAAAAUUACCAAGUCUCAUUUUCAUGAUGAAAUGGCCUAGAGCAAUAUAGUUUUCCCUAUUUUCAUGGUGAAAUACUACUACUACUCUGUUUUAUUUCAUGAAAUGCUAAAUAAUCCACCUAAGUGUAUCUCUAUUUUCAUGAACAUACAACUCAAGCUCUACUCACGUGUUUCCAUUGUUAUUACCAAUUUUCAUUGCAUAAUAACAACUAUAAACAUGCUAUUGGUGAUCAAUCAAUAACAAGUAAUCACAGCUACACAAGUAGACAAGUUAAUACAAGAUAUAACAAGUGUAAAUCACAUUCAAUUCAUAUUAUUUAGCCAUAAGUUUCAUCUACUCCCUAGAUAAAGAAAAUUAGCUACUCAUGAAUGAUUUAACAAUCAAACUCACAAGUUUAUUAAUAAAAAACAUCAUCAAGUACAAGUACAAGAAAGAUAAAAGAAAGCUUAGCCAAUUGAAGGUGAAGCUCUCCAAUUCCUGCUAUGCUCUUGCACAAUAUGAUUACAAGUGAAAAUUCCAAAUACUUCUCCAAGAACUCUUAGCUAGAGAGAAAAAUGUUACAAGAAGGAAAACUAGCUACGUAUGGUCAUCUCUUCACCUCUCUCCUAUGUUUCUGCAUAAAAAGUGGUAGAAAGUCUACUCUUCUCUCUUCAUAAUUUCCUCCACUCAGAUUUUGUAAAAAGAAGUCAAAGAUAUGAUGUUUCCUUUUGUCUACACUCAUUUGGUCUUCUCUUUUGUUGCAGAAGCAUGUGCCACCGAUUUCUGUCCCUCAAAAUAGCUGGAAAAGUGGUAAGAAAGGUAAAGAAAAACGGCUGUGUAACUUGCUGAGGAGAGAGACAGAUCUGAGCCUCAGAUCCGAGGGUUGAAUAUUGAUCCGAGCUCGGAUCAGUGGAUCCGAGGACUUCCCAUGAUGGAUCCGAGGUCAGAAUGGAUCCGAGGUCGGAUCGUUCUGACCUCGGAUACGCUCCUCCAGAAGUACAGAUGAGAGCUCGGAUCUCCCCUUAUUCUCACAGAUCCAAGCUCGGAUCCGUGCUGGUAUUUUCCAGUUUUUCAUUUCUUUUCCUUUUUCUUCACUUUUGCUCCUAAUUUCUUGUGUAGUUUAUCCUCUGGACAAUCCUUAUACUUCUUUCAGCUUGUGCAUGAAUUUCAUACAUCGAUAUCCUUCACAAUUUCACAAAAUUAACGAAUUAAUCCACUCAUUUAUCAAGUUUUGAACACUUAAACAAUAUUUAAGCAAUUAUCACCAAAAGAGUUCAAAUAUGGCUUUAAUCUCCUCAAAACAUACCAAAAGUUCAUGCCAAAUUUGUACAAAAUGUACGUUAAAUAUUCACUUAUCAAAUUCCCCCACACUUAAAUCAUUACUUGUCCUCAAGCAAUUGCACACAUAACUUACCACAAUGAUCCAAGAGAUAAAACAAUAUAUAUACUUUUGUCAAAUUUAAUUCCUCAAAACCUAGAAACCAAUCAUUGUGCCAUUUCUCAGAUUACAUUAAAUACUUAUAAUAUUCAAUUAAGUAAAAAUAAUUAUGCCUUCAUUUCAACAAAUUCAACUCAAUCUCUCAUUCUAUCCUAAUUCCACAAAUAAGUAAAUCACAUAGUCAAUUCUAUGGCCUUCCUCAUCCCAUGACCAUCAAAACUUAACAGUUGAGAGGGAUUUAUUCACACUUCAUUUUAUUUAAAUAGUGAAAACGUCUUUUUACGCAAAAAUCAACACUUUUAGGUGAAAAUUCCCGAUUACUCAACAUUUCACUUAUUCAAAUUGCUAAGCAUACUCUUAAUUCUAAUACCUUUUUACGCGAAUGUCGACAUUUGUAAAUGCCAACCCCCGGUUACUCAGUAUGCGAAUCAUUGGAAUAGAAAAUAUUAUUAUUAUUAUUAUUAUUAUUUUUAAUUUUUUUGAUAUAUAUUUUUUUCUUCUUUUUUAUAUAUAUAUAUAUAUUUUAACAAUCUUUUCCCUCUAAGCAUAAUUAAAGGAAGAAUCUGGCCUUGUCUUGACUAUAUCAAUCACUUACUUAUAAAAUUAAGUAAAAAUGAGAAAUAUCAUUAAACAUGCAAAAUUCUAAGCAUAAUUUUUCUCAAUUAACCGAAUAUACUUUCUAAAAUGUAAAAAUCCUAAUUGCAUAAUGACUAAUUCCAAGUCAAAUAAGGACUAAACUUUCCCAAAAUACAUAUAAAAUUUUAUCCAAUGGAAGAAUUAGACACUUAAAAUUGAACAUUUUGGCCAUUAUUUGAAAAAAAAAAUUGCAAUGAAAUAUUGGAAAAUAUUUUUAAAAAAUUUUGACAGAGUUUCCCCAUAUAAUUGGACAAAACUCCCUGCCAAUAGCCUCAAGUUCAAGAAAAUUAUCCUUAUAACAAUAUUUCCAAAUAUAAUUCCAAUAGUUUUAAGCCAUAGACAACUAAAAUCAUGCAUUUCAAGACAUAAUCAUCCAUAAGAUAAAGUAAUGCCUCCCCCACACUUAAAUGUAACAAUGUCCUCAUUGUAAGGAAGGUAAUAGAAACUGAAACUUCCCUCAAAAUAAAUGGUGAUUCAAUUUGAAGCCAUAAUUCCUCGCGAUCAUCCAAAUUUUGUCCACAAUGAAACAAAAGGGUACGAAAAACCAUAAGUAGCGCAAGAGAAUCCAAUAUGAAAACUACAAAGUUUAAACCGAACACAAUAAAAGAAAAAUAAAGCAAUCAAUGAAAAUGAAGAUCUUCAUGGCUGCUCGAAACGAGGGUCUACUGCCUCCUCAGUUCCUUGAGGACCCUGUGAUGUACCAAUAUGCCCCUCCUCCUGCUGAGGCGUCGGAGUAGGUGACCGGCGGAUAUGAAAAUGAUCCUCGAUCGCACGAAGACGGCGAUCAUGUCGGUCGAGGCGCUCAGUCAUCAUCCGCUCUGUCUGGUCAAUGCGCUCGACGACUCGCGUCUUCAUACAAGAAAUGGCAUUGAGAAGCUCUUGCCACUUGGAGCGCGGUGGAGGAGGUGGUCACGGAACGGGAGGAGGAAGAGUCUGCUGCGCCUCCGUCUCUUGAGUUUCCGCUUGUGAUUCAGUGUGAGGUGGAGACUGAGUGGAGGUCGAUGCUCCUCCAGUGUCCCGAACCAUAACAGCUCCAAAGUCCGUAGGAAUGCCCAAAGCUUUGAGUAUAGAGGCAUUGACCUCCUCGACAAAUUUAGUGACGAUAGCUCGCUCGGUUCCAAGAGGGACUUUUAGCUUCUCAAACAAGAGGGAUAGUAGUCGAGGGAACCCGAAGCAAGUCUCAUCGGCUCUCAUGCGAGCUGUGGUCUGCAUGUAGCUGAUGAUGAUGCUAGGUAGAGGAAUACCGAUCAACUGCCUACCCACUCCAUGUAUCAUCUUAUCCAGAAAAUAGAGAUCGCUAUUUCGGAGCUCCCGUUUGCCACUCCGUUUUGGCACCACAUUAAAGGCGAAAAGAUAGAAAAUCAAGUGGUACCUAUGCUCGAAGGAGUCGGCGUAAACUGUAAGCUUUUUCGCACUUCCUCUCUCUCUAUACUGGCCCUUGAGGCGUCCAACCGCCUCUCCCACCUGCCAAGGGUCUCGAGCAUUGAACUCCUUGGUCAAUUUGAUAUCUUCUCCUUCGUCUUUGAGUUUGACGAAGUGUCUCAGUGUAUCCCGAUUGAAAGUCACUCUCUUCCCUCGAACCCACGAGACGAUGAGAUUGCCACUGUGGCUCUGUUUCUUUUCUACAUUGGCGUAGAACUCCCGGACCAGAUUGGGGUAGUAGUGCUUGGGCAAUUGAAGGAUGUUCUCCAAUCCGAGUCUCUUGAAUGCCGUAGAAAUGUGGUAGUGCGCAUCCACCUCCGGUGCCAAGUGUUUCUCAAUUAUGAUUUCCUUAUCCAAUCCAGCUUCGUACCACUGUUGAUUCUCGAGUGAUGUGAAUCGUGUGGUAUCAUAGUCCGAAGGUGGCUCGUCACGGCUAGUAGACGCGGUCUUCCGGCGAGAGCGAGGUGGCGGCUCUGGUGAGGGAGAUUCCUCUUCAGGCGACUCCUCUUGCAAGGAAGGUGUGUGUUUCUCACUCGACAAUAACGAAGGUGUGGGAGUCCUAGUCCUUCUUGUGUGAGUCAUGAUGCCUGGAUCAAAGACAAGGUUCAACACAAAUUAGAAGCGAUAUAAACAGUAUCAAACACGUUGUGAAGUGAUUUAAGACAAUUUCGGCAGAGUUUUCCUUUAUAAAAGGGCUAAACUCCCUGCCAAAAUACACCACAAUUCAAGCAAAUAAUCUUCCUAACACCUCACAAAUCCAAUUUGACAGGUGUCGAGCCUAUGCAAUAAUAAAUACCUACUCGAGAAAAAUAAAUUUUCUGUGUAUAGUAGUGAGUAGGGUCGAAUCCACAGGGAUUGGGAAAAAUUCGAUUCUUUUCAAGUUCGGGACACGGGGGAUUUUUAUCAGAAAUAAACUAAAAAUAAUUAAACAAUUUAACUAAAAAUAAUUAAAUAAUUUAACCAAAAAUAAAUAAUUAAUUAAUACAAUUGUAAAUAGCAAUUAAAUAAAUGAUAAAUAAAUUCUAGCCAAGGAUACAACUACGCAGACACAGUCCAUUCAUCCGAUCAUUGAUGCACAGGGGUUCACUUAAUUUAAUUAAUAGGCUAGUUGUAGUCGCCGAUAAUCUCUAACGACCAGCUUUUCCUUAAUUUAUUGAUAACCAAGGUACGACCGUUGAUUACCCCUAACCAGGAAAUACUCCUAGGUACGACCAUAGGAAUUAAUUUCCUAAUUGCUUUAAAAACUAGAAAAGCCUAACCAAAAUUAAUAACACACUACGAGGGUUAUUUAAAUCAGAUUGCAUGUUCCCCUAGUAUGUGCAAAUACUAGUUGCCACUUAUAUUAACCAAUUAAACAAUUACGGAUUUAAUUGAUUAAUUUGACAGGAGAUUAAUAAGUCAAAUUGCACAUCGGGCCCUUGAUAUCCAAUUAACAAAAUAAUCCCAUGGAAAUUGAAAUAGAAAACAUGCAAAUAUUAACAAAUUAAGGAACACGUAAAAACUAAUUAGAUCUCACAGAUAUUUGGGACUGCGUCUUCGCGUUGAUCCUUGACUAGAUGAGAAAAUUAGCCACGCCUCAUAAGAAAAUUCCCACGCAAUUUAAUUGAAUUCGAAGACAUAAAUAACUCUUGCUAGUAACUGAAAAUGAAAAUUUGAUUCUCCGUAAUCUAAUGCAAUAGAACUAGUUUCAUGGAAGAAACUAGUUGAGUGAAAGAGACCGAAGAAACAUAGAACAAACUUCUGAAUAAAACUUCAUACCCAAAAUCCAACAAACCAAUCAACUACCUAUUCUACCUACGGAGCUUCUUGGAGAGAAAACUAAAAACUAGUCUAAUGUCUUAUGAAGCUCUCGUCUAAUUCUCCUCUGCACUCGUUUCAUAAGAGAACUAGUUACGUAGGAAGCAAAUAGAAAAGCUACUUUCAUCAUCAAAGUCCACCUAUGGCUAAUGAGUACAUCUCCCAAAAGAAGAACACAUUUUCUAAAUCAAUGUUACGUGGUCCCCGUAGAAUUCUCUCCUUUUGAUUUCUUAUUGCUAGUGGACUUGCCAGGACUUAAUAAUAGGAAGGCAACUCUUCAUCAGCAAUUCCGUUGGUUUGCACAAUUUGGGCUGAUUGUGGAAAGCUUUUAGAAGCUUUCACGUGUGGAGAAAUCUUCUCAAGAAGGUCCCCUUUUAGCACUUUUCUGCUCCACUUUCUGAAAUUAUAUCCAAAUACCAAAUAUAAAUAUAUAUUGACAAUUAAAGCAAUAUUUGGCAAGGAUAAAGAGGAGAAUUAACAAUAAAAUUACUAACAAUUAACACCCUAUCACAAUUCUCACAUUUAGAAUGAAUAUUACAAACAGGGUUGUCAUGAUAUGCAAAAUAUGUCCAAUACUUUGAGAAUUAAAACCAUUUGUAAGAAUGGAAUAAAAUUUCAAAGUAAAGUAAACUAUCAAUGACAAUGUGCUAUAACAUUAAGCUUUAAACAUCAAUUGAACACAACAUCUCCUUAUGCCUUACGAAAAACAUCAUCAAUUCAAACAAUUCUCAGCUUUUGGCACUUUCCUUCAAAGCAAUACAUAACAACCCACUAUACAUACUACAAUUUAUCAUCAAUUUGCAUAAAGAUGAGCUUAUUUCAAACAAACAAAUGCAAAUUAUACAAAGAAACAAGAAAUUGCAAACAAAAGUAUAAUGUACUUUCAUGAGAAAAAUUAUACAAAAUUUAUCACCAUAUUAACAAAUUUCUCAAUUCUAAGCAAACAACCAUUACUAAUGAUAUAUAUUAUUACAAUGUAGAACAAUUAUAGCAAUAAAAUCCAAAAUAUAUGCAUUUCCAAAUUCAUGUGCAUUGACCUAAAAAAAAAUCGAUAAAAUAAUAUCAAAUCUAGAAUUCUCUCAAAAACAAGAUUGAAAAUUGUUAUAACAAUCUAUUUAAGCACAAUGUAACACAAUUGUAUCAAGAAAUUUCAACAAUUAUGCAUUUAUUACAAUAUACCCAAAAACUAGAAAAAUGCAAAAUUAGAAGUUAUGAAAUCUCAAAGAGAAUUGCAAAUUGUUACCUCAAAUGUGUAGAUUGAUGACGGAGGAUGAAAAUGAUGUAAAAUUUGACACAGAAACAUGCCAAAAUACCCCCCAAAUUGAAGAAAUCAGGUGCGGCCCUAACUUAAGUUUUGAUGAUCAAAACCCUCGAAAGUGAUGUUUUUUAUUUGAAUUUGAUGAGGUUUAAUGCUCACAAGAGGUCAGAGAAGGCGUUUAUUGGGAAGAAUUGGAAAUUUUAUGGAUGAAAUGGAAGAUUGGAGGAAAGGGGAAGGGUUUCGGGGAGAGAGAAUGAGAGAAUGAGAGGAAAGCUGGAAAAUGAGGAACCGAGGCUGCGGUUCUACCUUAUCCGCAGCCGAUCCAAGGUCGGAUCGUUUCUUAACGCCCUCGGAUCCGACAGGAUUCGGAUCUGUCUCACCAGAAACACAGACGAGCCCUCGGAUUUAUCUGGGUUGACUUAGAUCCGAGCACGUAUCACAUGGAUCCGGGGUCGGAUCCUUCUGAGUUGAAUUGGAUCCGAGCUCGGAUCUGUCUUUCUCUGCACUAAUUGUAAAAACUGCAAAUUUUUAAACUUUUUCUCCCUUUUUCCGUCAAUUCCAAAUUACACAUUGGACAUACUUUUUAUCAAUUCCAAACCUCCCACGCACAUGUAAUAUACCAUAAACACAGUAUCCAACCUCUCAAAUCACAUCAAACAUAUCUAUAUUGCAAAUCGAGGGGUGAGGUUCUUUGAUUAUUUUUACACUUUUACACCAAAAUGGCACUUUUGGGCAUUAAAUGCACAUCAAAUGAGUCCAUGAGCAUUUAUAACAUGUUAUCACCAAAACUCACUUGAAAAUACUUGAAAUGCACAAUGUAUAUAUGCAUGGGAAUUUUAAACACUUAAAACACAAUUCGGUAAGAAAGCCUCCCUUUUUACACUUGUUCUUCAAAUGCACCUCCGAAAUGGAUGAUGAAACUCCGGUACCUCCUACAAACAAGUGAAAUAUAUCUUAUUAGUCAAUUAAAUCACACCAAAAUGUAAGAAGCACAUAAAUACACUAUUAUUAUUGGGUUGCCUCCCAACAAGCGCUUUUGUUUAUAGUCGUUGGCUCGACUCAAAAAAUUGAAUCAUUUUAGAACAUAAGGGAGCGAUUUUCUCCCUAUGGGUCGAAACUCCCGAGCCAAUCUACCAUGUGGUGAGCCAUGUAUUGAUCUCCAUAGUCCAAUUUCCUCAAAUGCCAAAGAGGAGUAUUAGACUUAUCAUAUAAAGGCUCGACUUCACCUUGGAGUGGAAUUUGCUUGUCUUUUUCUAGUUGGCUCAACUUUUCUCCACUUCCUUCAUGGAAUGGCGAAUUUAUUAAAUCAACUUCCAUCCUUAUCUUCUCCUCCCUUGCUCCUACACCAUGAAAGUUAGUACUAAGGAUAUUUAUAUAUUUAACUUUUUCGUUCCUUUCUUGGUUAACCUUUUCAUCACAUGGCAUAUUAGAAACAAGAGUAGUAGGCUCUAUACUCCCUUUUUUAUUAUCCAAAUUGAAUUCCAAUUCCUCACCAUUAACCUGUAAUAUAAUCUUACCUUUUUUCACAUCAAUUAUAGUUCAUGCGGUGGCUAAAAACGGUCGUCCUAGAAUAAUUGGCAUUCUCACAUCUUUCUCAAUAUCUAGGACAACAAAAUUCAUAGGUAUUAUAGAUUGUCUCACCUUUAUGAGCACAUUUUUCAAAAUACCCAUUGGAUGUGUGAUUGACCGAUCCGCCAAUUGCAAUGUGAUAUUGGUAGCUUUUAGCUCUUGAAGUCCCAGCCUCCGGGCAACUGAUAGUGGCAAGAGUGACACACUUGCACCUAAAUCACAUAAAGCAUUAGAAAAAUGCAAUUGACCUAUUGUACAAGGAAUAGAAAAGCUUCCCGGAUCUUUCAAUUUAGGAGGGAGUUUGUUUUUAAUCAAUGCACUACACUCUUCCGUUAAUGCUAUCAUCUCAUUAUCUACAAUUUUUCUGUUCCUUGACAUAAUGUCUUUCAAGAAACGUGCAUAAGAGGGAAUCUGUGUUAUAGCAUCAAUGAAAGGAAUGUUAAUGUGCAAUUGUUUAAACAUUUUGAAGAACUUUUCAAACUCCCGAUCCUGUCCAUCUUUCUUCAACCUGUGAGGAAAAGGAAUCACAUUAGAAUUUAACUGAGAAUUUGAUUUAGGAGGAAGUGCAUCAAUAUCAAUGACAACAUGAUCAUUUCGGCUUUCUUUCUCCCCUUCGAUUGAUUGCUCCUUGUCUUUUUCACCACAUGAAUUUCCAAAAUUAGGUCCUUCAACCGUUUUACCACUUCUAAGAGUGAUUGCAUUUACAUGCUUUCUCGGAUUCACUUCAGUCUUGCUAGGUAAAUUCCCUUGGUUGCGAUUGUUAAAUGUAUUUGCUAUUUGUCCUAAUUGGACCUCAACAUUCCUGUACAUAUUGGUGAGUUGGUCUAUCCUUCCUUCAAUUCUUUCAAACCGUUGAGUAGUGGCAUUGGCUGAUUUUUCAAUUUUAUCAUUUGAUAUAUUUGCCAGCUUCUCAAUUGCCAAUUUCCAAGCUGGUUUGGACUCCUGCAGUGGUUGCUUUGGUUGAAAACCCGGUGGAUUAACUGGUCUUUGUUGGUUCCCUUGAUCCUUCCAUCCAAAAUUCGGGUGAUUACGCCAUCCUGGAUUAUAAGUAUUGGAGUAUGGAUUGUUUUGGGGUGGACGAUUGUAAUUGUUGAGAUAUUGAACCUGUUCACUGCUAGAACACAUAAAAUCAUCAUGAUCUCCGCCGCAAGUGGUACAACAUGCAACAACUACUCCUUGAUUAGAACUAGAACCAACUUGCCUAUUAAGUAUCUUAACCACAUUAUCCAUUUUUGCACUUAACGUAUUCAAGGUAUCUACUUCGACCAUACCUGCAGUUCUCCUUGUAUUACCUCUUUCGUUUGCCCAUUGGUAGUUGUUAGCAGCCAUUUUUUCAAUCAAUUGUUGAGCUUCCUCAGCUGUCUUUCCCAUCAAUGCUCCUCCCGCUGCCGCAUCUACAUACGUCUUUGUUGGAUAGGUGAGACCAUUGUAAAAUGUUUGGACUACUAGCCAAUCAAGUAGACCAUGAUGAGGACAUUUUCGUUGCAAUUUCCGAUAGCGCUCCCAAGCUUUAUACAAUGUCUCUCCUUCCUGUUGAGAGAAACUAGAUAUAUCCAUUCUGAGUUUAGCAAUUUUUUCAGGUGGAAAGAAUUUAUUAAGAAAAGCCUUAGCUAAUUCAUCCCAAGUUAUCAAAGUAUUUGGAGGCUGAGAUUGUAACCAAACAUUGGCCUUGUCCUUUAGUGAAAAUGGAAAUAAUCGAAAUUUAAUUGCAUCAUCACUAACACCAUUAAAUUUAAUUGUAUCACAUAUUUCAAGAAAUGUUGACAAGUGAGAAUUUGGAUCUUCGGUAGCAUUACCUCCAUAUUGAGACCAUUUGAAUAAAUGAUGGUUUAAUCUCAAAAUUAUUGGCGUUUAUCGUUGGCCUUACAAUGCUAGUUUGAGAACCUUGUGUUCCCGGUAAAGCAAAAUCUCGUAGGAUUCGCCUAUUUGGGUCAUUUUCCGUCAUUUCUUCCUCAAAUGGCAAUUCUAUCAAGAUUUCUUCUAUCGGCCGCCAAACCUGUUCCUCUUAAUGCAAUGUAUUCCUCCUUUGUCUUCGUAGUGUUCUUUCAAUUUCAGGAUCGAAAUAUGCAACUUCUCGAUUUGAUCGGUGCAUACACUACAAACAAAAACAAGAGAGAUUUUUGCAGAUUUAAUUCAACAACUUGAAUAAAAAUAAUGAAAAUAUCUAAAUUAAUAGAGAUGAUUAGACCCUAAUAUUGCCGCUUCCCGGCAACGGCGCCAAAAACUUGACGGGUUUUUUAUAUCAAUGCAAGUUUAAAUCCGAUUUUACACCCGUUGGACUGCAAGUAUACAGGUCGCAAUUGUAGUACAAGGUGUGUAUCGGGUCGAUCCCACGAGGAGCAAAUUAACCAAUUAUUAGGUCCUUAUUUUCUCUAUUAUUUAGACUAUUGAAUGAAUUUGAGCAAAGAAAUGUAAUGCAAAUGUCUACAAAUCUGAUUUGCAAUUCUAUUUUAACAAAUGCUAAAUGCAAAUGGAGAAAUUUCACUCAAGAAAAAAUCUAGGGAUGUAGAUUUCACUUAUGGCAUAAACAAUACAAAUGAAUGGAUUUACUUCUUGUUAUUAUUUUUGUUUAACCAGAGAUUCAUUUCCAAAAUUACCAAGUCUCAUUUUCAUGUUGAAAUGGCCUAGAGCAAUAUAGUUUUCCCUAUUUUCAUGGUGAAAUACUACUACUACUCUGUUUUAUUUCAUGAAAUGAUAAAUAAUCCACCUAAGCGUAUCUCUAUUUUCAUGAACAUACAACUCAAGCUCUACUCACGUGUUUCCAUUAUUAUUAUCAAUUUUCAUUGCAUAAUAACAACUAUAAACAUGCUAUUGGUGAUCAAUCAAUAACAAGUAAUCACAGCUACACAAGUAGACAAGUUAAUACAAGAUAUAACAAGUGUAAAUCACAUUCAAUUCAUAUUAUUUAGCCAUAAGUUUCAUCUACUCCCUAGAUAAAGAAAAUUAGCUACUCAUGAAUGAUUUAACAAUCAAACUCACAAGUUUAUUAAUGAAAAACAUCAUCAAGUACAAGUACAAGAAAGAUAAAAGAAAACUUAGCCAAUUGAAGGUGAAACUCUCCAAUUCCUGCUUUGCUCUUGCACAAUAUGAUUACAAGUGAAAACUCCAAAUGCUUCUCCAAGAACUCUUAGCUAAAGAGAAAAAUGUUACAAGAAGAAAAACUAGCUACGUAUGGUCAUCUCUUCACCUCUCCCCUGUGUUUCUGCAUAAAAAGUGGUAGAAAGUCUACUCUUCUCUCUUCAUAAUUUUCUCCACUCAGAUUUUGUAGAAAGAAGUCAAAGAUAUGAUGUUUUCUUUUGUCUACACUUAUUUGGUCUUCUCUUUUGUUGCAGAAGCAUGUGCCACCGAUUUCUGUCCCUCAAAAUAGCUAGAAAAAUUGUGAGAAAGGUAAAGAAAAAUGGUUGUGCAACUUGCUGAGGAGAGAGACAGAUCCGAGGGUUGAAUAUUGAUCCGAGCUCGAAUCAGUGGAUCCGAGGACUUCCCAUGAUGGAUCCGAGGUCGGAUCGUUCUGACCUCAGAUACGCUCCUCCAGAAGUACAGACGAGGGUUCAGAUCUCCCCUUAUUCUCACAGAUCCGAGCUCGGAUCCGUGCUGGUAUUUUCCAAUUUUUCAUUUCUUUUCCUUUUUCUUCAUUUUUGCUCCUAAUUUCUUGUGUAGUUUAUCCUCUGGACAAUCCUUACACUUCUUUCAGCUCGUGCAUGAAUUUCAUACAUCGAUAUCCUUCACAAUUUCACAAAAUUAACGCAUUAAUUCACUCAUUUAUCAAGUUUUGAACACUUAAAUAAUAUUUAAGCAAUUAUCACCAAAAGAGUUCAAAUAUGACUUUAAUCUUCUCAAAACAUACCAAAAGUUCAUGCCAAAUUUGUACAAAAUGUACGUUAAAUAUUCACUUAUCAAAAGAAAUUUAAAAAUCGUCAGUAAUUGAUAAUCUUCUUUAUGGGAUCGACUCUGAAUACCCUAUACUUAAUCACGACUCGUAUACUUGCAGAAAAUCGUAUGUGGGGUAUUUUAAAUAUUAUAAAUGUAAAAUUGAUUGUGGAAUGAGCUUAUUAUUAUAUGUAUAACCCACGCACGUCAAGUUUUUAGCGCCAUUACCGAGAAAGAUUUGUUCAAUAUCGGUGCUAAGAGCAACUUUAUUAAUUUAGACAAUUUUACUUCUUGUUGUUGUUAUUGUUGUGUCUAGUGUCUUAUUUAUUGUAUUUAGUGACUUGUUGAGUCUUUAUUUGUAUGUUUUUAUAUGUGUCAGGAAACGCUUGUUGGGAAGCAACCCAAUGUUGGGAAGCGCUUGUUGGGAAGCAACCCAAUAUUUUUGUCAUUUAUGUUAAUUUUAUGUGAUCUUAUGUUUAAAUUAUGUGUUUGAGUUAUCUUGUUGUUUUUCUAGGUUCGGAGAAAUAUGAUAAGUGCAUAUUUUACGUGUUUUAAAUGUAUUUUAUUAGUUAGUUUUGGUGUGUUUUAAUUAGUUUUAUAGCUAAUUAAUUAAGAUUCCAGUGAAUAUAUGCAUUUUAUGGUUUAAGUGGUAAAAAUUAAAUUUCUUUGAAUUUUUCUAGUGAAAACUUCAUGUUUUUGUAGGUUUGAGAAUUCAAUCAUCAAAUGGAAUGUAUUGAGAAGAUAAUUGGAUAAUUGAUGAUGGAUUAAAGUGAUAAAAAGAGAAUAUGAAAUGCAAGCAAGAACAAAAGAAGCAAGUUUUCACAGCUUUGACACAUUUUAGUAUUUCGGAAAUAUCUUGAGUUACAAGUAUCGGAUUGAGGUGAUUAUUGAACCAUUUUGAAAUUAAAAGAUAGUAUACAUUUAGUAUGAAAACAUCGAAGUCCAUUUUGUUAUUUUCAAAGUCAAAAAGUCAAAAUACAGAAGUGUAUUUUCAUUGUCGAAAGCUGAAAUAGAGUUCUGACCAGUCGAGGGUAUUUUGGUCAUUUCUUAGUCUAUGGAGCUCCAAAUUGGAUGAUUCUUGAUGCAUUGGAAGCUAACUCAAAGGGCUACAACUUUCAUGUUUUACGCAAGAACUAGUUCAACCUCGAACAUCAAGAAAAUAUCAGUUAAAUUUGGACAAAAAAUAGAGCAAGUAAAUCCGAGUUCGGAUGUGUACUAAACACUCGAAUAAACUUCUGUAAUCAGAGGCUACAUCCCAGAUGAGGAUCCGAGCUCUGAUCCCCAUGUUAUAGGCCUCGGAUCCUAAUGUGCAGUGAACACAAAAAUGAAAAAAAAUGAGAUCCGAGGAGUAUUUUGAGCAAUCCGACCUCGGAUCUUGCCCUCGGAUCCCCAAUUGCCGCUCUGUAACUUACUAUGCAACUUGUGCUCUAUUCAAUCAAGCUUUUAGACCAAUUUAUCUGCAAGAAAUCUGGUUGGAACUAAGCAAGCAAGUAUAGAGAAUUCAAGACGCAUCUUUUGGUGAUUCCCAGGAGCAAUUUACAUCAACUUUAAUAACUCACCAUAAGCUUGAAUUCCUCUAUAAAUAGAGGCCUUGGAAAACAUUUUCACAACUUUGAAAAGCUAAAGAAACUAAUCAAAAAUUUAGUCUUUACUAGAAUUUUCUUAGUUCAUUAGUUUAGUUUAGUAGUUUAGUAUAGAGUAGUAUAGUUUUUAUCCACUCUUGUAUAUUGGCUAGAUUAGGAUGAAGAUGGAGAUGAAGAAUGAGGGGUUGAAACUCAUGUGACAAGGGUUAUCUCUUCUUCAACUCUUUAUCUUUUGUAUUGGAUUCUUAAGUAUGGUUAAUAUGCAAGUUUUGGAUUUGUGUUUUAAUAUGGAGUUCUAAGUUUAUGCCUAGAGUUAUGAAUGAACUUGCUAUAUCUUAUUAGUGAUAUUUACUUGGUUAUUUGAUGAUGUUAUUUUUCGCAAGUUAUUUAUCGCUUUUGCUUAUCUAAUCAUUAUUAACUGGCUACUAAUUAUGAUAAUUUUAAGGUAUUAAAUUUGCAAUGAAAAUUAGAAUUUAGCACUAGUUCAAGGUAGUGAUAAACCUAGGGAGUACACUCACGAAAAUAGAUGUGUACCUUUGUGGCUUUAGUGACUUGUUUCAUGUAAUUUUAUAGAAGAAAUGAGCUUGUAACUAGUUUCAUAACCACGAAAGUAGGUAUGAAUUAACUAUAAGUAUAGUUGGUAUACUGGCGAAAGCUGUAUCAUGAAUAUUAGGAAAUUAUGCCAUAACUGGUCAAGAUAAUAACAUUCGAUUAACCGGUAAUUUCAUUUGCAAGAGUAGUUAGGAAUGCUAUAUCUCUAGGAGAUUUCUAUUAUUAUUUUUAUUACUUUUAUCUCAUGUUUAUAUUGUAGAUUUAAUAUCCAGUACUUGUGACAGUCUAAAUAAUAAAUAAAUUCGAAAAACAUCAGUAAUUGACAGUCUUCCUUAUGGGAUCGACCAUUAAUACUCUAUACUCGCUCACGACCUAUAUUGAUGUGAAACCCCGAUCUAGACAACCAAAACACCAUGGCUUAGGCAGCGGAAAUUUGACCCAACUAAUCCCUAGAAGUCACGAACAAUUUUGAUAUUAUCUCAACCCGUAACUACUCGAAUUAACGAACCAAAUUGGAGGUAAUAGAACGCCACAAUCAAGGAGAUACUCGAUUGAUAAGUUUGGGUGAAUAACUUGAGAAGAUUCUCAAGUAUUCAAAGAAAACUCUCUUGCCAAAGAGAAAGUGAAAACUCACUAAUUGUAUUUAAUAGCCAAAAAACUGAUCCCAAAACAAAGAGGAAGUGGGGCUAUUUAUAGCCCUUACAAGCAUUAACCCUAAUCCAAAAAUUGACCAAACUACCCUACAUACUUAAGGAAGAUUUUGGGCCUCACUUACUAACAAAUGGGCCGCAAUUAAAUUAGCUUAAUUACCUAGACUUUCUAAAGCGAGAAAUAACCAAAAUCAACGAGAAAAAUCAAAUAAUCCUACUAAACUCAAGUAUUCGUGCAAUCAACUGGUCUUCACUUGAAUAUUCUAAUUCCCCAUGUGUUUGAAUGGGCCUUGGUCUUUAUAUUCUCAUCAUUCCCCUCCUCUUAAAGGCGAUUUGUCCCCAAAUCAUGACUCUCUUAUAAAACAAAAGUGAUGAGAGCAUGUGUAUAGUCACCAAGCAGCCUGCAUGUCGCCUUCUUAAGCGAAGAAUGAUCAUGACAUUCUUGUGUGGAACAAGGACAACUCGUGGUGGUGGUAGAUACAUGUUGCGAACAGCAAGAUUUCCAUGACAAUGGUCACACAAGCGACGUCUCAACCCUAUGGGUGGAUCGUGAGCGGACGCCCGGUGAACCAAGGUUUGGUUGGGCUGAGAGUUGUACGCAUCAAGACGUGCAAACACUGCAUCAAAGGCCAAUGUAACUCGACUAGUGUUGGUUGGAAUUACUUGACCAGCACUCUCUUCGCAGAUCUCUAUGGUUGCGGGUAUUGCACACUGCAAGAUGAAGGAUAUCUGACCACGAACAACCUGCACAAAUGAAAACACGUUAAACACCACCAAGGUGGAACGAUCCAGCUCCCAGUGCCCGAUGUUGUCCUCAGGCUUAGCGAGCAGGAUCAAUGUUCGCCCUUUCUUUUCCUUGCCUUCUAAUCGAUCCAACUCCCAUUCCCUGUGUAAAACAUUUUGGUCCUCUCGAACUUGUGUAGGUGAGAGUGGAACAAGUAUGAUCCUUAUCCCUUUAUGCAUGAACAAGUAUUUGUUGGAAUGACCUUCAUAAGUAACCGCGCGAUCAAAUUGCCAAGGUCUUCCAAGAAUAAGAUGGGCAGCUUGCAUAAGAACCACGUCACACACCAACUCAUCCUCAUAUCUCCCAAUGUUAAACUUCACAGAAACCUGCUUGGACACUCGCACUUCGCCGCAAUCACUAAACCAUUGAAGCUUAUAUGGUGUAGGGUGAUCUUGGACAGGUAGGUGUAACUUCUUGACAAAUAAGACACUGGCGACAUUGGUACAACUUCCUCCGUCGAUAAUCAAGCUACACACUUUCCCGUUAACUAGACAUCGGGUAUAGAAGAUGUUGAUACGCUACUCUUCUUCAUUUGUGCGUUGAGCACUCAAUGCCAACCUUGUAACAAGGCCUAGUCCAACUGGUUGGUCAGGGGCAAUUAUCUCUUCUUCCUCAACCAAUGGUGGCAUGCCUUCAUACUCAUCCUCCUCAUCCGUUAGCACUUCACCGCUUAGAAGCAUGAGCAUGGUCCUUCGGUUUGGGCAUUGGGACGCGAUGUGACCGAAACCUUGACACUUAAAGCACUUAGUGUCGCGGUUUCUAGGUUUAGAUGCCCCUAGAUCAGCCUUAAAUUCGGCCCUUUGGGUCGGUGUUGAAGAUGACGAACCAGGCACCCAUGCUCCAUUCGAAACCCCACUUGCCUUAACGGACUUUUGCUCGCUCGUGUGGGUAAUCUAGCCUUUAUACUGCGGAGUUCUCCAAUUUCCAGAUUGGGCGUUGGAGCUUUGGUGAGGGAUAACCCUCCUCUUGAGCCUCCUUUCCACCUUGAUAGCUUUGUCCAAUAAUUCAUCCAUGUCAAGGUAAUGUUGGAGCUCCACAACAUCUGCAAUUUCAGCAUGUAGUUCUCUCAAAAAAUGUGCCAUAGUUGCCUCUAUAUCCUCCCGAACAUCAGCCCGCAGCAUGGCCAUCUCCAUCUCCUUGAAGUAAUCCUCAACCGUCAUACUACCUUGGGUGAGAGUUUGCAAUUUAUGGUGCAAAUCCCUGUGGUAAUACGCUGGUAUGAAGCGCUUCCUCAUGAUCCUUUUGAGUUCUUCCCAGGUGCGAAUGAGUGGUGCUUCAUUUCUCCUUUGUCUGGUGCGAAUCUGAUCCCACCAAACGGCUGCGUAUUCAGUGAACUCAAUGGUUGCCAACUUUACUUUUUGGGACUCUGAGUAGUGGUUACAGUCAAAGAGCAUCUCAAUCUUCCUCUCCCAUUCCAAAUAUGCUUCAGGGUCCGACUUGCCUGCGAAGGUAGGAAUUUUGAGCUUGAUUCCCUUUAGUUCAUCAUUCCCUUGAUUAGGGAUGCGUUUAUAAUUUCGGAAUCGGUUUCCAUCUGCCAUGUCCUCCUCAUUGCUCGAAUCACCUAACUCCUCCACGUAUGGUUGUCUCUUGGAGGCAUUCUUGCCUAGGGUUGAUUUCUCCACCUUAUCCUCCAGUGUAUCAAUUCUCUGAGCCAUACGAUCAAUGGCGCCUGUUAAUGCUUCAAGAACAUGUUUCAUGUCAUAAGGGUCACUUGUCGCAUGAGUUUGAGACAUGUUUAUAGAGUACCUGCAAGGCUCAACAAACAGUUAGUAGAAACUGCCUCAUUCACUCCCUUAGUGUAUCACUCACUCUCGUGUAUGUCACUCAAAGCACUCCAAUGGACUUACCAAACACCUUUACCUGUUGGGUUAGGUAGUUUGAGAAAUGCUGCUCAAGCCCAAAUAAUCGUCACCAACUUCUUCCUCAAGAGUAAUCACGGAGAUGUAGGAGAAAGUGUAGGGAAGUGUUUCUAAAAAUUAGGAGAAAAUAUAGCAGAAAAUAUAGGAGAGAGUGUAGGAGAGUGUUCCUAAAAUCUAGGAAGAGAAUAUAGGAGAGUUUCCUAAAGUGGAUGAGAGAAUAUAGGAAAGGUCCUAAAAAUGUAUGAGAGAAUUUAGGAAAGUUUCCUAAAAAUAGAUGGGAGACUUUUGGAAAGUUUCCAAAAUAAAUGGAUGAAAGAGUUUGGAAAUGUUUCCUAAAAAGGUAGAAGAGAGAGUGUCCAAGUGAGUACAAAGAGUUAUCCAAGUGCUUUACUUAGUUUCCUAAUUGAUUUUGGAAACAAGUUAGUUUUUGGAAACCCUUUGAAAAUCCUUUUCCUCUUGAACAACUUUUGGUAACCUUCUUGAAACAACCUUUGGUAAUCUUCUUGAAACAACUUUUGGUAACCUUCUUGAAACAACCUUUGGUAAUCUUCUUGAAACAACUUUUGGUAACUUCCAAAUUCUACUCCAAGAAAGAUUGCACAAAUUAGAUUUGGUUCCCUAUUCAAAACAAUUCGGUUGCCACUUUCUUUCCUUUCCUUUUUUUUUUCUUGCCAACCGAUUCCUCUUUUCUUUCUUUUUCUUUUCGUUUUUGUUUUCUGUUUUUUUUUCUUGACUACAACUAUCAACCACGACACAAAACAAGGAAGUCCACAAAUAAUAACUACCAAGAACUCCAAAAUCUUUCAAGAACUUUCAAGGAAGUUGUCAGGAACUUCAGAAAUUUCAAGAUUGUGAUCAAGAAUGCAAGAAACUCAAGAUUAUUGUAAGUUCUCUUCAAGAUUCACAAAAUUUCAACAAGUUUUGCCAAAAUCCAGAUUUGAAAACCAAAUAAAUAAGUUGGAUAACACAAACAACAAGGCUGGACAGAUUUGUAUUCGGAUGAACAGUAACUAUGAACAGUGUCAGUGAACAGUAACGAUGAACAGUGUCGUUGAACAGUACGGUGAACAAUAACGAUGAACAGUGACUCUUUUUUUUUUUUUUUGGUUCUAAACAAACGAACAGAUUGGGAUAAACAUAUAUGACUCGAAAUAAACGAAAAAAAAAGAUAUAACCUGGUGGUUGUCGACUAGUUCUGGUACCAACUGAUGUGAAACACCGAUCUAGACAACCAAAACACCAUGGCUUAGGCAGCGGAAAUUUGACCCAACUAAUUCCUAGAAGUCACGAACAAUUUUGAUAUUAUCUCAACCCGUAACUACUCGAAUUAAUGAACCAAAUUGGAGGUAGUAGAACGCCACAAUUAAGGAGAUACUCGAUUGAUAAGUUCGGGUGAAUAACUUGAGAAGAUUCUCAAGUAUUCAAAGGAAACUCUCUUGCCAAAGAGAAAGUGAAAACUCACUAAUUGUAUUUAAUAGCCAAAAAACUGAUCCCAAAACAAAGAGGAAGUGGGGCUAUUUAUAGCCCUUGCAAGCAUUAACCCUAAUCCAAAAAUUGACCAAACUACCCUACAUACUUAAGGAAGAUUUUGGGCCUCACUUACUAACAAAUGGGCCGCAAUUAAACUAGCUUAAUUACCUAGACUUUCUAAAGCGAGAAAUAACCAAAAUCAACGAGGAAAAUCAAAUAAUCCUACUAAACUCAAGUAUUCGUGCAAUCAACUGGUCUUCACUUGAAUCUUCCAAUUCCCCAUGUGCUUGAAUGGGCCUUGGUCUUUAUAAUCUCAUCAUAUAUACUUGCAGAAAAAUCGCAUGUAGGGUAUAUAAAAUUGGUAAAUGUAAAGUUUGACUGUGGAAUGAGUUCAAUUGUUAUAUGUAUUCCCCGCACUCGUCAAAAUAGAAGCAAAAGUGACCAAAUGAGGUGAAAAAGACGAAGUUCGAUCAAGGAACUCGACCCCUCAAUUUGAGUAAAUAUUGUUUUUGAUUCAUUAAAAAGGAGUAAAAUAUAUGUUUUGAUCAUUUUACAUGUGUGUGCAUUGGUUAUUGUGACAAAAGAAUGAUCUAGAAUAUAUUUUGAGCAAUUGAGGUACAGAGUGUAAUUUUUAGAAAGUUAAAAAUUUCUACAAAAAUUUGCAGAAAAAAAUGCGAGCUCAGGAAACAGGACUUUAUGUCGCGUAUUCAAGAACUUGCAUAUUGAGUUCUAAAUGAUUAAAGCAGAAUACAUGGCCUUGAUAUUAUGGAUGAACUUGCUAUAUCAUGCUAGUAAUGUUUACUUGGUUAUUUGAUGAUAUUAUUUUGAGCAAGUUAUUUAUCACUUUUGCUUAUCUAAUCAUGAUUAACCGGCCAAUAAUUGUGAUAAUCUUAAGGUGUUAAAUUUGCAAUGAAAAUUGGGAUUUAACACUAGUUCAAGGAAUUGAUAAACCUAGAGAGUACACUUACGAGAGUAGAAGUGCACCUAUGUGGCUUUAGUGACUUGUUUCAUGUAAUUUCAUAGAAAAAAUGAACUUGUAGUUAAUUUCAUAACCGCGAGAGUAUGGUUUAGGUACAAGUAUAGUUGAUUCAUUGCGAUAAUAGGUUUCACAUACAUUAAAAAAUUACUUCAUAACUAGCCAAGAUAAUAGCAUUCACUUAGCUAGUAACUUCAUUUGUAGGAGUAGUAAGGAAUUUCAUAUCUUUAGGGGCUUUUUAUUGUUACUUUUAUUACUUUUAUUUCAUAUUUGUAGCAUAGAUUGCAUUUGUGAUAGUCUAAAUAAUAAAGGAGUUCAAAAAUCAUUAGUAAUUGAUAAUUUUCUCUGUGCGAUCGAUCCUGAAUACCCUAUAUUCAAUCACGACUCGUAUACUUGUGAAAAAUUGAGUGUGGGGUAUUUAGGAUGUUAUAAAUGUAAAAUAUGACUAUGGAAUGAGUUUAUUAUUAUAUGUAUACCCCGCGCUCGUCAACUUUCUUUGAAGCAUCUUUGGGUUGUAUUGUUGCUCAACAUCAUGUUGGAACCCACAAAAGCAUUGAAGGAAUCAAACUUAGGGACCAUGCAUUACAAACCCCAGUUUGAGUUCGACUAGAGGAGGUUGAUUAAGGACUUACAGCUUGGGGCUGAUUGAUAUUCUUGAUUGAGUCAAGUUUUGGCCAAAGCUUUAGCCAUUUGUUACUUGUUCCAUUAAUCGUUUGUUUAAUUUGCGUAGACAAUAAAAAUGACCAGCUCAUGUUGAGUUUUGGUUAGCUAGAUUGUUAGGGUUGAGUCCAAAUUCUGCCAACUAGAUGUUUGUUGGGCCAUGAGUCUUGUUAGUUUAUAGAUGAAAUAAUCAGCCAGUUUGUUUGAUUGAUGGGUCAAGUAGUUAAUUUAGUUAAACUAGGAUGAAGUGCAGUAAUCUUAGUUCCAUUUGGAUUAGUCUAAGUUGGAUUGGUGCCUAUAAAUAGGCAAGUCUUUUCUUUGUAAUAGGAAGUCGAAAAUUCCCAACAAAUAACAUUGAGGGUGAAAAUUUUCUUGGCUUCUUGUAAGCUUUCUUUGAAUUUCUUAAAGCUGUCCUAAAUGUUCAUUCGAUAUAUCAAUAAAAAAUCGCACUUGAUUGUAAUAUCGUUCUACCCAAACUUGAUUCAUCUUAUGCUAUCCAAGAUCAAAUUAGGUUUUCUGCUUCCAAUCUUGGAUACCACCAAUUCUAGAUCAUGUGGUUCGUCAUGUCACAAAUUGCAUUUGAAAUAGGGCGUGAGUCGUAUCAGCGUCACAAUAUUCUUGCCUUUUCUGUGAACUUUUUGAGUAUCAACAAAAGUGAUAUUAGCAUAAAAUAUUGGUUAAAAAUUGGAGUGGCGUAUUUUUCUUUCUCUUUAAGAGCAUGGAUAAGAUGUGUUUUAAGUGAUGAGCAACGAUCCUGACCAAAGUUUCUUCAAACUACCUUGAUUUUAGUACAUUGUAAACAAAUGUUUUAAGUAAUACAGUGAUUCACAAUAAUGAUAUCUUCACUAGAUCUAUUGAGUGCAAUUGAGCAAUAAAAUUACUAAAUUUUCCAGCCUAUUAACGCAAUAACGUUUUAAGUAAAAACAAAACCUAAUUGAAAAUGUUCAAUGAAAAUGUCCCUUCAGUCAUAAUGUACUUCCAAGUUUGGUUAUGACAUAUUUCAACAGAUUCUCUAAAUGCGUGAGAGGUUUACAUAGAAUUUCACCCGGUAUCUAGCACAAAUUGCCAUCAUCAAAUCUAUUUUAAAAUAACUUUUGUAGAUUUUUUUAUAUUUCUAAAUUCAGAAAGGUACAAAUUUAACAACAAGAGCCAGAGGUGCAAAUUUUUGAGCAAAGAAUAGGAAAUGCCUUUACCUUUGGUGUUUCUAAAAGUAAAGGGCAAUAAACAUAUUAUAAAUGAUCAUUUUUUCAAGAUAUGGAAGAAUAAAUGAUUUAAAAUGGAUUUAUGCCUCCUCUAUGAAAUUUUGAGUAUCAAUAAAAGUGAUAUAUGCAUUAAAACAUGGUCUAGAAUUAGAGCAACAUAUUUUUCUUUCUUUCUUAAAAGGAGGAAGUAAGAUGUUUGAAGUGAGAAACAACCUUUAUCAGAGUUUCUUCAACUUUCUUGAUCCUAUGUGCAUUAUAAAAAAAAUUUUAAGUUAUACAAUUACUAUCUCUACUCAAAAAUAUUAUAUCCACUCUAUAUCUUUCUCAAUAUCUUUCCUAGUGAUGCGAGUAGAAUUAAUUUGUAAGGUACACUUCUACCAACAAAACUGCACCGUUAAAUAAAAAAAUCCAUCUGUGUUUGAGUUAGUGUCCUUGUACUAGUAUGUCAAAGGUGUACUUAUACGAACAAAUAUGCAUCAUUAAAUAAAUAAAAACAGCCGUCUACUGACUUCACUCUCCUAUUCAACCGAAGCCAAAAAAAGUAGGAAGUCUCCUAAUUGGCCCGUUUCCUAUUUUUACUAAACUACCUUUUCCAAUUCAAAUCUAACAAUCAGCUAAUGGAAUAUUUGCAGUCCUACGUUGUACUUCCAAUUGGCAAUUGGUGUCUCGCGCUUGUCCCGCAUUUUCUGGACAUGUUAAGGUCUGACUUGACGCGCCUAUGCCAAAUAGUAAUUGUAGUGGAGAAUUUGCACGUUUUUAUCCCAUUUUGUUCCAACUCCCCGCAAUCAAUACAAAUUUUCAAAAGUGAGUAGAAUCCGUCAAUUAAUGCACACUUGGUAAUAUAAUAGGAGGGAUUUAAUUACAAAAUAAAUGACACAAUUACGACUUAUCAAUUCCCCCCACACCUAAAUUAUGCUUGUCCUCAAGCAUGAGAACAACAAACAAACACCAAUUCCAGACAAUGGUUAUUGCUCCAUCUACCUUAUUGCCGAGUUAUCAAGAAAAACACAUAUCAAGCAUCAAUGGUCAAGAUCCAAGAAACAUCACCCUGGUUAGCUUCUAAAUCGCAGACUCCUCCAAUUUAGGGCUAACUAUUCUAAGAAAAAGGAAUGAUCGAUCAACAUUUAUCAACAAAUGAUCCAACUAUUAACCAAAAUAUCAACAUUAAAUCCACAAAUCGGGGAGCUGGCUUUAAUCACAUAUUGACACAAUCUUCACUUUUAUCACGCUUUUCUAUUUUUCUAUUUUUUCAGUUUUAAUAGUAAUAAUAGACUUAGUGUCUAGCCAUUAGAGUCUUUUGACGCGAACUCUAAUAUUUGCCAGAUGAUGGAGCCCGGUUACUCAGCUCCUAUCGCUACGCGACCACGUACUCAUAGCAAUUACUACCGUUUGACGCGAGAAUUGAUACUUUAGUUGAAGAUCCCCGGUUAUUCAGUAGUAACAACUAGCGGAGUACAAUCAACUCUUAUUUACAACCAGAUAACACAAUAACUCAAAAUAUCACAAAGAAAAUAGCAGCAGCUAGCCUUAUUUUUCAAAUAUGGAGAACUAAAGUUAAUAACUGGAUCAAUUCACAUGAAAAUGCCAACAAUCAUUCCCAAUGCCUAGAAAAGUUAACCAAAAAUUAGAAGAGCCAAACAAUCACCGAUAUUCACCAAAGAGAUGAUCUUGGACUCAACCAUAUUAACUAGAUAUACUUUUAUUACUAAAACUUGGCAAUAGCAGAAUUAGAGUCAACAAUCCAACAUCAAACCUUGGUAUUCACAUGAGAGCUAAUCACUAAAAAGAAACAAAGAGAAUGAACGAAAGAUAAACAAAUAACAAACUAAAAAAAAAAGAAAAAACAUCUAAAAACUAAAAACUAGAAAUACUAGCAUCACAGCUGUCCAAUCCCCCCGCCCCACACUUAAAUCCGACAUUGUCCCUAAUGGAGAGUAGAAAACAAGUAAAGCGAAGAGGACAACGAAACUUCCCUCGUGAGUGGUUAACAGGUAGGCGGGAACGGUGCAGGGAAACCGAUGUGAUAGAAGUACGCGGCCAAGUUCUGAGACAUCUCAACUCAAUUCAACUAGCAAAUGCAAAACUCUGUCCACCCAAAAUCUCAACAAAGUCUCCAAUUAGACAGUGAAUAUCUCAACUUAAAAUCGCCAAUUCAGCAAUAGCAGUUUAGAAAUUUGACAAUAACCACAUAAUUACAAGUUCUUCCUUUUCAAUCAGGCAGCUAACCAAUUAUGAAUAACAAAUGCUAGUCAAAAUACCCCAACCAGUACCACUGGUGCACCCCACAGUAAUGAAACGAGUCAAUCGGCCACAGAAUCUAAAUCACUGGUAAACCCAACAGCACCAGACAAUACCAAAAAGAAAUUGGAAAGCGAUUGUCAAGUACCUCCAACGUAGACAAUGGCCAAACAAUAUCUCCGAGAGAGAAUGAUGGUUAUCAAGAGAAGGAGACAGAGGUAGUGGCGCGCGACCCGUGACUGCGGAGGCGUCGAGAGGCAGAGAGAAGAGUGAAUCCAACAAUCAAACCCAGCAACUUAUGCUUCAAUUAAUCAGGUGGGAGUUAAGAAGAGUGAAUACCUCUACCAUUGUGUGAAAGAGGGGGAUGCGAGGGAAGGGAGAAAUACGGACAGUCGCGAGGCGAGGAAUGGCGGCGAAUAGCAGCAGUGCGAGAGGUGGCGAAAGUGGAAGGUCGCGAUGCGCAGCAGUGGUUGGUUGCAACAAGGAGAGAGAGGGAGAGCGAGGUGGUGGCACGGCGCACGACGGUGGAAACGUUGGCUUCGGACAGUGGCGGUGCGGGAGGUGGAUGUGCGCGGAGAAGAGACAGAGGGGUAAUGGGGUGGCGUCCAUGCCGCCUGGCGACGGCGAGAUCGACAGUGGCGGCAGCGUUGUUCGUCGAUUGCGGAGAGGGGCGGCGAGCGUAGGUGCGAAGCGAAGAGGCGGCGACAGCUCUAGUUUGAGUCGCGACCAAAAGAGAACCAGGGAAGAAGAAGGAAAGAAGAGAGAAAGAAAGAAAAAGAAAGGAGAUGGAGAAAGAAAAAAAAAAGAAAAGAAAGAAAUAGUUUUGGAUUUUUUUUGUAAAUUUAAAAAGUUGUAAUUUGAAAAUUAGAAGCUAUAGUUAAACGGAAAUUUUUUUUAAUUAAAAAAUUUAAUUUUUUUAUCAUUAACAAAAUUUAUUUUCGAAAUUCAAAAUUAGAGAUUAAAAGAAAAUCAAAAUUUUCUUCAAGGUUUCAAUACUUACCUUUCCCACGAACAUGACGCGGGCACAUCAUGAGGGUAAGAACCCUUCUGACGCAGAGCUCUCCAUGUGACUCAACGCGGGCACGUCAUGAGGGUGGAAACCCUCCUGACCAAUAUCAAGAAGUUGCACCUUGCCACGCGUCCAGUUGACGCAGGUGCGUCAAGUCAGAGAGAUACCUAUGCAUCAUCAAAAACGAAAAUGGAAACCAGAAAUCUGUCAAACUCAAGAAAAAUAUAUUUAAACUAUCAAACAAAACUGAACAAAUAACUAAAAGAAAUUGGGUUGCCUCCCAAUGAGUGUCUUUCUUUAAUGUUUUUGACUAGACGUUAAACACCACUCUUCAAUUUGGAUGUAAUUUAAUUUUUCUUGUAAUCGGUGGCCCUCCUCCGGGAUCUAAAUAGUCAUUGAGUGCAGCCUUCUUUCUUAAUUUUCUAUUCAUUUUUACUUCAUAAAUUACUUUCAUCCCCUGAUACUUGUUCGCAGCAAUUUUGAAUUUAUCGCUACAAACAAACUCAAAAAAUUCUUGUACAGAGGGAUUAAUAGCAUGAAUAGUAAAUAUAGAGUGAGAAUCAAUAGGAUGUUUUAUUGUAUCAAAAAUAUUAAAGUGGACUAUUUCUCCAUCAAAUUUCAUUGUGAAAGUACCCUUACUAACAUUAAUCUUAAUUUGGGCAGUACUUAAGAAUGACCUUUAUAAUAUAAUGGGUGAUGGAUUUAGAACACUUCCAUCAUCCAUGUAAAGCACAUAAAAUUUAGUAGGAAAAAUUAAUCCAUCUACUUGCACUAAAACAUCCUCAACUACCCCAUCCGGAUAAGCAAAUGUACUAUCAGCCAAUUGAAUUAUUAUCUAUGUUUCUUUUAAAGGUCCUAAAUUUAGGGAAUCAUAGAUUGAUUUAAGUAUCACAUUAAUAGAAGCCCUUAAAUCUAGCAUGGCAUUUUUAAUUUUAGAAUGUCCAAUCUUACAGGGGAUAGUAAAUAUAUCUGGAUUUUCGCAUUUAGGUGGUAGUUUCCUUUGUAAAAUCGCUGAAACGUUUUCACCUACCACAAUAUGCUCAUGCCCCCUCAACUUCUUCUUGUUGAUGCACAAGUUCUUCAAGAAUUUCAUGUACUUUGGCACUUGUUUGAUUGUAUCUAGUAGGGGAAUGUUGAUCUCUACCUUGCGAAAUACCUCCAAUAUCUCUUUCUCCUUGUCCUGCUUCUUCGAGCUCUCUAACCUGCUAGGAAAAAAAGGUGGAUUAGUUUUAAUUUCAAUGAUUGGGUCAGGGAGUACCACUAGAUUUUUACGAUUUUUGUCCUCCUCCUCAAGUUCUUUCUCGAUCUUUUCCUCAUCCUUGUCUUUUGGAGUAACAAGUUCAGGCCCUUGAAUCUCUUUCCCAUUCCUGAAGGUCAUUGUACUUACAUUCUUCAGGUUUAGUUCAUGUUGAGAUGGCAAUUUUUCGUAAACUUGGGAUUCCAGGCGAUUAAUUGCUAUCGCCAUCUGACUCAUUUGACUUUGCAUUGCUUGCAUCUGUUCCAAUUAAUUCCUAAUACUUUGUAGAUCAGAAUCUGUCUUUUGUUGAUUAGUAAUUAAUUGCUUCAUCAUCUCCUCUAUAGACGGACUUGAGUUUGAAGGGGGUGGUGGCGAGUGAGGUUAAUACUAUUGUUGAUACCCUUGCGACCUAUUUGGUGCGAAAUUUGAUUGCCUAUUUCCUCCAUAACUGAAGUUAGGAUGAUCUCUCCAACCCGGAUUGUACGUAUUCGAGUACGGGUCAUAUUGUUUUUUUGGCGCAGGCGCGUGACCAGCCAUGUUCACUUGCUCCGCAUUUUCUUCUUGAAUCAUUGGGCACAUCUCUGUAGAAUGACCCAUAACAGUGCAAAUCCCACACACUUUGGCUUGUGAUACAGUUCCUACAGCCAAUUACCUAACAAACGAUGUUAACUCAGUCAAUUGCUGCUGGAUAGAAGAUGUCUCUAUCUCAUUCACUUUGUGUGUCAGGACAUCCCCCAUCGUACCAAACUGCUGCGAAUUCUCAGCCAUUCCUUCAAUUAGUUCCCACGUUUCUCGAGAAGUUUUGUUCACGAAUAUCCCUCCACUUGCAGUAUCAAUUAUACUCCCGUUUCUGAAAAGUAGCCCCUCGUAAAAAUAUUAGAUGAGCAAUUGCUCACUUAUACGCAGGAAAAUAUUUGUUUAAAAAUUUUUUCUUCAGUUGAUUUCAUGUGGUGAUGCUACCUGGUGGAAGGUAGUACAACCAAUCUUUUAUGGAAUCCUUCAAGGAGAAGGGGAAUGCCCUCAUUUUUAUCUGUUCUUCUGUAAUUCUCGAGGGUUUCAUGCUAUUGCAAACGACAUCAAACUCUUGCAAGUGCUUGUAAGACUCCUCACCUAGUAAACCAUAAAAAGAUGGUAAGAGAUGAAUUAGACUAAAUUUUAAUUCAAAACACGUGUUAUCAUUUAAAUGCAAAAAAGUAAUGCAUAAGGGCUGCUGAUUUAAAUCAGGUGCAGCCAACUCCCUUAGUGUUUGUGCAUUAGCCAUAGUCACUUCUUCUCGAUCCGAAUCACUCGAAGUAUCACCAAACGGACUUGUUACUUCAACUUCCAGAUCAAGUCUAUGAGAUGCAACACUAGAUUGCUCCUCUCUGAGCUGUCUAGUCUCUUUUCACGUUCUCCGCGCAGUCUUCUCUACCUCAGGGUCAAAAAUCAAUUCACCUGUACGAGAAGAAAGAGCCAUACACUAGAAAAAUAUUAGAAAAUUAAAACAAAAAUGAAUUUAAAAAGAAACAAAUACUAACGUCAGUCCCUGGCAACGGCGCCAAAAAUUGACAGGUGUCGAACCUGUGCAAUAAUAAAAAAUAAACCAAGUUGCUAAUUAAAAUAAUCAAAACCCGAUUCUAAGUAUUGGAAUAGGGACUUUAGGUGUGCAAUGGGUUACUUGAUUCACCCUGUUCCCGAAGAGUUUGCUUAAUACAAUAUAUCCGAAUGGGAUGGCUCAUUCACAAAUAAUUAUUUUUUUGUAAAUAGGGCAAGUAAGGUCGUAUUCUCAGGGAUUGGAAAUAUUUGUCUCUUUUUGACGUUCAAAGUGACAAUGGGGCAUUUUUUAUAGCAAUGGCAAUGAGUAAACGAUUUGAAUAAAAAUAAAUAACCAAUAAAAGAUUAAAUGACAAAUUACUAAAAUCAGAGUAAUAAUAACUAAAGGUCUAGCCAAGAAAUAAUUUCAGUAAUAGUUCACCUAAUUGAUCAUCCAUGCAAAAGGCAAUUUCAAUUAUUUUACUAAUAAAUAGGUUAUAACUGCCAAAUAAGCGAUGACAGUCAACCCCUCUUUACUGUGUCGGUGAUUAAGGUACGCCCGUUAAUCAUUGCUCUAAUUGAAAAAUAAUCUUAGGUACGCCCGUAAGAUUUAAUUUCCCAAUUGCCUUACGUAUUAGAGGAGCCCUAUUCUAACCAAAUAAUGCACUACCAGGGUUAUUUUAGAUUAGCCAGCGUAUUUCACUGACACAAACCCAAUCAUGCCAGUUGUCACUAUAUAAUUACGGAUUUAACGCUCUAAUUGACAUCAAGUUGCUAAAUUGAUUCAACGUCCGGGCCCAAGAUAUUUAAUUAACAAAACAACCAUAAACAUUACAAACAGAAAAUUUGCAAAUACCAGUAAAUAAGAUGAAUAAAUAAAAUUAAUUCGAUCUCACAAAUUUUAGAUGAACCAAAACCUCUAUUGUUCCUUGACUAGAAGAAGGGAUUUAGUUCAUCCCUGAUGAGGAAAACCCACGCGAAAUUGUAAAAGUAAUUGUUGCGUACAUUGCCUCUCAAUUGAGAGUAGCAAUCCGAUGGAAUAAGUCACAAGAAUAAUAUGCCAAAAGUCAAAAUCCAAAGUAGUCAAGAAUGUCUGCUACUUUUUCUCCAAUUCCCCUCUAUUUCCUACCUAAUUGUCCACUCCUAUACGGUUAUGACAGGUGUCGAGUCUGUACAAUAAUAAUUACUUACUCAAGAGAAAUACAGAUUUUGUAUAUAGCGGUGAGUAGGGUCGAAUCCACAGGGACUGGGGAUAAUUUGUUUCUUCUAGAGUUCAAAGUAUGUGGGGUUUUAGGAUUAAAUGCUAACGAGCUAAAUAAAUCACAUGCAAAAAAAUAAUAAUAAUUAAUUGACAGAAAUAAAUGGGAAAAAUCUAGCCAAGGGUACACUUCAGAAAUGGUUCAUGCACUGAUUAUCGAUUCACAGAUAAUUCCACAUUUAUUAAUAGAUUGGUUAUAACUGUCAUACACGCGAUAAACAAUCAACCUUUCCUUAAUUUCUCGAUAGUUAAGGUACGACCGUUAACUAUUUCUCUAACCCAGAAACAACCCUAAGUACGACCGUAGGAUUUAAUUGCUAGAUUGCAUUAAGAAUUAGAAAUGCUCAAUCCUAACUAACAAACACGCUACGAGGGUUUAUUUAAGUUAGAUCGUAUGUUUCCCUGACAUAAAACCAAUUACGCCAGUUGCUACUGGGAUAAAGAUAACGAACAAUUACGGAUUCAAUUACCCCUAUUUAGUAAAAUAGCCUAUAUGAAUAAUUAAUUAUUGCGCACUAAUCAAUCAUACACAAGAGUUAUAACAAUUAAAAGCAGGAAUCAUAUAAAUACCAAUAAAUGAGGAAACGAUUAAAAUAAAUUCGAUCUCACAGUAAUUACAGAACCAAAUUUUCAGUUGUCCCUUGACUAGAAUUAAGAAGCUAGUUCAUCUUCAUGGAUGAAAUUCCAUGCAAAAUUGCAAAAGUCAUUCUCUCCCCAAAACAAAGCUAUGUUUUCCCUCGUACUAAUAGAAGAGGCGGACCUAGAGAAACAACCCAAAAAAUGGCAAAACAAGGCCAACCCGCUAAAAAAAAGGAAUCAAUCUCCUAAGCUAAGUCUACCUCCUUUUUCUCUUAAUUGUUUCCUUGUCUUACACGGCCAUAUGAAGACUAGAGGAAAGAGCCCCACUUUGACUCCACUUUGCUAUUCAUCCGCACCAAUCAAGCUAGGAAAUCUCCUAAUUGAAAAGAAAAAGCUGCCGAAGAUAAUGUGAAUCGUUUCCUAAAAAUAUAAAAAUAACUAUUAAAGAAAUUUUCCCAAUCUUCAACCUCGUGCUCUCGUUGACUUCUACUCGGACUUGGAAACUUCCACGCUCGAAUCCCAAAUCUUCUGAACUUGAAUGUGCCACCACCAAAUUAGCUGGAAAUUAUCCCUUUUAAUCAUGUUUUGGUUAUUUUCCUACAAUUAGCACCAUUAACCAAAUAUAAGUAGAAUUCGUCAAUUAAUACAAUAUUUGGCUAAAAUCAAGGAAAAAAAUAAUUAUAAAUGUAGUAACAAUUUAUAACCUAUCAGGCUACUCCAGUGAGUAUUAGGAAAAGAGAGUCCCAAUCUCAAUUAACUUCACUCUCCUAUUCAAUCGAAGCCAAAAAAUGUAGAAAGUCUCCUAAUUGGCCCGUUUCCUAUUUUUGCUAAACUACCUUUUCCAAUUCAAAUCUAACAAUCAGCUAAUGGAAUAUUUGCAGUCCCACGUUGUACUUCCAAUUGGCAAUUGGUGUCUCGCACUUGUCCCGCAUUUUCUGGACACGUUAAAGUUUGACUUGACGCGCCUACGCCAAAUAGUAAUUGUAGUGGAGAAUUUGCACGUUUUUACCCCAUUUUGUUCCAACUCCCUGCAAUCAAUACAAAUUUCCAAAAGUGAGUGGAAUCUGCCAAUUAAUGCACACUUGGUAAUAUAAUAGGAGGGAUUUAAUUACAAAAUAAUUGACACAAUUGCGACUUAUCAGUUUCUUUGUUGAUUGCAAGCAAGUUCCAAUCACUAAGUUUUAUAUAUCAACUAGAUACUAUAUUCAUGACUAGUUAUAAAAUCUUACUAGUUAAGUAUUACUUAAAAUGAAUUCAAACCUUAAAAGGAAAUGAAAGAUUAGUUGAUAUAUUGGGUGUAAGACAUGCCGAUGACGCUUUGGUUUUCUCAAGUGGUACUCAUUCUUCUUUGAAGUAUAUUUUGGAUGUUCUUCAUAAAUAUGAAAACUGUUCAGGCCAGCAAGUUAACAUAAGUAAUAGUUGUUUCUUGACCCAUCAACGGUUGUAUGUGGCAAGACGGCGAGUAAUCAAAAGCGUCACUGGGUAUUCUUAUCAAGAUUUUCCAGUGAGAUUGCUUCAAAAAAAAAUAUUUUCCAGUGAGAUGUUUGGGUUGUCCGCCAUAUGCAGGCCGUAGCAAAAUUUCCUUUUUUGGAACGUCAUGUCAGGCCAUUGUGACUCUGUAAAUUCAUUUGUCAUGGUGACAGGCCGCUCUUGAUCAGGGACGUGCUUUCAUCCUUUCCUAUUCAAGUCCUAGCUGCAGCUACUUCUCCUAAGUCUGUUUUUAAUAUGAUAGUAUCUAUUUUUCCUAGAUUUUUUGUGGGUUUCCUCAGAGGAGCAGAGGAACACUCCAGUUUCGAUUAGAGUUGGUCCUUGUUCGUUCACUCUCACUAAUUCACGAGCUGUACCCUCUCACCAAUUCAUGCAUUAGUAGUAUAUUAUCAGCUAUACUUCUUCCUAUUAUAAAAGUACUCUAAUAUUCACCAAUGAUUCGAGGAAUUACAGCUUUCAACCUAUUAGUUUGCCCUUUUGAAUAGCAUUUAUAUAGUAAACUACAACAGGCUAUAGGCUUGAAAUCCCUCAUUUGUGUUGUAUUCUGCACCGUUGGGAUCGGUGUAAUUAUACUGCUACUCAAAGGAUAAUACAUAUACUUCUUAUCAAAACAAAAUUGAACACAGCUCGAAUUACUUUUUCACCAAUUACAUGCCAAUUCUUUUUUUUAAAAAAAAAAAAAAAAAAAAAGUGCAUUAAAGCCAUCUUGGCUUGUAGCUUUGCCAGCUUUCAUGGUAAACAUAGCAUGUUUAAUCUCUUCAGCCGACACACUAGCUUGGAGAAAGCGAUCGAAUUGAUCACUAGUGACGGUUUUAAUGUUUAUUUGUUGCAGCUUGCCCUUCAAAUCAGGGUACUGAGAGUUAGAUUUACUGAACAGAGUCUUACAAAAUUCCACUGCAAUUUCUUGAACUUGCUCAUAGUCCUUAACAAUAUCACCUUCAUCAUUUCUAAGUGAAAGUAUCUUAUUCCUGGCAGCAUGACCCUUCACCUUUAUGUGGAAAAAGCAAUAUUUUGAUAGGGCGUGAAUUGUAUUAUCUUUAUAUGUACAAAUUACUAGUUAAUGGUGAUAGUUGAGCUACAAUUUGAAUAGAAACAUCUUAAUUUUGAUCACAUGUUGUUUUAAUAUGUGGAGAGCUCAAUUGAAGAGAAAAUGGACUAAUCUUGGCAAGACGAAUCAAGCAAAGAAGCAAUAAAAGAAGAAGAAGAAUGAACGAACAAGGGCUGUUGCAUUACUAAGGCUUUGCAGGCAGAUCCAUAGUGAUCUGUGUGUGGAUCCUCAAUAACUGCGUCAGAUAUCAAAAUGGUCUUCACGCCAGACUUUUUCUGGUUGUUAUGGUUUUGAGCUUCAUCCAAUGACCGGCCCAAACUUGGGGCCAGUAUUCAUUCCAAAUCGGUUCCUUAGCAAUUUUUUUUUAGCUCCAAGAAGUCUAAUCCUACCAUAUUUGGGUUAGAGCAUUAACAAACUAUAAAUAGGGGUUAUCUAGGUCAUUAUUAGGGGGAGAAACACACUAUACUAACAUUAGUUCAUCAUAUAAAACUCUUUCUUAGGAGAUCAAGGAUGGGUUCAAGGCAUGGAAUCAAAGAGAAAUCAAGACGGAGUUCGGAGCAAGAAAAAUUAAAAAGUUUUCUUUACUUUUAUCUUCGUACAUGUAUUUACUCUUUGAAUUCUUGAUUGUACAAUGACCAUGUCGAACUAAUUUGUAUCUAGGGUGAGGAUUUUGUGAAAGAGUAUUGGUUAUUUAUUUUAAUUAAAUUCUUUAUAUUUGUCUUGAUUUAUCUAUCUUGAUUUAAUUACGUGCUAUGUUUGAUCACCAUAGAUAUGCUCUUAGAGUUUGUAUUGAACUGAGAAGGGACGUACAACUAUACACUAGAUAGAUAAAUAUAUUUAAUUUAAUUACAUGAGUAGGCUAGGGUUUGUAUGAUGUAAUUGAAAUCACAUAAGAUCUUAAAAGAUUUAAUUAAAUACUUAUAAUCUUGAGAGAGAUGUAGGAUAUGAUUGGGCACAAUUUAGUUGUAUCAAGAGAUAAUCUAAAACACCUUUACAUAAUACGUUCUUGGCAUGUUAAGAAAUUAGCUGGAUAAUUAAUUCAAAUUCUAGCUCAAAAUUUGAAACUUUAGCCUCUUGCUAAUUGUUAUCUCGCAUCUAUUUUAUUUGACUUGAUAAUUUACUUUACCUCUUAAUUAUAAAUCAAAUCCUUUGAAUUUAAAUUUCAUUGCCUUCUCAUAAUAAUUAAAGUAGAGAAAAUUAAUUCGUCCUUGUGAGUUUGACCUCUAGAAUACUCCUGAUGAUUUUGUUACUACGAUCGGCUCUGGGCACUUGUAGAAAUACCCGAUCAAUUUUUAUCUCCGGAUUGUAGCCACUGCAUUCUGGACUAAUCCUUAUAGAAUUCCUCUUCAGCUAGAAUCAAUCUAGCGUAUUCCUAGAUUAGAACUUUCUCUUCAGCAAUUAACUCAGGAUCAAAAGAUUGCUAUUGCAUAUGCUGCUGCACUAUUAUCAGUUGCUCUUUUUUGCUUUGAACUCCACUAGAGAUGUGGUUAUAAUGUCGUUUAUUCAGCUCUUGAAGCCUACCCUUAAGCUGUUUUAGUCGAAAACUGAUAAGCUGCAUAGGAUUCAUUAACGCUCCAGGAUCAGCUUGCCAAGAAUCCAACAAGAGACAUCAAAAAACUCAUUAUGCUGCAUCCAAAAGCUACGGAAUUUAAAACACUUUGGCCCAAAUUUAACUUGAUCUAGCUAUUUAUUCGGAUUGGUAAUGAUACAACAAAAAAUUGUUAGCCUUAAUGUUUGGAAAGUGCUAUUCUUUCUAUAAUCAUAUCUAUAGGAUUACAAAGGAAUAAAGUUCUCUCAGUCAAAGCUUGAUUCGAAUUUAGUCAGCAUUGAAGUCAAGUCGAGAUUGAGUUGACCAAGUUGAGGUGCCGUGCUCGUAUCUAGCAUACCAUAAUCCUUUCUCAUUUUUUCCUUUUCUUUAAAGAUUAAUCUUUUCACAUACAUAUGCAUAUAUAUAUACAUACAUGCAUACAUAUAUAUAUACACAUACACAGAUAUAUAUGUAUGUAUACAUACAGAUAUAUAUACAUACAUGCAUACAUGCAUAUACAUAUAUAUAUGCACACACAGAUAUAUAUAUAUAUCUGUUUACAUAUAUAUAUGCAUACAUAUGUAUGUAUGCAUACAAAUAUAUAUGUAUGUAUACAUGCAUGUAUGUAUGUUAACGAGGUUGCAUGCAUGUCACAUGUACGUUCAAAUUUAAAUUAAGAUGAUGCGCUAUAUAUCCAAAUCUACUAAUGUAUAUACUGACAAUGUGGGAAAUAUUUUAAAUCAAAAAAGCAUUUUUCUUGAGAUAUAAAGUAUGCAGCCUUCUUUAUCUUGACAGUAAGAUCACCAUUUUCUGGAUUUGGGCCGUUCAAAUGGGCGGGUCAAGUGGUUGCUUGAGUUUAAUGAGGUACUAGGUGCAGAUAGGUGGACCGCAUAACCCCAUUUAAUUAAUGGGUUUGGUAGGGUUGUGUAAAUGGUUUUUCAGUCACUGAAAGCUUGACUAUGACCCAUUCAUAAUUUUUUGGUUUCUGUCACUCGACCCGUUUACUUUUGUCCAAGCACAGGCUGCAUUUUUUAGACACCCAGCUUAAAACCCCAAAUUAAACAUUAAAGACCACCUGGUAAUUUCCCUUUGGGUCUCAAAUCUCAAUAUAGGUGGAUGUAAAUAUUUUAACUUUUAAUUUUGGAUAUUUUAACAUUUAAUGUCUCCAAAACCCAGCACAGUUGCAAAGAACAUUAAAUAUGUAAUUUUGAUGUCUGUAAUUUGACUAUCAAGCAUUUCUUUCAUUCCUUACUCAAAUACGACCUAUGUCAUAUUUGAUAAUUUAGUUCAGCAUUUAAAGUUAAUGGAUUCAAAUGUUUAACAUAUUCAGAUCAUUUGAUAAUAAAAAAUUAAACAUCUAAAUUAAUUAAGUGGCGUUGAAUUUUCUAGACAAAACUUGCUCUCAAAAUUAAGUGAUAAGCAAUUCACUUAUCAUUGAAUGUGAUGUGUACUCAAAUGUAUUAAAUUUAAUACUUAACAAUUCAAUAAUUUAAUGGAUUCAAAUUUCAAUUUUGUCAAACGUACCCUUAUAGUCCUCUUUAAAUUGGGGAAAAAAAAGAAAAAUAGUAACAUACACGGGAAUGAAAUUGAAAAUGAAAGUAACGAGGGAAAGCCCCACGAUGACUUCCGAUGGAGAAGUCAGGUUUACGUCUGAUCAUCAGUUGUCGGUGAAGAGAUAAGGCUCAGCUCAUCCAAGCAAAAAGAAUCGUGAUUGGAGAAGUCAUCGUAGAAUUGGCAGCAAUGUUCAAUACAAAUGGGUAAAUGAAGAGAUAAGGCUCAGCUUAUCCAAGCAAAAAGGACUUGUGAUUGGAAAAGUCAUCGUACAAUUGACGACAAUGUUCAAUAGAAAUUGGUAAGCGAAGAGACAAAGAGACAGCUUACCCAAGCAAGAAAGACCCGUGAUUGGAAAAAUCAUCAUGGAAUCAAGUACAAUGUCAAUACAGAUUGAUUCAGUUAAUAAGAAACAGAAUAUGUUAAAAACAUACUAUCUACAAAGAUUGUAUUAAUAAAUUAUCUGUAGUAUUCUUAUAAACGACUCAUAAUUUUAGAAUCCACGAUCUCAGAAACAUGUCUUAUCCCAUGAUCAUAGUGACGAGAAGCCAUCCAAACUUUUUUUUCCUCUUAUCAAAAGUGUAGAAUUGGCAACAACAAUAACAGUCACGCUUUGUGCUUUCUUGCCUACCCUUUUCCUACAUUUUUCUACAAUGCAUGCUUGAUAGUUAACGUUUUUUUAAGGCAAAAUAGCAUUUUUAUCGAUCUGAGCAAAACAGUACUAAAUGUACCUAUUCUCCCAAACAUAACAAACGUGCAAAACUUUAUCGCCACGUGCAUGUAAAACAAAUUUGACCCGUAAAACAUAUAAUAAACAUCCGUAUACGCAACUAUAAGCGAUGUCCCAAAAAAAUUAUUCCUACAUAACGAGGGCAAAAUUUCACCCAUGAUGAAACUACUUUCGACAGGGAAUUUUGGUAAGAAUGUAUUACACAAAUUUCUAAUUUACGAUCGAGCGCAAAAUUUCACCCAUGAUAGAACUACGUUUGACAGCAAUUUUUGUCAGAAUGUGUUAUUAGUAUACAAAUUUCUAAUUUACCAUACCAGGUUAAUUUUAUCUUAAAAAUUAGGAGGACUGUUGUCGUCCAAUUGACGUUGCCUAGCUGCCUGCCUUCCUGUCACAAACUGACAAUUAACAACAGAUACUAAAUCAAUUUUCAUUGGCCCAAGCAACCUCUCUACCGUUCUUUGUGGGAGUCAAGACCUUAAAAGUAAAGUCAAGAUAUCCUCCGUGUAUGCUUUCUCAUCCAUGUUUCUAGUAACCUUAUUUUCGUUCCUCUAUGAUGACAAGCUGUUCUGGAAAUAAUAAUCAUUUGACCACAUGAUUAAAACUCACUAAUGCAUCGCCAUAUAAAGUAAUCUCUCACCAUCUUACCUUCGUUUGAUAAGUACAAUUUAUUUCCUAACCAUUCUAAUUUGUGAUUCGAUUUGACUAAUGAAUGUUCAAUGGACGCUUGUUAAAAGAAAUUUAUAUUAGUUUUUUGAAAAAAAAAUAGUUUAUUUGUAAAAGUGUCGCAAUUUGAGAUGUGUAAUAUAAGUGAGUAUGUGUAUUUAUAUAGCAAUUUAGGUGUGGCCAUUAGCGAAACACUUUUCCUAAUUAAGCCUUUACUCUGUAACUGGCAUUUCUAGCCAAAUAUAUAUAAUAGAUUGCGUGCCAUUAAAAAAUUCUUCAAAGCGCCUACCUAUAGUAAUUACGUGGCAGCGGUGUAUCUUUUCACACUGACCUUAUCAAAAGACGCGUCCCAUGCUGGUCGUCCGACAAGUCAAAUGAAUUUAGUUCUGGGGUACGUCACCACAUUUUUAGGCCUAUAAAUACGAGGACUCUAGUUCGUUAUUUUGAUGUGCUAAACUCAGCUACCAAGUUUUCGACAGUCACAACCAAUUAGUUACAAAUACCCAUUUUCAUUCAUAUUAAUUAGCUAGCUAGUUCUUCAAGGGAAAAAAUGGCUGAAGCCAAAUCUGCUACUGUCACUGAUCAGGUGAAUAGUGAUUCUACUGCCUAGCCAGACCUAGAUUUCCUUCUUUUUCAAGUUCUUGUAUUUGGAAAAGUAUAAGGAGUUGCAAACUAAAGUAAUUUCAACGUUCUUGAAUUGUCUUGAGCGAUAUUUUACAUUUCUAGUUGUCCGCAUACAUAUGGGUAGGCGGUCUCUUGAAUUGUUUGAUAAGCUUCUUCUGAGUGAUGUAGUUUCUUAUUAACUGAUCGGAUUUAGUCUUCUUCUGAUUGUUUGUUUAUUUGAAAGGAUUCUAAUUGAUUUUGCGUUUUUCUAACUGGUUAAAAUGUUUGGGAUUUACAGAUCGACAUCAAUUCAAUACAACCAGUGAAGCCGGCCGACCCUCGCGUGGUCGAGAUUGGACAAUUUGUAGUGGAAAAAUUUCACCACGGAAAGCUGCUUUUCAUCGCCGUGCUUGGCGGAUUCACGUGGAAAUGUGAGGGAGGCAAGUACUACGCCCUUGUCAUUGAAAAUCAGGAUUAUGAGGGCGCCACAUUUAUCCAUAAAGCACUUGUUGUUGAGGCCCCAGGUGAAACGAAACUCCUCUGGCACAAGAAUUAAUCAAGCACUACUAUUGAUCAGCUGAGGAUCAAGCAUUACUAUUGAUCAGCUGAGCAUUACUAGUGUCUAUGGUGUGGUUUUCAGUUUAUGCAUGGAUGAUGUACUGCUGCCAUGCAUACAUCUUUCCAGUAUUGUACUAGCAUCUUUCCAUCAUUCCGUUUGUAUUUGAGUUUGUAUCCUUGUAUGUUAAAAGGUGCACUUAUACGGACAAAAAUGCACCAUUAAAUGAAUAAAAACGGCUGUUUGUUUUUGAGUUCGUAUCUGUGUAUUUUGUUUCUCUGUUACUUCGAAGCAGGUUCCAAUCCCUGAAUUUGUAUGUCAACUACAAAAUCUGCUAUAUUCAUGACCAGUUAUAAAUUUUGAUAACUGGUUAAGUGUUACUUAAAAUGGAUCCAAACCCGAAAGGGAUAUGAAAGAUUAAUUGAUAUAUUGAGAGCAAGACAUGCCGAUUACGUUUUGGUUUUCUCAAGUGGUACUCGUUCUUCUUUGUAAGUUUAUUUUGG
Molecule: long non-coding RNA, 100373 nt
Filed under: Coffea arabica (coffee)
Lineage: Eukaryota; Viridiplantae; Streptophyta; Magnoliopsida; Gentianales; Rubiaceae
Description: long non-coding RNA (CARA_LNC002481)
Rfam family: Plant small nucleolar RNA R71 (bases 71727-71833)
Source: RNAcentral